Molecule: long non-coding RNA, 99907 nt
Filed under: Durio zibethinus
Lineage: Eukaryota; Viridiplantae; Streptophyta; Magnoliopsida; Malvales; Malvaceae
Description: long non-coding RNA (DZIB_LNC001504)
Source: RNAcentral
UUUUAAAAUCAAAACUCUAAAAUAAAAAAAAAUUAUCUAUUUAGAAAUCAAAGUUUCGGAUACGUUUAGUUACAGGAAUAAAAUGUUAAUUUUGCUUGAAUUCUCUUUUGAACGUUUGUGAAAAAGAAAAUGAGAUUGUAUUCUUGAGAUGUUGGUUCCAAUUACUCUAUAAUCUUUUGCUUGUGGGUUUUGCUUUUAAGUUAAAUUUUUUGGGAUAAUUUUGGCAUUAGAUUUUUUUAAAACUAAUUAUGGGUUUUGAUUAUUACUUGAAAUUAUAUUUUGAUUUUGAUUGUUGAUUAAAAUUAUAUUUGGGUUUUAAUUGUUCAUUGAAUUAUAUCAUUUUAGUAUUUUUUUAAUGAAAAAUUCAAAAUUCAAGUAAAAAAUAUUAAAAUAUUUUUAAAACUAAAAGAAAUUUCACGUUAUUUUUAUUUGUUAAACUUAUUGGCGCUUAUGUUUCACAACCAUAUUUUCAUAUAAAAAAAUUAUUUAUUAUUAUAAAUUGAUAACGUUUAAUUUUUAUUUAUAUAAAAUAAAAUAACUAAAUAAACGUUUACUCUUAAGCAUUUAAUCUCAAAUAUUAAUAAUUAUUAUAUAUUUUUGGGCCGAAUUAAUCCAUUCCAACUGGCCCAAAAGUUAAAUCCAAAAACCCAAAAUCUCCAUCGGUUACUUCUGUCCCCAUUGUCGUGUCUUUCUCUCUCUUUGUAUGGAGAAACCCCCAAUCGAAUCAUGCAAGGUGAAAGAUUCAAUUUUUGUACUCUUAAUCUUCUCCAUCUCUCUUAGGUAAGUUACUGUAGCUUUUUCCUUUUUUUUUUUUUUCAUUUAUGUACUUUCUAUUUUUAAUUUAGCAAGUUAUGCUUGUUUUGUAUCUGUUGCUUCACCUAAUUAAAAAUUUCGUCAUUUUCUGUUUCUGGGUUUAGCUUUGAUUGAGUGGUAAAUUAUUGUGCUUUUUCACUUGCUUGGUUUUCUUCGUAUGCUUUGUUCGCUCGUUUCUUUUAUUGGUUUCAAUGUAAUUGGUUUGGUUAUUAUUAUUGGGGUUUUGGGUACUGUUCUUUUUGUGAUUGUGGAGUUGGACUAUUGUUAAUUACUAAGUCAUUGAAAAGCAUCUUUUUAUGGAUGUUUUCAUUGAUUUUAUGAAGUGGGUUUUUUUACAUUUUCAGAAGUUUCAUUGUAUUCCUAUCCAUUUCAAAGUUGAUUGAUUCUAUGAAGUGGUUUUUUUUUUUUAAUAUUUUCAUAAUUUUCAUUGUAUUCCUAUCAAUUUCAAGGUUUGUAGCAAAGCUUUCUCAACUUCCUGCAUUGGCAAAUGUAGUAUUUAGAUGAAAACUAAAGUGUCUUUCCAGAAUUUCCUUUUCCUCUGCUACUUGAAUAGUCUUUAUUCUUUCCUAAAAAAUUAUGAAGUAUAAGGUUUAAUUUUGUUCUCUCCCCUAGAGUUUUUACUAGUUUCAUGAUCAUUGUACCAUCUAAACUAUUUCACCAAUUUACGCUUAUGGGUAUCAACCUCUCUUUGUGCUUUUGUCAUUGUCAUAGUCAUUAAUUCUUUCAAAGAAUAGAACGAUUUUCUUUUAUAAAUAUUUGCUGUUUAUAGAGUUGUUCUUCUAAUAGUUUAUAGGGGCCUAAUUGGUGCAUGGUUGAUUUUUGUUGUGCUCAAAAGUUAUGGAAGAUAAAUAGGUUUAUCUGAUGAAAGGGUGCUUCUAGUCAUUAGCUUGUUAAUGCAUUUGUGAUUUGACUGUCUUGCCAAACAAGAUAAUAGCGUAUAUUCAUUUUCUAUUAUUUGCACCUUAUAGUUAUUGAUUCAAGGGCACUGGAAUGGAACAAGAAGCAGGAGAAUCCUCAAUUCAAUUGGGGAGCUCAGAAGGUUCUAACUCAAGCAGCUCAGAUCCUGUAACACGGGUAAGGAAGCUGCUGUUUCACCGUAUGCUGGUGGGAAUCAAAGACGGCAGGUUUUUCUUGGGCACUUUCCACUGCAUUGACAAGCAAGGAAAUAUCAUUCUCCAAGAUUCAAUUGAGUAUCGUAGCACCCGACGUUCCUCUCCAUCCCCAAUGGAGCAACGAUGCCUUGGUCUAAUUCUCAUCCCUUCCUCUUGUCGAAUCUCUUGUCAUGUGGAUUGCUCCGUCCAGGAACAAUUGUCACUGCUGAAGGUUUAAGAAUUGAGACUCUGUUUCCAUAAAAUCUCUGUUUGAAAGAAAUUCAACAACAGUUUUUCCUGAUUUGUAAUCAUCCUAUAGUUUUUUUUUCCUGGAGUAAAUGUAAUUGCCUUGCUUUGAGUAAUGGAAGGGAUUAUGAUUGCUGCACUAUAGUGCUUUCAUGGUUACUGCUUGAGUAUUAAUAUUAAUUAUCAUUACUAUUUCUUUCUCAGCAUUUCGUGUGCACGCAUAACCUUUAAAUUUGGAAUUUGGGUUAUGGCUAAACUCAGAUAAAACUGAUUAUGCAAAUUCUCUUUUCCGACGCGAAAGCCAAAAUAUGAGGCUCAUCUCAUAUGUUGACAAUGAAGAAGGAACUAUUGCUCAUGUCAUAAAAAUUUCUUAUGAUAAGCUUUUAAACUCGUAAAGCCCACAUUUGAACUUCAGCGAUUGGGGCAAAACCCACUCCGAAAAAUCCCCCACUCUGGGCUGAACACAGAAUACUGUUGCCGAAAACUAGAACCUUUCCCAGUUUCCACACAGUGCACACCAUUUCUUUUCCGGAGGAAAAGCUUCAAUAAAUGCAGGAAUCCAGCAUUGAAUCUAAUAGUAGCAUAAGAGGGUUGAAGGCAAUGCUUCUGCUGAAAUCUGAAUAUAUAAUUAAAACCCAAACAAAGAUUUAAGUCGGAGAGCCUGGGGUUUUUUUUGGUGUGAGUGUGUAUAUUUCUAUCAUCAUAUACACGAAAAAGAAAAAACUUAAACAAAAUCUGAAAGUGGAAAUAGGGAUGUAUCUUUAAAGUACAUUGAGAAAAUACUUCCAAAAUUUGGAGUAUAUACUUGACUUCUUCUUUUACCUUGAACAUUUUCUCUGAUCCAAAACUUUUAUCCUCCAUUAAUUCUAAAGAUUUUUUGUUUCUUAGAUGUUCCAUAAUCCAUCCAUUCUAUAUCAAGAAAAGAAAAACAUGUAGGGUGGCGUGCAGCCAAUCCUAAAGAGUAAAGACAUAGAGGUUAGAGCGACCAGAGCCAGAGCCACAGUGAGAGAGAGACAGAGAGUCGUUGAGAGAGGCAACUGUAGCUCUGCAAAAGCAAUGCUUGUUGUGUCGACUUCAGGGAUAAUACUGAGGAAGAGCCAUGUCAAAUCAUGCUUAAACCUAAAACCCUGUUUUUUUUUUUUUUUUUUUGCUUUUCCUUGAUUAUCUAUAUUGACCCAUCUUGACAAUUUGUUCCUCUUAUGGUAACUCUGUCUCUCUUCUCUCAUAUGCCCCGUUUUUAGAUGCAAAAAAAAAAAAAAAAUCAACACUAUCCUUAUCUCACUCUCCCAUUCCUGGAAUGCAAAUGCCAGACAGAGACAACUUAGGGUUUCCCAACAGCAGGCUUUCACUCACUGACACAAAGGGUGAAGAAAUAAACUGGUAGAUAUUCCUUUACUUUUCUUCUUUUUCCUAUCAAUAUUUGCUCAACAACUGAUUAUAGGAAGAGAAAGCAGACUGCGAUCUCUUGGUUCUAAAUCUACAUUUGGUAUUUCUGAAUGCUUAUAUUAGUGGGUUUUGGUUCUGUUUGUUUCUUGCUCCUCUCAUGGCAUCUCUUUCUCUUUUCCUUGUUGGGUUCCUUGUUUUAUCUUGUGAGGCGAUUGCAGUGCAUAGAAACUUGGAUGAGAGUAGUGAAAUUGUGAUGGAAGAAGGGGAGCUUUUGGGGCUUUUUGAUGUUAUAGGAUCACUUCUAGAUGAACCUGGUUGGGCUGAAGUGCAUCCAGAGCCAUGCACCGACACUCCAUGGCCUGGUAUUGAAUGUGAAAUUGGUCAAGACCCUCCAAUCUUUCAUGUUACGACUAUUCACAUUGGCCCUGACGUUGCUACCCCACCUUGCCAACCUUCUGCUAAAAUAUCAGAUUCCUUGCUCAAACUACCUUACCUGCGAACUCUCUCGAUUUUCAACUGCUUUGUAACUUCACCAGUUACACUUUCUGCUUCUUUAUUUGGAGCAUUGUCUUCCUUGGAGCAUCUAUCACUACAGUCAAAUCCAUCUCUCUCUGGAGAGAUUCCUUCAAGCUUGGGGAAUAUUUCUAGGCUAAGGGUCCUGAGCUUGUCACAGAACAAUCUACAAGGAAAUAUCCCUGGUGAGCUUGGUGGAUUAGUCAACUUGGAGCAACUUGACCUGAGUUACAACAAUCUAAGUGGUGAAAUUCCUGAAGAUAUUGGAGGACUGAAAAGUUUAACCAUUUUGGACUUGAGCUGGAAUGGCCUUGAAGGGCGGGUACCAUUUGCUUUGGGUCAGCUUCAACUUCUUCAAAAAGUUGAUUUGUGCUCAAACAGGAUUCAUGGGAGGAUAACUCCAGAUUUGGGAAAGCUAAACAGGUUGGUUUUGAUUGACUUGAGCCAUAACUUCAUCAAUGGGCCAAUCCCUGAGACUCUCUCAGGUUUGGAGCAGCUGCGGUAUUUAAUAUUUGAUUACAAUCCCAUAAAUUCGCUGAUUCCUUUAUUUGUGGGGUCCCUCAAGAGGCUUACAUCAAUCAGCUUCUCAGGAUGUGGGUUAAUAGGCCCAAUACCCAACUCCUUAUCUUCAUUAAAGAAUCUCACUGCUCUUUCUCUCGACAACAACAGUCUCACAGGGACAAUUCCUUCAAUUUUAGGGUCACUUCCAGAUCUAGACCACCUUAACUUGAGUCACAACAAGCUAAGUGGGGAACUACUACUCUCAGAAGAGUUCAUCAAGAGACUUGGGAAAAGGCUGGAUGUUAGAGGAAAUAUUGGGCUAUGCACAAGCUACCAGCUAUCCAGGAAGAACAUCUCUAGGUAUCUACAAACCCCAGCUUGCUUGGGAACGGAAGGAAUAGUUAAUAACGUAACUUGUCCUGAAGAACACCCGGACGAUUUCAAAGGAAGGAAGCCAUAUUGGAACCAUGGCCAGAUCAGUUCACAUGCUCCUUCCCAAGAUCCACAGUUCAUUUCAACAUGUUUUGUUCUUUUUCACAUGCUUUGCUUUUUGUAAACAUUUCUACUAAUAUCCUGUCAACAUUUAUUUUGUCUAAUGAAAAUUAAACUAAGCCAAAGUUGAAUAUGAAAAUGAAAAAACUAUUAUAUAUAACUAUAUAUGAUGUUUGCUAUGGGCAUUGAUGGGUCAUUUUCUAGCUGGAAAGAUGCAGAGCCUACGGCUACCAUGUUGGUGAAAAUAUGCAGAGGGGCAUUGACAUAGUAGUUGAGGUGAGUUUACAUGAUAAGGGGCCAAAAAGUUUUGCAUCUGGCUCUAUCUAUCUUGGUAUCCAGUGACAAAGCUCCAUCUCUGCUUGCUGGGGUUCAUUUCCAGCAGCCUUUUAGAAAGAGAAGCAAAUGUGUGUCGUAUCUGCUGUUGAAUUGAACUGCAUUUUAGCCUUUUGACAGUGAAAAAAGAUAUGGAUCUCUGUACUUGAUCUUUAAGAGAAUGAGAGAUGGAGGGUAAUGUCUAUGGUUUAUUUAAACAUCCCUGGCAAAGGCUAAAUUGGUAACAUUGUUUGAUCUUAUCUUCUUCUGGAUAUAAAUAGAAGAAAAAUCACUUUUUUCUCUGUGAACUUUCUAACACUAAUCACUCCUGGAAUCUUGAUGUUUUGGCUGUUAAUCUCCGACAUUAACUCAUUCAAUCAAUCCAGGAAUCUUGAUUCAUCAUAAAAAGAAGUUAAUGUUUGCUCAUGUCAUUGUGGUAGCGGUCAAAAUUUUGGACCACAAAAAAGAGUUUUAGAAUUUGAGAAAAGCUUGAUGAUAAAGAGAGAGCUCCACCAAUAAGAACAUCAAUGCGUGGCUUUGAACACUCACGAAUCCGACUAUUCAUGAUUAAUAUUGCAUCACUAUGCAUACAGGACAGAGAUGAUAUGAAAAUCAAACAUUUACAACGUUUUUCUCUACCUAAUAAUCUCUAUUUUUUGACUUCAUCAAUAAGUUAUAUCUUGUACAUUUCAUGUGCAGUAACGUUUUCUUGACUCCCUUAAUUAUCUUCUAGAUUUUAUGUGUAGUAAGAUUAUUUAGUCUUGGGACAACGGUAAUUAUUUCUAAAGUAACUUGUUUAGCAUGAAAACACAAGAAAAACAUGUGCAGAAUUGAACAUAUGCAACACAAAUGCAUACAUGAAAGCUUAACUGUUUAGUUUCAAUAAUUAAGAUUUAAAUUCUGACAGUUUCAAGUAACAAAAAAAAAAAAAAAAACUUUAAUUGUUAGAGCAUUUGAUUUUCAUAUAUCAACUAAACAUAAAAAAAGAAUAUACUUAUUAUUAUAAUUAGGCGCGUUAUAAAAGAAGAACAUACCGAUAAUCAUAAAAAAAGAAUAAAUUAAUAAUCAUAAUUAAACGCGUUAAAUCGAAUGGAUUUGUAUAAAAAUAUCUUCUUGUUUCUUCAAUUAGAAAUAAGACAACAUAGACCGGCCUAAAAAUAUGUCACAAUCAAUUAUAAAUCUGUAAAUCUAGAGUGUCACAUUCGCCAUUUGGUUUGCUUUUCUUUUUUGUUUUCCCACGGGUUGGCAUAAAAAUUUUGGACCUUCUGAAUGAUGUGAUUCAAGCCCCUUUCUUCACAUUAUCUCCAAGUUCUCAACAUCACAUCUUCCGAGCAGUUUCCUAUGGCAUUUUCCAUGACCAAGACAAAGAAGGUGAAGUCCAGAUCACGCACGGCUGGUGAGAAAACAUUUUUUUGGAACAUAGUUUCCUUGUAAUUUACCAUCUACACGUUUUUAUUUUUUGCAUUAUUUUCCAACCCAAUCUGAUAUACAAAUUCAUGUUUGGGUAUGAACUUUAAUCGAGCACUCAUAUUUUAAUGAAAUUGGAACUUUUGCAACCAAUUAGGGUUAAAAUAGGAAGGACAGAUUCUAAAUAUUCAAAGUUCAAGCAUUAUUAGUCAAUAAUAUAAGGAUUUUGUAACUUGAAUUUGAUUUGUUUCCAUUAUUCUAGAUUUCUAGUCAUAAUAAGACUAAGCUUAUAAUUCUUGUUUUUGACUGUAUUAAAUUUUAGACCAACCCAAUUCUAAUGUUUUGAGUCCAAGAAACAACUUCACUUUUUUCCAAGUUGAAAUUAGCAUAAUGUUUUGAAUAUAUCAUCAUAUAAUUUAUAGAAUUUAUAUAGUUUAUUAUUUAUAUGAUAUAUAUAUAUAUAAAUAGUAGAAAAUUAAGUUAUAGAAUUUCUUAGAAAAAUAAUACGGUUUAACCAAAAAAAACUACCAAAUUGUCAAAAUCAAAAGGUUCAACAUUAAUUCUAGUUGAAGCAAGAUGAAAGAUCUGUCCAUAAUAUAUCAAAAAAACAAUACAACAAUCAAAUAAUUAAACUAGAAUGGGCACCAAAAAAUCAAUUAACAAAUGUAAAAUUGAUGGUUCUUCGAGCUACUAGCAUAUUUCAUACAUAAAUUUACAAAAAAAAAAAAAAAGAAAGAAAAAAAGAAAAAAGCUUCCCAUGUCCAUAUGUAUAUAGCCAUGGGCAACCUCCUUAAUUUCCUGGAAUGAUAGAUGGUAGUAAUUGGUAGCCAAAAAGAUAGAUCAGUUCCUUCCAUUAAUCCACUAAUGCUGGUAAGGAGAGGCAGCUUGGAUUCUAUUCUUGCGUUUUUGGAGGAACCUUUGAAGAGAUUUCUUCAUGGAAAGUCCAGCACUUGGGCUAUAUAGCUGAGGUGAUAGCGUUGGUGAAGCCGGUGCUGAUCCUGUUGGAGUUUUUAUUCUUUCAUCCAUGUUUUCUCGGUUUGCUAGCAUUAGAAUGGCUCUUGCCUAAGGUUCCAUGUACACAAUUUCAUUAACCAAACAAACAAACCCAUGAUAUUUGUAUAUCAUCAAUCUAAAAAAUUUUAAACAUUUUGAAAAAUAAGACUUUAAUGAACGUAAAUGAAUUGCCAACAAUCCUAUGAUUUAUUUGAUAAAAUAUUAAAAUUUUAAUUUCAGUAAUUAGAAUAAUAUAGAAUAUCAUAUAUAUCUCCUUUCAUGGUAAAAAUUUGUUUUCUUAAUAAUUAAGGUUAUAAGAAUUGAAUUUUGAUUACUAGAACUAAAAAUUCAAAAUUUUAUGGAUAAACCAUGCGAUUGUUUGACAAUAGUUUUGGUUAUUGAUAAGUUGUCAAAAAUAUCUUAUUAACCACGAAAGUAGAAAAAAUUGCAUAUCAAACUCAAACUGCAUGAAAUUGUGGUGCUUAAAAUUGGAGGACAAAUCUUGCUUGUGCUUUAUAUUUGAAUUUUGCAUUGAACUCCCGUAACUUCGGUGAAGCAAGCAUGCUGAUUUUGUAUACUUGUUAACAUUUCCAAAAUUACAACACCAAAAAAUUAAGCAACCAUUUCAUUUAUGCCAAGACCAACAGAAAACUCAGCCAAAUUUACGUAAAUAGAAAAAAUAAUUUAUUUAUUUCAUGCGACCAUCUUUAAAAAAUUAAUAUUCAAGAAAAUUGAAUAUAAAUUCAAACACCUGCAAUUUUUACGUAUACCCGGAUCAUGAUCUCUUAUAUAUAUAUAUAUAUAUAUAUAUAUAUAUAUAUAUAUUUCUUCAGUCAAUUAUAUUAAUGCAUGAAUAAUUUUCUAAAGUUUCAACUAACAAAAGAAAAGAGGGGAAAAAAACCAAAAGAAAAGAAAGGGAAUUGAAACCAAAUUGUUACAUACCUGGAGCUCUGUAACAUCACAAACACAAACUCUUCCAUUGUAGAAAAUUGUCAGCUGUUGCUGUUGGUUUUGUGGGCUUUCAUUGCUCUCUUCCACCCUUCAUUCGCACAAAACAAACAAUCAAAAUCAAACACUCUGUAAUAUAGAAACAAGACAAUAAAAACAAAAACAAAAAGUUUUGAAAAGAAGAGAAGUGCUUACAUGUCGUGACGGUCGCCGGGAAAAGAACCAGAAGGAAGGAGGCGAAGUUCCAAGUUGCAGUUUCGUCUCAUGUUAUACCCUUGUUUGAAUCUAAUUGGAUGAGAAAAUAAGGGUGGUUUUGGAGGAGAAGAAGAAGAAGAAGAAGAAGAAGAAAGUGGGGUUUCAAAGAGAAGAAGACAUUGAUAAUUUGGAGGGGAAAAGUUGAAGAAAGGGUUAUCUUAUAUAUAGAAGUGUGUGUGAAUGUGUUAUGGUGGGCAUCAACGUUUUUGAAAGCUAUGUUAAACACGUAACGCACAAAAACGAGACACACACAAAUUAAAAAAAUAAUAAUAAUAACAAAAAAAAAAGCAAUCCAAGCCUUUUUUUUUUUUUUUUUAAAUUUAAGCACGUGGAACAUGCAUUUUUACCUCCAAAAUUCAUGAUUUUCCACAGCUGUCUGCUUCCAUAUCCGUUGUACAAAAUCAAUGUGCUUUGAAGUCGGCAUAACUUUUUUUUUAAUAUAUAAAAAUCAAUAACUUCUCUCUUUUUCUUUUUCUUUUCAUUUUUUUUAUUAUUCUAAUUAGUGACUAAUUUUAGUGAAAGGGAUUUAUGGUUUGAAUGAAGGGAUUGUUUUCGUUUGGUAUUUUGAUUGUGGUAGUCUUUUCAAAUUAGUUGCUUAUAACAUAAUCAAAGUUAAUUGAUAGGUUAAUCUUUUCUUUGGUAGUUAGUUUUUAUUAGAUAGACAGAUGGAAUAAAAAAAGUUAUAUAUAUGGAUAUAUAUAUAUAUAUAUAUAUAUAUUUCUUAUUAUCAAAAACUUCUUUACAAAUGAAUUUUUUUAAUAAAAGAAGUCAUAAUUUAAAAAUAAAAAAAUUAUUGAUGUUGAUUUAUAAAUUUUAAAUUUAUUAAAUGUUAUUUUAAAAUGUUGUGAACCAACUUGAUGAAAUUGAAAUAUUUAUAAUGUAUCAUCUUAUAUAAAUAAUUAUAAUUUAUGGUAAGAUACAUAAAAUUUAUUGGAAAAUAUGUGCUAGGUUAUUGUGUCAAUAAGAUUGAUAAUAAUUUUAAUUAAUUACUAUUGAUAUAUAUAUUAUGAUUAAGCAUAGGGUAGAGUCCAAUUCAAAAUUAAUUUCCAUGUAAUACUUGGAGAGACCCAACAAAAAUGUUAGAUAAUAAAAAAAAAUAAAAUUUAAUAGAUGUGAGAUUAAAUUUCUUAAUAUAUAGUCAAACUGAUCAAAUAUAUAUUUUUUAUAAUAACUAUUUUUUCCUUAAAAGCAAAUAAAAACUUUAAUAUACCAUAUAUGGAAUGACAUCAUUCACAACUUUUUCUCUUUUAGACAUAGAAUGUGAAAUUCAAUUGUCCAAAAAGGAAUAUGUGUGUGUGUGUGUGUGUGUGUGUGUGUGUGUGUGUGUGUGUGUGUGUGUGUGUGUGUGUGUGUGUGUGUGUGUGUGUGUGUGUGUGUGUGUGUGUGUGUAGGCAAUAUCAAUUUACAUCAAUAUAAAAUUUUUUAGUUUUAUAUUUUUUUUAAUCAUUAAUUUUAAUAGAUCCAAUGAUCGAAAGAGACAAGUCAAAAAAAUGAUUUAAUUUUAUAUGUUAAAUAUAUUAAAAUUAAUAAUUAAAAAUUAAAAAUUUAAAAAAUUUACAUUGAUGUAAGUUGAUCAUUCUUCACAUAUAUAUAUUUAUUUAAAUAUAUGAUGUGGUUUGCAUUUUUUUUUUUUUGGUCUAAUUUACUAUCUUCACUUUCAUUCCAGACGAAUGUUGAAAUUCAAAGGAUUUGGUUCAAAUGAUAAAGUUGAAGUGAGAUUUGAGUAUACAUUUUAGAUUUAAACCAUACUAAUCUUUAUGAACAAAAAAAUAGAAGAAAAUUUAUUUUAAUUUUUUAAAUAUCAUUAAAGUGCAUAAAGGAAUAUGACAUUAUGACAAAUUAUUCAAUUUCCAAAAUUUUUCCCAAUAAAAGUUUAUACAUAAUAUUUAUUUUUUUUAAUGUAGAAUAUCUUAUAACAUUAAUUGAAGUUUGGUUACUGAGGCCUCAAUAAUUGGCAGAAUCUCACCUUUCUCAAUUUAAUUAUAUUUUUUUAAAUGCAUAUAAAUUACCUAUAACAUCCAAAACUAUGAAUUAGGUUAGCCCCACUUACCCUUUAUCCAUUUGUUGUAACUUUGACACAAAGAAUAUCAUGAUUUUGGACUAUAACUUUAACCAAACAAUCAAUGUUAAAAUUUUUUAUUCAUAGGAAACUUUAACUUUAAGAAGAAGGAAGACAUUUCGUGCGUUAAAAUUUAAACUUCAAACCUGUAACACCCGACAUAAUUAAUUGAGCCAACGCCCAAAAUCAAUAAAUUUGUCAAUAUAAAAUCAAGUAUGCUAUUCGAUUGUUAUUGACUAUGAGCUAAUAAUUAAGUAUUUAACGAGUGUUUUAAGAGCAUUUUUUAAAGUUAUUAUAUUAAAUAAUUUAUUAUUCAAUAGAUUAAAAAGUCAUAACAUUAAUUGUCAAUUACCAUAUUUAAUAUAAUUUAUUUUAAAUAAUUUUAAAGAAUGCUCUUAGUAAAAUCUAAUAAUUAAUUAGAUAUUGUAUUUUCUUUUAAUCAAACUAGGGAUGAAAUUUGAUUAUGCCUUUUCUUUUUACAUGAGAAAUUAAUGAUUACAAAUAACACAUUUAAUACAUAGAGUUUGUAAGGUAAAGAUCAUAAAUUUUUCAACGGAAAAUAAACUAAAAAACAAUGAUAAAAGUUUCACCUAUCAUCAUUGAUGAUCAAGAGUUAAAAAAAAAAAAAAAAAAGCUAUACACAACUCUUACCCUAGUAUAUACGAACAUAGAUUAAUUCAUGAAUACGGUAUAUUAUUAAUUAUAUUGUCAAACAGCUUAAUGAAAAGUAUUUAUAUUUUUAAAAUUUUUUUCUAAAUUUAUAUUAUUAAUUUUAUGAAUUUUUAUAAUUUUUAAUUAAUCACAUCGUCAUUCAUAAAAUAUAUAAAAAAAAGAUCGGAUAAUUAGAUAUGUAUGAUAUUCUUUACCUAACUUUCUCGUUUUCUUUUUCGAUCAUUAUCUUUUUUUUUUUCCCUUAUUUCAUUUUUUUAUAUAUUUUUUAUUGACUUAAGCAUCGAAUAAAUUUUCGAAAUAUUACUUUCGAUAACCUCCUAACCUUUUUCUUUGUGAUAAAUUUGACAUUCUCUUCAUCUAAACUUCUAACGAGCCCUUCGACUACUAGACCAAGAAUUACGUCUACAAAUAUAGCUACCACUUUCCAAACAAAGAUAAUUUUCCGUUAAUAUAUUUUCUAGAAAGCACAUUAAAAUUUCCAUUACCUAAUUUUUCACAUGUUAGAAAGAAAAGAAAGGGGAAGUUGGAAUUACAAAUAUUUUCACGUGGCCAAAAACAAAACCAUUUGACUUGUGGUGAUUGAUGUGGAAAAAAAUGGUGGGUUUUUGGCUUUUGGAUGUUUGAAGAUUUCCAAUUAAACAUGGGUGACCUAUAACUCUCAAAUUUUCAUUUAUAGCACGUGAUUAAUGUUGUUGUUGUUGUUGUUUUUUUAUCACGUGAUUCUUUUGGGUUUUUGAUCUAAAAGUUGGUGGUGGUUUUGUGAUAAGGUCCUAAAGAGAGGCAAGCAAAGCAAGUGUUUGCACUUUGUAGUUCACGUAAUAUGAUUACACAACUCUUUUUAACAUCCGGACAAUUGGCAACAACAUGGUAUCCAACAUCAAAAGUACUCUCAUUCUUGGUUAACCUAUUCUUUGAAAAAAAAUUUUUUUUCCCAUAUUACUUGGAUAUUUUUAUUAAAAAAAUGGAAAUAUUUCAUCAAAUUUAACUCUUUGAUUUAAAUAAAAAAAAUGAAGCUUUUUUUUCUUUAUUGAUCACAUAAAACCUAUCUUUUUAUUUAAAUAUAUAAAAUACGUUAAACAUCUAAUUUAAAAUUAAUUGAUAAUAAAUGAAAAGAUCAAACUUAAAUAUAAAAAUUUUAAAUUUAAUAAAUAUAAGAUAAUAUCACUUAAACAUAACUGAAACAACAAUAUAAUACGUGAAGAAACUCAUAAAAAUAUUAGGAAAAAAUCUUGUAUUCUAUUGUGUCAUCGGUUUGAAAUACUUUAAUAGUAAGAAAGAAGUUAAACUUAACAAGAUCUUACUAUUUUUGAAGUUUUUUAUAAAAAAUAUAUAUUUAUACAUUGAAUUAUCGAUGUAUAUACAUCUAAAGUUAGACAAUGUUCAAUUUCACAUUUUUAUUUGUGUGUAAAAUCAAAUAAAGUAGGUGUGGAUGAACACCCAACCUCAAUUGCUAAAACUAGAAAUCUUUCAAAAAAAAAAGAUGACAACUUGAUUGUGAAAAGAUCAUAAACCAAAAAAGAAAAGAAAUGCAAGAUUGCAUGCAAAUUGUGGACAUGCUAGAAGUAGAAAAUUUGGGAAGAUAGUAAAAUUUAAAAAAAAAAAAAAAAAGGAAAGGAAAACCCACGAGUCUUUCACGUGUUGUUGUAGGGCGUGAGGAGCACGACGCAAUCACAUGGGAGAAAAUGCUUUUGUAAAUGCCUGAUGAUUACCAAUCAAAACAAGUUUACAGACGCUCGAUUCAUUGUCAGCCAAAUCAUCGAAGUUGUUAGGUGAGAUCAUUAUGAUGAUUCUGACCACAUAAAAUUACCACCCCUUCUUUAACCAAACUGUCAAAUCUACGGCUCCAAUGGCUUCUCAUCCUUCAUUGCCAAAAUCAUCGGACGAAUAAGGUUUAGUCCCAUCUUUGUAUUUUAAAAAAGAUUUUAAUAAAAAUAUAUUAUUUUUAACAAAACAUAUGUAGUUAUGAACCAAGUGAUUGGGGAUUUUUGUGUAUUGGACUUUGAGCUUUCACUAGAGAAUAUAAGGAUUGAUGUCAGAGUUGUUUCUAUAUAUAAAGAAUUUUAUUUAUUAAGAUGUUAUAUUAUUAAAUAUAUAUAUAUUUUUUUGUAUUUGAAAAAUAUAUUAUUUAUACUAAUAUAUUCAACUUAAAAGACCUCUAAAAAUAAUAUAAGUCACUUGUGUGUUUAAACUUUUAGUAGAUUAAAAAAAUUAUUAAUUCUAGAAGAUUAAUAAGACUAUAAAAUCUAUUAAAAUAUCAAUAGUUGAUUCAUGAUUUCUCCAUGCCCAUGAUCAUUUUGUCAAUUUUAACAUGGAUAAUAAUAGCAUUUUACUAUUAGUUAGUCCUAUAUUUUUCUUCUAAGUGUCAUAUUAAAAAAAGGUAAAUUUAAGAUAGUACAUAAACUUCUAAAUUUUACGAAUUCGAUAAAAUUUAGAUGCAUAAAAUUAAAAUAUUUUAUUUCACAAGAUAAAACAAUAACAUAAAAUUAAUUUAUUAUAAGAGAUCGAAAAAUUUUAAAAAAAUCAUGUGUAAUUAUCACGAUAUUAAAUUUUUAAUUUUGCCGGUUAAAAUGACAAACAUGCUUUGUUAAUUACUUAUAAAGUUUGUUAGAACCAUGAUUUUGAAACCAAUUGAUCCCAUAUUCCGUACAUUAAUAUUAAAUUAGUUUUUCGGUACAAAGUUUAUACAUAGCCCAUUUGAUUCUAAUCAAUUUUGAGUUAGUCAAAUUGUUUCUUAGUGCUUUAACAAAAAAAAAAAAACCUCAAAUUUUCUCAGUAUGUGACGUAGGAUGGAAUAGAUCAUCAAUUACUAAUAUUAUAUUUAAAAUCACAUUCUUAAUAAUAAAAUAAAUAAGUGUACAAGUUUUCUUUUUGUUUUUCCUUAAAAAAAGUUCACUUUUCACCCGUAUAUUCUUUAAUCUAUCUAUCCCUUUCUUUUGUGAUGAUAGGCAAUUAGGCAUGCUUUUUUUAAAAAAUAAAAAAAAACACUAUUUUUAUUUUUUAUAAUAAAUAAGAGGCAUCUUUAGUUCAUUUAAGCUCUUUUAAUUAUUUUUAUUAAUUAUAAAUAAUUUUCAUAAAAAAUUGAAAUUUAAAAAAAAGUCAAAAGAUUCGGAAAGGAGUUCCAUGAAGCCGACGAGGAAGUCCGAGCACAUAGUUUUAAAGCCGGCUUAAUGGUAGCCGUAGAUCUGAUUAUCUAAAACAAGAUUAGUCAUAAAAAUUAUAAAUAAAUUUAAUAAAAUAAAAAAUAUAUUUUAUAUUGAUAUAAAUUAUAAUAUAUAAUUUUUAUAUAAAAUAUAAUAAAAAUAUAUAAAUUAUUAAUAUUUUAUAUGAUAUGAAUAUAUAAAACAUUUAAUUUAAUUAGAAUCAGGUUGAAACACCCAACCGUAAUCACUCGUCACCACAUAAUUCUUUGCAAAAGGGAGCACCCCGCUUUUUCAGGAAGGAAAGUGGCAUCGUCAUGCGGCUGGAAAAGGAUGACUGCUUAUGGGUGCUCGUUAGACAAUGGAAAGUUUGGGGAGGCUCUUACUAUUUGCAGUACAACAUAUCAUCUGGGGUCAUGAACUGCAAGGAAUGGUCACAUCUUAAUGAAGCUCCUUACUUGCAAAUAAACGGGAAAGUGAUUAGGCAGAAGGGUUGCAGUUAGUUAAGUUCAGUGUUCAAAGUAUUUUCAUUGGGGAAAUUGUCAGCAAAAAUAAUUGCAGAAAAAAGCUGCAGUAGGACAAAGUAUAUCAUAUCAUGAAAAGUAUUAAUUCAUAUUAACCUGAGCCAAACAAGACAGAUCUUGUAAGCAGGUUUGGUUUUGAUAAUAAUAUUACCCACUGCAGCUUUCACAAGAGAGCUUCACCCCAAAAAUAGAUUCAGGAAAUGCAUGCAAGUUUAUGUCAUAACAAUGCCAAAUGCAAACAUGUAUUAAUUCAUAUUAAAUCCAAAGCUCUAAAUGGCUACUAAAGUUCCCGAGAAACAGGAGAAAACUAUAGACAAUGAUGAGAAAUGUUUUAACCUGAGAACCAAAAAUGGCUUCAAAAUGGGUAGUGCCUUUCUGUGUGAUGGCAUCAUGAAUAAUUUGUCAUCUAUACUUCUCUAAAUAUAGAACGGAACUGGCUGAGAUUCUGUCAACAACAUGGUAACACUUCUAACCAUUCCACAUUUCUCUUUUUAAUUUUUUUUUUUUAUGUAAGUUAAAGAAUUCAUAUAUCUUUCUUCCUACUCAUUUUCAGCUUUCAUUCAAGGGAUUAUGGCUAAUAAAUUUCAUAAAUGUUUGCACAUUUCGGACAGUUCUUGCCAUCCAGAUAGAUCUGUCUAUAUCAAUAAUAGAAAAUUCAAGUAAUAAACUUUGCGGCCAUCGGGGGAAAAAUCACUCUAAGAAAGAGGCAAAACAUGCAAGAACCCUUACGAAAAAUUGCAAAAAGAAAGACAAAGUUAAUCGAAUUACAGAGUUGACAAUAGCAAAUAUCACAUAGGCAAUUUAGGAGCAAGAUUUUACCACCUCCUACAAAUUCCAUGACAAUUAGCAUAUCACAUUCUGAUACCACACUCUGAAUAGAUCAUUAUUUCUUCUUCUAUUUGGCAUGCAAGCCCAACAUUCUUUGUAACGAAGAACAAUGGGAACAAAGUGAAGGAGAAACAGUGUCACCCUACAUAAAGGAAAGAAGAAAAAAAAAAAAGAAGCUAACCCAUAGCAUUCAAGACCAGGGCCAGUUAGCAUCUCUCCAUACAAACAAUCGCUCCCCAUGAUUUCUCUCAGCCACAAUUCCUGAAUCACUUCCUCCAACCUGCAUGAAUUCCUCUUUGUUCUGUCCCAUUCCUGGGACAGCAUUGCAGUUUUCUAUCAUGCUUCAAAGCUUCCUCCCUGUAUGAUGGAUUAGUGUACUUUGAGUGUUGUAUGAAUGUCACAUUUUUCCACCAUAGCUUUAGAGCCCUGAAAAACAUGGCAAUUAAUAUGAACACACUGAUUAACUUCCAAAGCAUCUAGCAAAUGCAUUUCAGUCCAGCUCUGGUAGAAUGAAUUGACAGGGACAUAUCUGCAUAAGAAAUAAACUAAUCUUGAAUUUCUAAGCAACUUCUGUGCUUGUCAUGGUGUAUGGUAACGAACAUUAAAAUUGAACCUUAUGCUACAGGCACCAAAAUGCACAUUUGUUCCCACUCAAGAUGUCAAUUUAUAUAACUAGUUUAUACUAUGUUAAGUUUUGCAAAUUAGUGCUGAUACAUCAACUUAGAACUCAGAUAAGACUGAGUAUAAAAGUAAGUUGCAAUGCAGGUGACAAGCCCUGAGGCCUUGAGGUAAACGCGUGUACUUGACACUUGAAUAGCUUAGUUGAUACAAGAAACAUAAUACUCAAUCAUGUUAUAAACCAUGAGAGUUCAAAUAAACAAGUGAAUAUGCUUGUGAGUAGUAAGUAUGGUCCUCUUUAAAAUUGAAAGCAGCAGUUCAAUAUGUAAGAAGAAGAAACCAAACUGCCCUGUAGAAUUUGCUAGAUUGAUGUGACUUUUAGUCAAAUUUUGAUGAGUUAUAUUACGAAUGUACACUAGCUUCAUUUUAAAUUUCAGCAAAAAAUUUCCAAUUUGGGGCAAAUUCAACAUAGAAAACACAAACCUCAGCAAUGCACUUCUUCAAAACCUUAAUCGUAGAUAACUGUCACAAUAUUUCAAUCCAUUUCAUCAAUUCUUUCAAACAGUUGCGAUAAACAGCGAAAGAAAAUUCAGCAACUCACACUGGGCCGGCGGUUUUGGCAAUCCUACAAGCUUUGUUGCCGGAGAGGUGAUCGGAUUGCACGCGAGGAGCGUGAUCGAGGUCGAAGAGAGCAUAGCGGAAGGAGUACGGAAAGAAUGGCGGACGGGGCGGCAUCGCUCGUGUCAUACGGUGCCCUCGUAGAGAGAAACGGCUUCAACUUGGGUGGUGGAGAGUGGAGGAGGACCACGGUGGUGGAAGGGGAGGAGGAGAGAGAAAGCGACGGAAGAUUUCCAUUUUCCCGUUAAUCGGCAGUUGACGGUUGGAGAUUCAUUUUUUUUUUUUUCGGAUUGGAUGAUGAUGCCACGUCGGCAACCGACUUCAUACUCACUUCCAUCCAGUCAGAUCUCUCCACCUAACCCAACAGACGGCAUGUCCGUCAUCUGGCCUUUCACUCCUACACACGUGUCCGUAAUGCAUUUGCAAUAACAAAACGUCACCGUUGAGAACUAAAACAUGUGGUCGCACUUCUUUCUUCAAAGAAAUCGCCCGAGGCAAACAAUGAAAUAAAAAAUACCAAUGAAAGACCCUCAAACUCUCCGCCAUUUUCUUUUCCUUUCUCUCAUAUAAAUUUCAGUCUUACCUUCUCCACUUCUCCCUCUUAAUUCAAUUCCAUUUCUUUGAAAUUUAAUUUCAUUUUUCGAUUCUCAUUUUCUUUUCGCGGGUGCAAAUCCAAUGGCUGCGAUCUUCCAAGGAGUUGGAGCUGCUGCAGCUUCAUCACCGUCCAAUUCUUUAGAUUCCAAGAAAUUCCUGUUCUCUCCUCAUAGAUCCUUCUCUGGUUCGCUGCACUUAAAUUUUUCUUCCAUUUUCUUUUCUUUUCAUUUCAUUUUUUAAUAAGUUUUCCUUUUGAAAUAUGAUUUGGUGCCAUGUGGAAAGGGGCGAGCUUUGUAGUGGUCAGAUCUGAUGGAAGCGUGAACCCUAAAGGUCGAAGGGCUCAACGAUUGAUUGCCAAUGCGGUUGCAGUAAUGAUUUUUUUUUUCUCUUUCUCUUUCUUUUUACGUUUUUAUUUUUAUUUUUUAAAAUUUUGUGUUGUUACUAAAUUUGAUUGUAUUUUGUUAAUUUUUUAGACCAAAGCUGACAGCUCUGCAGCUUCGACUUCUUUAAACCAGGGUAUGGUUUUAUUUUCGUUUCAAAGUUAACUUUCGAAUUAGCAUUACAUUUUAGUCAAUUGCUCAAAUUUUGUUAAAUACGGGUUUUAAGAAUGUAAAAGCCAAUCAGUUAAUUGUAUUUAUAUCUCAUGUAAAUAUGAAAGAUGUCGAUUUUAGUACUUCAUUAAUAGCAUUGGUUGGCAAAUAUUGUCAAACUUUGCUGCCUAGCGACAUUAGUUGAAGAUAAUAUCAAAUUCUUUUAUUUUUCUUCUUAUUGUUUUAUUUUAGAAUUUAAUGUAUUUAAACUUGAAUGUUGCUUAAUCACCUAAAUAUAUAUAUAUAUAUAUAUAUAUCUAUUCUUCGGACAUUUUAAAUACGAUAGCGUUACCAUUGAUAUUUGAUACCAUAGUUUCUAGCAGGCACGAUUCGGCUGAUAUGUUUGUUUAGAUAAUUUCCUGUUUGAGAUGCAUGCUUAUUGAAGUCUUUAGCCUCAAAUUGUGGUCUAAGGUUUCUUGCAUUUGAUACCAUUCAUCACUUUUGUAAAAUCAAUGCAGUCUUUCAAAGAUGAAUUUAUUUGUCAGUACCGCUAUGUUCUAGUUGGCUUAGUCUUUUUCAGUUAGUGCCUUUAUUUUGACAAGCACUGUUCUUUUCUGUUGCAAUGCUGCAACCCUUAGUGCAAUGGCUGAGUCAUCUCAGUCCUACUGUUAUCAAGUGGGUGCCAUGGACAUUUGUGUCAAAUAUUGAAUGAAAAGGGCUUCACUUGAGUUUGGAGUGUAUGUAUGUAUACAUGCAUGCAUGCAUGCAUGUGUGUAUGUGUGGGUGUAUGUAUGUAUAAAUGUCUCUGUUUUUGUGUGUUGCAUGGGAGUUAUGUUGCAUGGUCAAAUUUCUGCAUUCAUACUUUUUAUCACUAUCAUGUCCUUUUUUAUGAAAAAUAUUAGCACUAUCACAUCAGUCUCAAUUAUCAGUGAUAUGUUUAAUUAUAUCUAUAUUGUAUCCCCAGGCAUGAGCUUUUACAUUUUGAAGCUCUACGAGAGGGCUUGGAAGAAGAAAUGGAGAGGGAUCCCUGUGUAUGUGUCAUGGGUGAAGAUGUGGGUCACUAUGGAGGCUCAUACAAAGUGACCAAAGGACUGGCUACAAAGUUGGGGACCUUAGGGUUCUUGGACACCCCUUAUAGCUGAGAAACUCCUUACUGGCAUGGGAAUUGGAGCUGAUAUGACUGGUCUGAGACCAGUUGUUGAGGGUAUGAACAUGGGAUUUCUCCUCCUUGCUUUUAAUCAGAUCUCCAACAACUGUGGUAUGCUUCACUAUACAUCUGGUGGCCAGUUUACCAUACCGAUAGUCAUUCAUGGACCUGGUGGUGUUGGACAUCAACCGGGGGCUGAGCACUCUCAAUGCCUUGAAUCAUAUUUUCAGUCAAUCCCUGGAAUCCAAAUGGUUGCAUGCUCAACCCCUUACAAUGCCAAGGGUUUAAUGAAGGCUGCAAUCAGAAGUGAGAACCCUGUUACAACCUCAAGGAGAGAAUCCUAGAUGAGGAUUAUAUCUGUAAUCUUGAGGAAGCUGAGAUGGUAAGGCCUGGAGAACAUGUCACUAUUCUAACCUAUUCAAGGAUGAGGUAUCAUGUGAUGAAGGCAGCAAAAACUUUGGUGAACAAGGGUUAUGAUCCUGAAGUAAUUGAUAUUAGGUCUUUGAAGCCAUUUGAUCUUUACACUAUUGGGAACUCAGUUAAGAAGACACAUCGUGUUCUUAUUGUGGAGGAGUGCAUGCGGACUGGUGGUUUGGUGCUAGCUUGACCGCUGCCAUUACUGAGAAUUUCCAUGAUUAUUUGGAUGCUCCAAUUAUAUGCUUAUCUUCACAGGAUGUGCCUACACCAUAUGCUGGAACAUUGGAGGAAUGGACUGUUGUUCAGCCUGCCCAGAUUGUGACAGCCGUUGAGCAGCUCUGCCAGUAGUUGCGAUAGCAAAAAUAGUGAUGGCGUAGUUGGAAGUUCUGUUGGUCUUGUCAUGUUUUUUUGGAAACCAGCUCUGUUGCAAUUUUUUUUUUUUUUUUAUAUCUAAUUUCGGUUUGUUAGAAAUUUUGUCUCAGUUGAAACUUGGAAAUGUUCAUCGAGUUGAGGCCUUUUGUGUGGCAAGUAAGAUCUUCUUUAAGCAAUAGUUACAGGUAAGAAUACUGGAAAAUAACUCUUUACUUCCAGUUUCUCUUUCACAUUAUUAAACACAUGAGAUAAAGCCAUGUAAUUCAUUUCGUCAUAAUUUUUUUCUGAUGGAAUGUGGUAUGGCAAAAUACUCUCAUAUAUUUAUAUCUUUUUAUUGUCUCUAAAUUCUCAGUUUUCAUUUUUCUUUUAAUCUUCGUUUAAACUUAUUCACUUCAUAUCUGCUGCUGUCAAGUUGCUGCUUUUGCCCCAAGCUCCCAGGGACUUGGCUUCGAUGGAAGUGGAAGAUUUAGCACUUAGUAAUAUAUUAACAAAUUGCUUGUUUGCAUUCUGGCUUAAUACCAUUGUUGCAAUGAAAGGUUCAUGUUUGCUUGGCAAUGGACUAAAACUAAAUUGGCUGAAACGAGAAAUCUAAUCCAUUUGUCAAUUAUCACUUCUUGAUUUUAUUACAUAAGGAUUAGUGGUUUUUAAUUACCUUUGAAUUUACUUCAUUUGCAUGACAUUGCAUUACAUUUGUUGAUUGUCUUUGCCACAACAUUGUGCUUUUAUGAUCGAUUGUCAUCACACGAAAGAGUUAGAAAUUCAUUUGAAACCAGGAAAUUGGUGUGGCUUGAGUAAAAAGAUGAGGAAUGUGGGUUAUGAGUGGGUCAGUUAUGUAUGGCCCUGGGGAGAGAAUCCUGCAGACUGUAGAGUCAGGUGUCAAUUAAAAGUCAUCUGCUCAGGAAUAUUUUGUACGGCCAACAAACUAAGCUUGCCCCUUUAUAGAGUUUUCUUUUGAGCAGAAGUCAACUCAUGCUUAAUAUUGUUGGUUCCUUUUUUUUUGGCAGUAGUCUUAAUGUAGAGCUCUCUGUUCAUGCUAAAAUUAGAACCCUACUCAAUUAUAUAAGAUCAAUGAGAAGGCUGAAUGAAAUAUUGUAGAUUGAGGUGAACCUUCACAUGAGAUAUUUUAUAGUUUCUGUAAUCCGGCCACAAUUACUUGAAAAUGUUGAAAGCUGUAAGCCCUUUCUUUGGGAUUGUUAAGUUUGGGGAGGGAAAGGUGAAGUAUGGCUGCCAUCGUGCCAUUUCCAAUCCAUUGCCACAAGAGCUGGACCUUUUUUUUUCUUUAGGAUUAUGUUUAGUGGCUUUCAGCAUAGCAUCUGAAUGUUUCAUACCCUGGAAAGGUUCCUGCUAAGACAAUAUACUAGCCAGAGGAUCUUGGCAAAAUGAAACAGCCUAGGGACUUUGAAAGCUAGCUGUUGCAUGAGUAACAAUGUUUUUCAGUAUGGUGGUUGGCACAUGCAUAAUCAACAAUGUGUCCAGCAGUCCACGAAAGCAAUCAUUACAGAGAUUUACAAUCUAUUGUUUUCUUGAUUGCAUUCAAACCUACCCAUGUGGAAGACAUGAGGAUUAAUAAAAUCAAAUUAUCAAUAGACGGCUGGAGAUUUCCUUGUGAGAUAAGCCAUGAUUUUUGUCUGAAGUCCUAGUGGUGGUUUUCUCAAUCCAGAUUGAUGAAGAUGUGGUUUUCCUGCCUUCUUUCUGUUGUCUUGAUUUCAUAAAAAUCUAUGGCGGCACCAUAUGUACGAAUAUCAUCAUUAAUUGUUAUUGUCAAAUUAAAGAUGAGUUGAUCUUGUUACAACUGACAAUGAUGCAAUUUUGUUGCUUGAUUUUCACCACAUACAUGUGCAUGUGGGCAUCUGGAAGGAGCAGCACCCCAUACAUCUCUCCCCACUUCCAAUAUACUUUUAACUGGCUUUCCCUAAGCAUUUGUGGUGCCAUUGCUUCCAGGGUAGGAAACAGAAGCUGAUACUUGGUUUACAACUCUGGACGCUUUUCCUAGGCUCCAAUGUUAUCCUCGAUUUUUUGCCUUUGGAUUUUUAGCACCCAAGUAGUUUUUCUAAUUACUUGAGGAGCCAUUAAUAUGUAGUAGUUUGAAAGUUUUAGGAUGGAUUGCAAACAAUAUGGGCUGCAAUUUUGGAUGGAUGGGUAGGCCCCAUCCUCUAUAUCUAUCUAUAAUAAUUACAUAUACUAAAUCUAAUACUCUCAACACCAUAUGAGUGGCUGAUAGUGUGGAGAAUAUGCAGCAAAUCUUUUCUUCUAUUUUCAUUUCCCAGAGUGUGCUCAAGCACAUGUUCACCAGCAUUUAUACUGGCUUUGCAUCGUUGCAUGUGGGUGGUUUUAUAUUGUAACAAGGACAUGAUGGGUUUUUUUGCAAGUUGCAAGCACUUUACAACUACUUGUCUAGUGGUUAUAAUUCCUUAGACUAAGCAGAACCAGAGGAUCAAGGGUAGGAGGAGCAAUUAAGUGCAUGAACAAGAGCAUAAACAUUGGUUGCUAUACUGCAAGCAUUCUCUUUUAACAACGGUCCUUUAUAUUUUUUAAUUUUGGGGACAGAAAUCCUUUAAGAUAUGAUUCAUUUCUUUUGUUGGCUCUGCUUCAAAUCUAUUAGAUGAUGCCUGCUUGCCAUGAUCUUUCUUUCUUAUUGUUAUUCAUGCCUCAAAUCAAUUGGACAUCGUUACUAACCUAAGAUAUUAGAGUGUAUAUGAUCUUGAGAUGGAUUCAUAGAUAUAGGUCUCGUGUCUGAUCAAAUUUAAUAGCUUAGCGUUCAAGGGCUCUGGAGCUCUUGCUAUACUGGUUUCGGAGGAUUGAUUUUUCCAUGAUGUGAUUGUCUAUAUAAAUGAUUUACUAGUAAUUAGGUUUUCAGGUGGACAGUAGCAUAAUCAAGCGAGAAUUGUUGCAUUUUUUAUUGAAGAUAUUUUACUUAAACCAUGUUUGAUAGGAAGGAAAAAUGUAGGGAAAGGAAAAGAAACAAACACAGCCUUAUUUUGUAAGAUUUAUGCAUAAACUAUUCAUGAUAUUUUUGUCCCUGUGAAAAAUCAUUUCUAAUAAUGCAAUAGAAUACUUACAAAAAAUGGUAAUUAUUGUCCACUUGUUUUGCUACUUGGUACCAGCAAGAACAAACCAGUAAAGAAUUGUUGGUCUAAAGAGUUAACAUAUAUAUAUAUUAAUUAGAUUGAUUCAUGUUAUGGGGGUAGCAGAUUGAAAUUUUGUCUUCGUACCCUUGCAAAGAGCAAUCGACUGCAGAUAUAAUCAAACAAAAACAUGUUCAUUUUUAAUUAGAACUUCUGUCUCAAACAUGCUUGAACAUGUCCUUUCUUAAGCUUCGUUGCUGUCCUAUGAUCCAUGCAUGAAUGUCGCUGUGCCAUGUUCCAUGUGAACACUCACAGUCUAAUGUCAUUUUCUUUGGUUAACCGUUGGCCUCUGAUCAGAUCAGAUCAUAAUAUGAUCUUUAAGCAGGCUCCUUGGAUACAAAAGUUACAUUGUUUUCUCCAUAAAUGUUUUCCUUUUUCCUUCAAUUUCAGGAAAAGGCAAUCAAUUCAGGCAUGAAUAUAUAUUGGCCCCAGCAGCAGUAUAGAUAUAUGCAUUUAAAUCUACCCAUGUGGAAGACUCGUGGAAUCCAAUUGGGAAUGUGAUGAGAUGGCAGUAGAUAUUUUGAUAUGAUCAUAUGUUCUUUCCUCUGCAAUACAUUUUGGCAUUUAUAAAAUGAUAAUUAUUUUUUCUUUCAUUUCCCUCUGUUUAUAAUUGGUUAGAACUAGAAAUCUACCCAUAUUUGUCUUUGGUAAGAUUCUUUCGACAUUAUCAUAUGAUAACCUAGUUUUUUAUUGGUAUUCGAAAUUAACAUGCUUGAAUCAAUACUCAUUACAAUUUUUAUUUUUUUUUUUUUUGCAUUAGGCAUGUGAAUCGAUCAUGUGCAAUAGCAAGUUUUAGGUGUUGGGAAGCAUGCGGUUUAAGGCAAAUGCACAAGUGAAAAAUGCAGCAAAGGUUUAUCAGUGCACGUGACCUGACCCUCUUCAAGAAAGUGACCCCCGGCCGACCCAAGUGCCUUGCUAAAACAAGCUUCACCGGGGACCAUAUUCUCCUUAAAUCACCACAAAAAAUGAACUGCAUCCAUACCAUUAUCACAUUCUAUGCAGAUGGCAUUGUGGCCCAGACAAGACUGGUUUGGAGAUAAAAUGUAGCAGCUGUUUACACUGAAAGAAACCUCGAUGGUCUUUUCUAGCCAUCCCAUCUCAAAACAUGUCAUUCAUUUAUCUCUGUGUUUUUUUUUUUUUUUAGUUUUUCUGGAUGAGGAGGCGGUGGGCUCACAACUGUUGAAACCUGUUAUUGUGGAUAUCAGGAUUAGGGCAUUAAAUUAAAUAAAUUUUUGUAGCAUCCCAAGAAACUUGUCUCUCUGAAAUUUUAUGUACCCGUCGUUUGUUUAUUAGGCUUUGCUUUUAUAAUUGCAUGCCUCAGGGCUGUAGGAAUUUCUGGGCAAAGGUUGCAUGGAAAAUGACUUCCAAUUCAACUCUGUCAUAAAUCUUUGUAACAGUCGAAGUUGGAGGAAAGAAGGAAAUGUAUUAAUUGGAAAAGAAAUUAUAUUAAGAAAUUGGUUUGCCGAUGCUCAUCCCAGUUAGAACAGUUGACAAGAAGUAAUAACUGCAUAUAUUUAGAAAGAUUUUAGCCGCAUAAUAUAAUAUUAAAAAUUGAUAAAGAUAUUAUUGAUUUAAUUGAUUAAGAUUUAUUUUUUUAUGAAUAUUUUUAAAUUUUAUUAGAGAUCAUUUAUUAAAAUUAUUUUAAAUAUAUAAUUUAUAAUUUUUUUAAAUCAUUGAAUUAAAAUAUAUCUGUAUCUUAAUUCAAGAAUUAAGUAACUUAUUUACUUUAAUUUUUUUCGGAAAAAAAAAACUGAUAAAGAUUUCUUACGUGAUUUUAGAAAUUUGUCACCACUACAGCUAACAGUAGUUUCUCCUAUAUAUAUAUAUAUAUAUAUAUAUAUAUAUAAAACUUUAAAAAAAUGUUAAAGUAAUAGAUGUGAAAAUCUAGCCUUUCCAGCGUAGGUGCCAGCUGCAGCUGCACGUGUGGUGUGGUAUGGCUCUUUAUUAUAAUAUUAUAUAAUAUAAACAAUUCUGUAUUUUUGUUUCUUCAAUGCGUAGAUGGGUACAUGGGAGUCUCUGCCUGAUUUUGACGUGAGGAGAUUGGUUUGUUCUGACCAUUUCUCAAAGGCCAAAUUGUAAAACCAAGUAACCAAUCAACAAUAACAAUAACAGUAGUUUGAUUUUCUAUUUGGCCUUCAAAAGUUAGCUAGCUUAUGUUUAAUUUGCAGCUGUCAAAACCCUUUUCGUGUCUCAGGCUCUCGAUUUCUUGGUAGCCAAGUAGAUAGCUUAAUUGGCUUGAAUUUUGCUGUCAGGUCUCCAAGUUACAAGGAGUCUCCAGCUUUCUUCCAAUCUGUUUUUUAUUAACAAUUUUUUUAUUAUAUAUUUUUGUUUGUGAAUUCCUCUCCUCGAUGAAGGGUUUUUUUUUUUAAAUGUUACAUUAAGUUAGCAUCAUUAGUAGAAUGUUUAUAUUCUUUUUCUUCAUUUUUAAGUUAGUUCUAGAAAAGUUCUAUGUAUUGUAUUUAAAAACAAUUAUUUUAAUUAAUUCUAACUGGCAGCCCUAUGGGGAGAGCUGAAGGCUUCAUAUGCUUCUUAAUUUUUUAUGUAUAGUGGUGGCAAUAAUAAGUUUUUGAGAUUAUAUUUAAUAUUACAUUGCACCGGGCCAUAAUCUUCCCAGUAGAUUCUAAGUACUUGGUCUUAACAUAUUUACAUGAAGAAACGAAUAAGAAAAUCGUCACUCUAUCACCCUAUGAGAGCUUGAAGAGUCUGGUAGAUCUGCGUGCAAAGGUCAGCAUAUGUUCAUAGCAAAACCGAAAUCCAGGAGAGAGCUGAGAGAGCGAGACGUGGUUGAAUGUACGCUUGACGCAGCCACAUUUCAAAAUGUGCAGUUGAUCUUUGCAGGGACACAUGUUUGCUUUUCCGCUAGACUGUUGGAAUAAUUUCUGUUGGUCAUAGGAUUGAGCACGUCGACAAAAUCGAGUUUCAAGCAGCUGUCCUGUCACAGCUUAUAGUUUCCUAGUAAAUUGUGGUGAAGUGCAUUGCCUGGUAAUGCUGAUGUUGAACUUGGAAAUGAUGACAAUUUCAAUAAUAACCAAGUAUGCAUUAAUUAUGAUGUCAGUAAGAGCUAGGGGGUUAAUGAUCUCAUUCUCAUAAUCACCGGUUUGAAAUUUUUAGUCAAAAUUUUUGUUUGCAUGAACAAAAUCUGAAAGCACCCAUGUUUCGAUGCCAUCAGUUUAUGGCAUGCAUCCAGGGGGCUGCUGCUUCAUGAGUAGAAGAAAAAAUGGAUUUGCCAGCCGGUUUUUUAUUUGGCCACAUGCAUGUUCUGCCUCACUGGCAUAGCUAUACGUAUAUGUAUAUAUUAUAGUUUCAAUGUCCUAUUGGUGAAUGGGAAUGAAAAUCAUAUUACAAUCUUUGAAACCCAUUAAACUGGUGAAAUCUAUGUUUGACGGUUUUCAACUAGAAUUCAGUAGUUUCAUUGACAUGGCCUGCGAAAAUUUGAGCAUAUGGCCUCGUCGCAAUGAUUCGCGGAGCUUAGAGGAAACUGUAAACAGUUGUAGUGGCAGGAAAUUGGAUAUAGAUGAGGCAGGACUUUGAUCAGCUUGAUGAACCAUAUAGUUUGAUAUUAUCCAACAACUUAGGGCAAUUGAAUGCAUAAAAAAACAUAUCCGAGCCAAUGAGGCUUUGGGUUAAUGGCAAGAAAAAGAUCAUAAAAUCCAAAGAUCCUAAGAUUAAUAUGUGUGUGAAUUUGAUUGUCUACUGGGACAAAGACAAAUAAUUCAUGAAGGAGGACGAAAAUAAUGAAUAACUAAUAUUUUAUUUGCUUGUUGUAAUGGGGUUUUAAGAGUAAAAUUUUUUAUUUAAAUAAGUUUUAAUUUUUUAAAAAUAUUAUCUAUCAAAAUCUUUUUGAAAACAUUACAUAUGUUAAUAUCAAUAUAAUUGUAUUUCGUUAAUCAUAAUUCUAUCAAGAAUAGAUCAAUAAAUAAAUAUUAAAAAAAUAUUAAAUUAAAUUAAAAUAAUAUAGAGAUUAGAGAAGAACCUGAUGAUAAUCCUUUUUCCUUUUUUUUUUGGUAAAGAAGAGAAAUCGGAUUGCAAAAGGAUAAUUCAUGCUCAAAUCUCAAUUAUCUACUAAUUUUUUUUUUUCAAAAUAUUUUGAUUUUCUAGCACUAUGGCCUUCUUAGACUAAUUUUCUAGCACUAACCCUAAUCCUAAAUGAUGAAAAUUGCUUAACUUUAUGUUUAUAAAGUUUGUUGUUAACAACAAAAGUGGCAUUAUGGCCUAUAGAUUAAAAAGAUGGAUUAGGAUUUUUUUUUUGCCACAUAUCGAUUAGGAGUUUAUAGGAUUAAAAAUUUAGAUUGUUUGAAUUUUUUUUGUAUAAAUAACUUAAGCCCAUUUUAAUUGAUAUAAUUUUUUGGAUUGAAUUAAGUAAAAUUAAGGGUAAAUAGAAUAACUAACUGUUAAAGCCAUAUUAAAUAAAAUUAAAUUAGUAUAAAUAUAAUGAUAUAAAAUUCACAGGAAUCAAUUUCUAAAUUAAUGGGGCAAGUCAUAAUUUAAAAUUGAUGAGGGCCAAGUUCCUAAAUUAAUCCGAAGAAAAGUAAUAGUCAAACAAUAAAACCAUAUUAGCAAAAUUUUUGGGGGUCAUGGCAGGAUAAAACUUAUAUCAAGUUUUUUAAGUGAAAUUUGUGAAAUAUUUUUUUAAAAAUGAUUUAAUAAAAAUUUUAAUAAAAAAUAUAAAUUGAUAGAUUGAUAGAGUUUAAUAUAAAAAUCAAUAAUAUAUAAAAAAAAUGAUUAAAAAUAUUAUUUAUAAAUUUGUUCGAUACUUAUUUGAUAGUAAAAAUUUUAUCAAUAUUUUUACUAAAAAUAUUUAUUAAAAAAAAUCAAAAUUUAUUAUAAUUUUUUUAAACUUUAUACACCCAGAUCUAUAUAACGAAAAUUUUCGAUCUAUCAAUUUUUAUUUAAUCCUUUUUUUAGAAAACUUCACAAAUUUCACAAAAAUUUCGUCUAAAUUUAUUCCCACAACCCAUGCUUGCCCACCCUUGUCUUUGCUUUUGGUUCUCUAAUUAUGUACUUUUCCAUUUUUUUUUAUCAAUUAUAAAACUUGCUUUUCAAAAGACAAAAAGUUUAUCCGAAAAAAAGAACACAUAUAUUAAAGGAACUCUAUUUUUAAAGAGCAAUGGUGCUCAAGAAUACCAAAAAAAAAAAAAAAAUCAUACUUAGCACGUAUUUUAUUUUCUCCAUUAAUUUUAUGCUUCACACACUUACCAGGCAACCAAAAAAUAUUUCUAAUUUUGUAGCACUAGUGUGGCGCAACAUUCAAUUUGCACCAUCAUACAAAGUAAGAGUAUACACUAACAUUAUUAAUAUUUGCUAAAGAUAAAUUAUUAGUGCAGAAAAACCAUUCAUCUUUAAAAAAAAAAAAAAAAAACCUUAAAACCAAGUGACCUUCUUUUCAAAAAAUAAAAUAAAAAUAAUAUUAAAAUAAUAAAAACAUGAAAAUUUAAUUCUUCUAUCUUGUCAAUUCAUCAAGUGAAUUUCUCUUCUAUAACUAUGCAAAGAGACGUUGAGAAUCUUUAAUAUGAAUCACAAACUUAAUUUCUUGAUUGGUGACUGAUCAGCAAUGUUAAGAUAGGGUGAAGAAAAUAUUUUUUUCUAAGCAUGUUUGUAAGUCAAAAAUUCCAUUCAAGUAAUAGUUCCUGGAUUAGGGCAAAAAAUAUAAUUAAAUUGUGAGUGAUGCUAGGGACAUCACAACAAAUCUUUUCUAUUAAUUGUUGUCUCAGCAAUCCAAACAAUGUGAAAAUUGAACUAUUAUCCAUCAAAUUCGUAGUAGUGAAUAAUUAAUAGAAAAAAAAUGUUGUAGUAGUGAGAGUUUAUGCAACAUUAUCAUCAAAUUGGGGUCUAAUUAGCUGGUUGGAUGAGGGUAAAUAUAUUAAUAUUUGACCGACUUCGAGCAGGGACACUUUGGGUUAUUUCUUUUUGGUUUUUUUUUUUUUUUUAAACUUUGCUGGUGUUCUGUCAGUGCCCAAGGGAAUUGGUAGCUAGGAUUAAGGUUUCUUUUAUUUUGAUUCUUCUUUUACUUAUCCUUCAUGGGUGGCCACUUCCCCUUCUCUAACUGGAAACCUCAAAUUGAAAGAUCUAAUAGAGUAGUCCACGAGUUUAUUAAUUAUUUAAAUAAUUAAUUUGUAAGAAAAUAUAAAAGUAAAGAAAUUUGAAGGAAUGAUGUUUGAUUAGGAAACAAUUACUAGGAGAAGAGUUUGGUGAUUAGUUUAAACAACGAUACAUGAUAGAGAGGUGGGUCAUCUUUUAUAUAUACACAAUUAUUUCUUUGGCAUAAAGUAAAUCAUACUUUAACGAUAAAAAAAAAAAAAAGAGUUGUAAAUGUUUAAUUAAAUAUGAAUUAUAUAUAUUUUAUAUCAAUUUUUAAGAAUAAUUAUAUAAAUUAAUUUAAUUAAAUUUAAAAUUUUAUAAAACUAUUUCUUUAUAAUAUGAAAAGUUAUUCAUUAAUUAUAAUUUUUAUAAACUUGGAGUGUUGAGAAUUCCCUUGAAAAGCAUUGAUUAAAUUAUGGUAUUAUAAAAUUAUAUUAAAAAAAUUAAGUAAAAAUAAUAAUACUAUUAGUAGUAGUAGAAGUUUGCAUCAUCCAAUUCGUCAUGGUGCACAGAUUUGAGGGAAAGUUAGAUGAUGAAAUUAACCAAAAAAAAAACAAAAAAACAAAAGAAAACUUCUUAAUUCGAUCUUCUCUUUCUCUACCCCUUUUUCCUUUUGUAAACGUGUGCUUUCCACUUUCUUUUUUUUUUUUUUCGUUGAAGCUCUCUCCCUUACAGGGUGACAUGCAAUUGUUAAGUAUCAUGAUUUUUUAAGCCUUCGAUGCCACGUGGGUUUUACGUUGACACCAUGUGCUUCAAAGCAAUUAGGGUUUUAAUGGAGGUUUUAUAACUAUGCUUUGCUUUGCUUGUUGUUAUUGUGACUGAUGGAGAGCAGUAUUAACAGUCACUCCGUCCCAUCAUACUAAUUAUCAUGUAUUGGUUCUCGUGAAAUUAAAAAAAAAAUAAUUUUAAUAUAUUUAAUAUUAAAAUUUUAAAUCUUUUUUAUAAGAUUAAAUGCCAAAAAAUAAAAUAAAAAAUAAAAAAAAGUAAGAGUUUAGAUAUUCCAAAAAGAAAAUAGAAUAUAUUUUUGAGAUAUCUCAAAAAAAUAUUAACAAAGAAAAUGAGAUAAAGAGAACAAUAUUAAGCUUAUUUUAUCGGUUGUGAUCCGCAUCAUGUUUUCGGUUUUAUGAAGAAAAGAUAGAGAAAAUAGGCAUACAAUGUUUCAUGUUUUUCAAUUAAUCUUUGUUGGGGAAUAAGCGAUGUAAAUCUAUUAUGAUAUUGUGGAAUUCGGUGAGUCUUAGCACCGAAAAAUUAGAAUUUAAUUUAAGAGCAAUGGGAAUUUGUAUUUUUUGGUACUAUACUGUAGGAUACAUGUAGAAUUUCCAGAAUCGAAAAAUUACUUUCAAUGUUCAAAGAUUAAUAUUUUAUAUAUAUAUAUCCAUGGUGCUGAGACAGGUAUUUCUUGCAUAGAUUUUAUGAAAGAAAAAUGCAAUUACCAUAAUGAUUUCGAUCAUUGAAAAUUAAGAGAAAAAUUAGAUAUGAUGAUUCAUAUAUUUAUAUCAUAUAAACUAUUAAAAUUUAUAUAUUAAUAUCGUAUUUUAUAUGAAAAUUAUCUAUUAUAAUUUUUGUCAAUAUAAAAAUAUAAAAUAUAUAUUUUUAUUUUAUUAAAUUUAGAUAUAAUUAUUACUAAAAUUUUAAAUUUUAUUAUUUUUAUAUCUUAUAUUUAUAUCGUAUUCAUAUAAUAUCAUCAUAUCAUAUUUUAAAUUGUUAAAUCUAAAAAAAUGACUAUACAAAAGAAAAGAAAAGGAAAACUUUUUUUUUUUAUGUUUGAAAUUUUGGGUUUAGAGUUUUAAUUUAUGACAAAUUUCAUGUUAAAUUUACAGGUGUAAAACUCAAAUUAUUUUACUACUUUCAAUUAAUUCAUAUAAAUAUUUUUAAAAAUUAUUAUUUUAAUAAAUUUAAAAUUUAAAUUUAAAUACAUACCAUCUUUUUUAACUAUCUUAAAUUAUUGUCUCCUUAAAACUCAAUUUUUUUGACAAAAUCCUGAGAUAAACCUAAGUGGGACUUUUGUGUUGGUGUCCAGUUGCUCUUUCAAUUCUCAAUGAGAAUUGAGUAGUCAGAAAAAAAAAAAAUCCUAAACAUGUCAUCCUCCAUACAUCCAACCUUGAUAAAUUUAUGGCCCAUAUUCAUUCUAUGGAAAAAAUGAAAUUUUACAUAACUUUUUUUGAAUAAAAUACCCAAAAAAAAAAAAAAAGAAAUUAAUCCUGCCGGGGGGUUAUGUAAUUUCAUAAAUUUUAAUUUGGCCAGCUGCUUUUUUGUAUAUAAACACAAAUUAGCUUUAAUGAGAUUAAUUUUUGUUUUGCAAUAAAGAAUAAACUAAUAAGACGCGAAAAUUAUAUAUUUUACUUUAAUUUAAAUCUCAUAUUUUAUUUUAUAAAUUUUUAAAAAAUCUCACAUUUUAUAAGUGUGAGUUUUGCUAUAUAUAUUUAGAAAAAUAGUGGUACUAAUAAUUGUAACAAAUUUUUUUUUAUUUUAGAUUAUGAUUAGGAUUAUAAUUCUGUUUUAUCACUACAACUAAUCAAAUUAAUUAUAGAUCAAUAAAACAUAACAAAAUGCAGUAUUGAAAUGACUAAUUUUUUUUAAUUUGAUUUCAAUUAAUUGAUCAUCAAAUGCAUCGAUUUAACAAAACAUUUAAUUGCAACAAUUCCCAACUAAUUAGCCAAAUUAAAGCUUUCAAAAGUACUUUCUGGUGUACUUAAUAAAACCAAAAAUUAAGAUUAGAGCAAAGUUGACUAGCUAAUUACUUAACUGAUCACUCUGUUAAUGUAUGUAAUUUAUUAAAGAUUUAUAUUUAAUUAAUUAUCAGUGUAUAAAUUUUAUAUAGAUAAUACAAUUAAGAUGAAUCAUAUCGAGUAAAUUUUUUUUUUCUGUUAGAUUUUUAAAUCACUUCAAGUCUUCAACCGACCAUAGAACCAUGUCCUCUGCAUUUUGAAUCAGAAAGGCUCUUCGAUAUCUGCAGACAAGAAGGGAAAAAAAAUGGAGUCAAAAUAAUGGCUGCCAAAACCCAAAAGACAAAAAGCUAAUAAUAUGUAACUAUGUUUGAAACUGAAUGAACAACAUUAUUCAAACUUAAUUGUAGAUAAAAAAGAAAAUAUGCACUAAAAAGAAUUGGGAACAGCCGAAACAGGCAAAUUCUGUGUGCACUGUAAAUAUUUAUAAUCCAGAAUGAAGAAGUGAAAACUUCACAGAUAAAAAUGAAGGAUGAAGGAAAGAAGGAAAGGGAAACCAGCAGAGCUCAAAUUCUAUAGCUACAUGCUAAAAAGCUACAAGCUGGUUCCUUGAAACCUAUAAUAAGGGGGAAAAUCCCUAUGUCUAACCUAAAAUUAAAUUUCCAGGAGAAUCCAGGAAUCUGUAAUCUGAACCAUCCCUCUGGUAAAGAUCUCCCUGUGCGGUUGUAAAAACCUGUUUUUUUUUUUUUUUCUUAACUUAAUUUACGUGUAAUUAAUCUUGAUUGAGCAAGGCCUUGGCGUCUAUAAACGUUCCAUGAAAGCCGUAUGGGACCCUGGAAGGUAAUUUAAUUGAAGCUUCGAGCUGUAAAUUCAUGGCGUUUACAAUUUGAAGCUCUGAUUUCCAAGUUUUCUCGUCGUGCACAAAUGAAAGAAUAUAGCCAUCAUCUUCAGCUGAUUCACAAUUGUCGUCUCCAGGCAAGAAAAACGGCUCCCCACCAUAUCUUUUAUCACCAUAAAUGUGUUUUUUUACCUCCCCAGUAAAAAGAUCAACCUUGGCGAAGCCCGACACUUUCGGCCAUGGUUCAGCAAUGGCAAGAUAAGCGUACCUUGUCUUCCUUCCAAGCAGGUUUCGGUUAACCAUCCCAGCUUCCAAGUUCACUUGCUCCGAUUCUGAGAUUAUUGGGCGGCGCGUGGACUCACCUGUCUUCAAAUUAAGCCUAAUUUCGGACAAUACACUCUUUAAACUCUCGUCACAUUCGUUGAAAAUAGAGUCGGGAGGUGUCAUGCAAGAACCAAUCACCACAACUUCAUCCGAUUCCGGCUCUUCCCAAGCGUUCCAUAGGUGAAAACAGAAAGUGUCAGGCGACUCAACCCAAAUAAUAUCCUUAGAAUCACUUGGAUUUUUAGAAAGAAUCCCAAAACGAGACUUCUUGUUCUUGUCAUAAAUCACAGGAGACCCACCGGUAAUCAUUUCUUGCAGCUUGAACACUACUUGCUGAUCAGGGAUCACCACGAAAUUCUUGGUGAUCGCGAAAUCAUGCAUCAUAGUUGGCACGGACAGAGGAAUCUCGACAUCUGGUGAUUUUUUACCGUCAGGGAAAAACCUGAAGUACUUUAAGUAAGGCUUUUGGACAACAUCGUAACUCAAGGCAAAGAGUUCCUUGGAAAAAGGAUCAAUUUUGGGAUGUGCAAUCAUUGAGGAUUUAAGUUGAUCAUCAAAACUGUAUCUUCCAACUGUUUCCAAAUCACCCGAGGAAGUGAUGCGCACGUGGUAAGGAAGAUCAUCUUCGGACAUCGCUAGAAGUCGGUUAUUGAAAUAGACUAAGCCAGCGUUAGCUACUCCAGUGCCUUUUUUGUGAUCGACAAGGCCAAAAAGCCCUCUCGCAUAAAAAAGUAAAAGCCUGGCAAUCCCUGAGUGGCCAUGAAGUUCACCAAUUGCCUUAGGGAAAACAGGGCGGCCCAAUUCUUUUUCUUGUAAAAAUCUUUGCGUUUCAGUAAAACGACAAGCGUAGCUGGCGUCCCCAUUAUCAAUGGUAACGGCAUGUACCAUGCCGUCACCGUCAAAGAAGUGGUGGCCAGCAACAGGCUCGAAUGAAGGGUUGGCGCCGUUCCGGAGAUAAACACCGUUGAUGCAAGAAGGUAUGGUGCCAGUGAUGGGAAGAGAUUGCUUGACGGGUUGUUCAGGGACGGGAGCAAAGUUUCCGGAGAUUUGCACACGUGGGUCAGCGGUUUUAGGAAGUGGGUGUUGACGCUCGUGUGAGACCAACGCCCUUUCAGCCAGGUCAAAGGCCAUGGCUGCAGCUCUUUGGAGGAGGUUCCAGUGUGGCUGUUGUUGGGGCUGGUGGUGGGUUUUGGGUUUUACAUUUACAGAGGUGUCUUCUCUUGGGAUUAAAGGGCUUUGGACUGGUUGUUUUGGGAAAUGGGGAACCGAGGGAGAGUGCAAAACUGACUGAAUAAUGUUGGCAUUGUUGCUUCCCCUAAGACUAGUUCUGUUGGGCUGCCGUUUCUUCCAGGAUAUGGAUGUUGGAGAGAAGCCCAAAUCCAUUGUCCUGGAGGAGAAGGAGGAAAGAGGAUGGGAAAUCUGGGCUUUGGCCCAAUUACCUGUGGAAGAAGCCAUGGCUUUUAAGGGAAGUAGGUGUUUUUCUGGUUCCGGGUGUGCUCAAAUUGAGGGCAAGAGAUAAGAGUGUAUGGCGCCUGAUCCCCAAAGAAAUGAAAGUGAGAGGAGGUGGGAGAGAGAGCGAGAGCUUUGGAGAGAAAGGAAGAGAAAAAUGGAGGUAUAAAUAGAGUUUGGGGUGCUGAAAGAGAAGGGAAUUUGUUUGUGUAGCGGUCCACCUCAGACAUCAAAGGGAAAACCACAUGCUGCAUUUGUUCAAUGGGCACUCGGUGAUUAUCAAUUGCAAACUUUUUGUAGACUUUAUAGCAGUAAAGGAGAGUCUUAACUCUCAACUCGCAAAGAAAAAAAAAAUCAUAUUAAAAAAUACGAUACGAUUCGAAAUAUUAUUUAUUUUAAUUUAUAAUUUUAUUUUAUAAAAUUUUUUUUAUAAAUUGAUAUAAGUCAUAAUAUUUGACAAUAAAAUCGACUCUGAAGAUAUUAACAAUGUGACGUCGAAAAAAAUAGAAUGAUGUAUGCAACAAUAAUCAACCUGUGAGGCAAAAUAAAAAACCUGCGAGGCCAUUCAUCAAAAAUUCGCUUGAAAGAUGGUUAGGUUUCAGCAUAAUUGGAGGGCAGAGGGUCCCUUGAAUAGGGACCAAUGAGAGGGACAUUUAGAGUCAGAGACACUUGUUCCCAAAUCCCACGGAAACGCAGAUAGUGAAGAAUCAAAUCACUCUACUGUUGAAACAAGCAAACCCCUACUUUUUUUAAAAGAGAAAAUCUAGUUUAAUUAGUUGCUUAUUAGGCCUUUCAUUUCCUUUUUGUUCUUACAAAAUAUGUCAUAAAUAUUUUAUAAAAUUAUAAUAAAAUAUUUGAUAUAAUAAUUAAAAUUUUUAAAAUUUUUAAUAUAAUAUUUAAAUUAAAAAUCAUUAAUUAAUAUAAUAUUUAUAUUUAAUAUUAUUAAAUAUUUGUAUUUAAUAUUAUUAAUAAUAUUAAAUAUAAAUAUUAUAUUAAUUAAUAAAUUUAUAAUUUAAAUAUUAUAUUAAAUAUUUUAUUAUAAUUCAAAAACUAUUCAAACCAUUCACCUUAUAAAAUUUAUCUUCCCCUUUUUAGAGAUCUCAUCUACCGACUUGACCCACACAAUCUUUUUUGUCUCAUUCCUUUCCAACCACGAAAUCUAGGCAUAUCAUUAAUCCCAUAGUACCUCACCAUCUUUUAAAUAUAUAUAUAUAUAUAUAUAUAUAUAUAUACAAAGAAAAAUUAACUUACAAAAUGAAAAUUUAAAAAAAAAAUUGCAUAUUUUUUUAAUUAAUAAUUUUAAUAUAUUUUAAGGAUGAGAUUAAAUUUUUUAUUUAUUUAUUUAUUUUUUGAAUAUAUUAAAAUUAAUAGUUAAAAAAUAUAUAAUUUUUUUAAAUUUUAUAUUGUAUAAAUUGAUUAUAUAUAUAUAUAUAUAUAUACUCAUAUUUUCCUCGUGAUACAUAACAUUUACCCAGCAAUGAUUAAUGAAAAUUUAAUGCCCCUGCCCAUUCUUCUCUAAUCCACAUCCGAUCACUCCUCCCUUUGUCUCCGGCCACCACUUCCCAUGCAUUAAAUUAUUGUAACCCUCGUGAUAUUUUUUGUCUCUCUUAUUGGCCAGUUCCCUGCUAUAACUUUUCCAGCCGGGGAUUAAUCAGGUCUAUAUUAAUUAAUAAUAAUAUCAUUGUCAUGCAUCUUUAAGUGAAUUUGUCACGAAUUUAGUUUUCUUCGUUUCUUUUCUUAUUUAAUUUUAUCCACCUGAAAGAAAAACAGUAGUUAUAUAAUUCUUUUAUAUAUAUAAACAUUUGUCGACUACUCUUUGAUUAAAUAAUAAGAGAUAGUCUUUUUUUUUUUCAUAUGUAAAUCACUUCUAUCAUAUUAGAACUUGAAUUUUUAAAUUUUGAUUAUAAAAAUUUUUCUUUGAAUGUUGAAAAAAAAAUCAUUAUUUGGCAAAAGUUUGUCGAAAAUUUGUUGCGAGACUUUCUUGUGGAUUUUUUUGCUUGGUACGUAGAAGUUGAGAAUUAUAUAUUUUUUUCCAUAGAAUUGUAAUUUUCUUAUGUAUGUAUGAUUUUGGAAUAUUUUUUGGAAUUAAAACGCUCUUAAUAACAUAAUCAUUGGUAUUAUUACAUAAUGAAAAUGUGUAAUUUAAGUAUUUAAUUAGAAGAACACGAUGAAUUUUAAACCCUAUUAAACCUAAUAUGCAUAUACUUCCAAAUCUUUAUUCGGUUCCUUUUUUCCCAAAUUGCAAUCCUUUUGUCACGUAACCAUACUUUAAUAGAAGUCACUCAAAUUUUGUGGGUCGGGCAGUAUAGGAGGCUGAAUAGGGACUGUACGUUUUCAUUUUCCACGUCUCGUUGGAAAGAUGGCAUUAAGCUUUCUAUCUUCUUCUUCGCCUUAUUUAACCUCUAACAUCUUCAAUUCUAACUAUUAGAUAAAAUCGGUCCUUAAAAGACAAAAACAAACCAACUAUUAAGGGCUUUGUACUGGUAUUAGAGUACAAUUUGGGUCCUUCCAUAGACCUAUAAGACGAACAUUGGGGGAAGGGGGCAAUUUUCAUUAAUGUGAUGUUUCAUAUCAUGAGGAUGUUAAAAUCAUUCGAAUUUACCAAACUGAAAUAUUAAAAUUGAGACAAAUAUCAAGCGACAAUUUUUUAAGCCAUCAAUAUCUUGUGCAUUCAAUAUUAUAAUAAAUCUUAUAUCGAAUAUUUUUAAUAACAUCUGCUUUGACAAUAACAUUUCGAUCUUUAGCCAUGAACAAAAUGGGAUUGUUACCUUAAAUCUCUGCUCUUGGUACCAGUUGUAGUAUUUUGCUAUAGUACUGAUUUGGUACAAUAUUUCCCUCUCCUAAUGCUACAAUAACACUAAUAUCACUCUUUUAUUUAUAUGAACAAAUAACAAAUACAAUAGGUGUAUUUUCACCAAGCUAACUGAGUUGGGGUCCCCCAUCUAAUCAUUUUCUAUGCGAGGAAAAAAAAUCCUCCGAUGUUGCAAAAUUGUAGCACUCAAGCUGAAAGAUGAUGGCAUUAAUUAUUGGCAGUGAUGGAAUAAGGAUGGCGAUCGAAGAUGGCUAAUGGUACUAUAUAUAUAUAUCCCAUUGGAGUUUAGUGUAUAGCCUGUCUUAGUUUUUGGAUACGGUCCUAUACAAAGAUUCAAUUUUAGAUCCUGUCGAAGGGCCACAUCAGAUAAAGAAGGAUGAAAAUGAUGCCUAAUGAGGCAUCCUUUUCUUCAAACUUUCUAUUGAAAUGUAAGCCACAGAUAUUGGAACUCAAAAUCAAGUGGGGAAAGAUUGGUUUCUCUCUCUCUCUCUCUCUCUCUCUCUCUUCCUUUUGUUGUUUCUUGAUGAAAAGUUAAUGAAAUGAGCUGAAGUAUCAAGAAAUUUAAAGAAAAUUUUGGUUUGUUUUAUUUUUGUAGUUUGUUCCUUUUAUUGUCCCUUCAAUUAAUUAAUUAAUUAAUUACUUCUCUCUAUUGGGGAGCAAGUGAAAGUUAGUUGCCUUAAUUAUAAUUAAACAGCAUUGUACAUGUUUUCAGAUUGUCAUGUUUCGGUAUAGCAGAUCUCUUACAUGAAGAUUUUACCCUUGGAACAUCCUUGGCUUACGUAAGAGAUAGGAUUAUUAGAGGCAAAAAUGGUGACAGCCAACAGCUAGAUAGGUUAUAGUGCAGCAGAGAAGUUAGCCUUUCGUUGUUUUGCCUUUUUCUUGGAGCAAUCUCAUGUCAUUUCAUGCAAGUUGUUGUCAAUUUGUCAGGCAGGCACACCAUGUUCAGGUCAUUCCAAAACCAAGUCCAUCAUAUAUGGUUACCUGCUUGAAAGACUUUUCCCAGGGGAAGGGUAAUGGGGCCGCCGUGCCAUUAGGUAGCUAGGCUCAAUGACAGCUUGCUAUUGGGUGGCAUCGCUCGAUCUACACCAAGUUCGAGCAACUUGCAAAACUUGCUACAUAUUUAUGAAUAAAAUUUGAUUAAUUCUUAGUCACUAGGGAUUUCAUUUUGUACAGAAGUUUCUACUUUUGUUGAAGCAUUUCAAAUUAAAGAUCAGAGAGGAAGGACGUCGACUAUCUAUUUCUGCCUUCGAAUCGACUUCCUCGAAAAUUAUUGGGCGCAACCCACUUGUAAAAAGAAGUGACAUUUCACUGAUCAGUGAGGCAUUCUCACGACUCACUUUAUUUGCCUUCUGACACUGACAAUGCACCAAGUGGCUUACUAAUAUGGGGACAGUUGUACCAUCUCGUGAAAUGACACUUGGAGUGCUCAAUAAUGCAUGGCUCAUGAUUUGAGUUGUAUGUCUUUCUGCACCAUUGAUAUUAAUCACCAAAAUGAAAGAACAAAUUAUGGAUAUAUAAUGUUGAUCAAAUAUUGCUUCACAGUUCUCAUAUAAGAAGAAAAAUAUCAGGGACGAGAAACGUCUUUUCUUUUGACAUUAUUCCAAAAGUUUUUGUUAUAGCAAAGCAAUGAUACUUUUCAAUGUUGGAUUUUGGUUAGCACUAGAUGAGUCCCUUUGAUAUUUCUUAAAAAAAAACAAAAUCCCGAUGCACAGAAUUCUUUGCUUUACGAGGGUUGGAAUGAGAGUUCAUAAUAUGCGACAUUUUUUUUACAUUUUUUCAAAGAAACAAUUUCCAAGACUCCCUUUGAUAUUUCUUAUUAAAAUUAAUAUCUGUUGAGAGUGGAUUAUUUAUUGCCCAUAAUCGAUGAAAGCUCAGGAUGGCGAAUGUUAUUGGUACACGACGAGUGUGUGGAGUUUCAAUGUUUGUUUAAAUCCCAUAUAUAAAACGUGACCGUGUUGGCCAAUUUUAUUGCCAGGAACUCGGUUUCUGCUUUAAUUUUGCUGAUUUAAUCAUCGAUCGGCUGCUAGGGCAUAAUCAAAAGAGCACAUUAAUUUAUUAUAGUAAGGAUUAGUUGAUGCCAUAAUGACACCAUUUGUUUAAAAUUAGUAGUAUCUAUAAUAGCUAAAGUUGAUCAUUAACAUUGGUGGAAAGUUUGGAGGAGUAAAGUUAUGUAUAAAUAUGACUUUAUAGCUCCAAUAAAACAUGAGAAUUAGGUUCUUUGAUGAAUGCUUUUGAGCUUCUAAUUCAGUUCUAGUCAUCCAUAAUGUUCCAUUGAUAGAUAUAAAUCAAAGGUUUAUUGCUAAUAUGAGAAACUAGCUAGUUAGAUUCCGAGAUCCUUGAGUGCAUAGAUAUAUAAAUGAGGAUAAAUUUAUGUAAUUCAAAUUGCUCGUGCUAAUAAUUUGUUAAUGAAAUAUUAAAUUUUUAAUUUCAAUAAUUAAAAUUCAAUCUAUCAAAGUUUCAAAUACCAAAAAAAAAAAAUAAUUUCUCAAACUAGCUAAUGGCUAGAUCACAUGCCUUAGUACUAAUUUGGUAGCCAUUAGUCCUAAAAUUGAAGUUGGGUGCAUGCCAUAAUUUUCUGUCUGCUGCAAGCACAUGAAAAUGUCGAAAUUUUAAUGUUUUUUUUUUUUUUUUUAUAUAUAGAGGAUGGUGGAUACAAAAUUAACUUUAUGAAUGCAAAAAAUAAAAAAAAUGUUCAAACAAAAAAAUCUUUAUCAUUAAUGAAAAUAUCUGAAUUAUGUAUAGAGUAUAUAUCAGUGUAUAACUAAAAAGUUUUAUAUUUUUUUUAAUCAUUGAUUUUAAUAAAUUGAAGGGAUUAGAGAAACAAACAAAAAAGAGAAAAGAUGUGCUUAGUUUUAUCUCUCGAAUAUAUUGAAAUUAAUUAUUAAAAAAAUAUAAAAAGAUUUUUUUUUAUAUAAACAAAUUAAGGAAUUCUACUACAUCAUAGAUAAUACUAAUUAUUGACCUUAAUUAGAUUAGUUUGAUUAAUAUUAUUAUUUCUUUCUUUUCUCCAAAUGGUGUGGCAGGUAAGAUUAAGCAAAUCAAAAUGUAGGUAAAUGGUAAUUUGAAAUUGACUAAUUGUUCUUAAUCCAUUUCUCACUCCAUAUAUAUAUGGUUUAAUUAUUAAAAUUUUCAAAAGUUCCAAUGCUCACUAGUGUAUAAUGUAUGGGAAUUGGGAUGCAAAUCAUGCGGUCCUCCCUUUUUUUGUCCAUUUCUUUAUUCAAAACUUUAUGGUAUAUAAAUAUAAAAUUAUAAUAAUAAUAUAAUAUAUAUGGUAACCUAAAAGAAAGAAGAAAAACCAGUUUAAUAAUUAAACGAUUCCACAACCCAUCUGAUUGACCAGAAAUAAACUACCAACUGCCAUACCCACCAAUUCUAUAUCAUCCAUUUUACAAGCUCUCAAAUGCCAUAAAAUUAAUUAUCUUGUUCUUCUAUGUUAGACAAAUGGCUUAAUUAACUAAUUAAUUAAAGAUGGGCUCUUUGAUUUUUUUUUUUUAAAGAAAAGAAACUGAGAUAGAAAGAGGGAAUAAAUUCUAAAAGUGGGUGAGAGGGGUCCUCCAUUUUCUCGUUAUUUCUUGGUAGCCUCUUGCUUUUUAUGUGCAAUUGUGCAUGCACUGGUACAAAGAGGGUCAAACUUUUAUAGAAAAUUAUGGAUCAAGGGAAUUAUAUAUGUGAAAAGAAAACCAUGAAUUAGGUAUAAAAGUGUUGUUUUUAACAUGGGAAAAAUGAAAAGCCAAGCCAAUAUUAUUUGAAGACAUGAAUAUAGUCAAAGGUAGGUUGAGAAAAAGAAAGAGAUCCAUCAUGGGAUUUGAGUUUGGUAGCACAUGGUCUACAUAGAAUAAGGGGGAGAAUGUGAGGUGGUUGGAUUCUUCAUCUCCAAGCAUAGCAACUCCCACUAAUGGACAGUACUCAAAACAAAAAAAAAAAAAAAAAAAAAACCAAAUACUUAAUUAGUUUUUCAUGAUUUAGGGUGAAUCUAAUGUCAGGAUAUAUGUGUUCGAAAGAACCACGCAAUAUUGGAACUAAGAGUUUUGGACGUUAUUCCUUAAAAUUUGUUAUGUUCCAUGUUUCUUCAAAUUCUGCUUUUUUGGUUAAGUAUCCAAGAGAGAUUUGAUUGUCGAUCGACCUGGUACAUGAACCAGAACAUUUGGUCGUCUAUAUAGUUCUAAUUGCAAUGGGAAAUAUAUCUUAGACCAGUGAUGAUUUGCCUUUUUAUAUAUAAAACGGAUCAUCCUCCAAUAUUUGAAGAAGUAGCUAGGUCAGUGGAAAGUAGAUAUAUCAUAUAUGUUAAUUUUUUUUUUGCUAAUUCAAAAAACUUUUAUUAGGGAAUUAAAGCAUGGUAUAAUGCCAUGAUACACCAGAAUGUAAGUCAUCACCAUCAUAACCAAUUAAAGACAAUCAGAACCAGAUAGACAUAAAAAAAAAAUUCCCAUACCCGUACAAAAGUUGACCUCCUACCAUGAGGCAAUAAACACUUCUUUUUUAUAUGCUUCUUUAAUAGCCCAAGCUUCUGCCAUGCCAUAAUCAUUGAAAUCUGCAGUUUUUGAAGUUUAUUUCCCUGUUUAUAUCAUAUGACUGAAAAAUUCCUUGAAAAGCAUAUUUUGAAUGCAAUGUAACCCAGAGAAACCCCAAUGUGAUGAAAAGCUGCUAUAAUCUCCAACUAAAUACGUUGUGAUUAAAACUAUGUAAAUUUGUCAAACAUCCUCAUUAAUAGCCCUUCAUAACUUCGAAGAAACUCCUCAAUAAUUACCAAAAUUAAUUCUCAUAACGUUAUAAAAGGGGCAAGUAUUAACGUUGCAUGUACCCCGUGCUGCCAUGCAUCAAAACCUGGCAUAAUUUUCAGGAGAAAAUUAUGUGAUAGUUUUAUGCUCUUUCUCCGUAGAAAAAGAAUGCCUAUAUAUCGACAUUGCCAUGUUAUUAGAUUCAUCCAAACUCAUGACGAGAGCCUACCUGCAGGAACAGCCAAGUUGCACCCCUGCAGGUAGAUCAAAUCCACGUUAAAAGAGCUUACAUGGCAGCAUUCCUUAGCCACCAGACAUUCAAAAACGACUGAAAGUUCAACUAAAAACUUUUCUGCCCUUUGUCACAACUCAUAGCUCAAAAACUAAUUGAUCUAGUCAAUCUCCACUUCUUAACAAACUCUAGCCACUACUUCCUCUAUUUUCUCCAUCCUCACGACAUGCAAUUUCCAACUUGUAUCUGUAGGGCUUUCGCUAUCAAUCGUAUUCUUGAUAAAGCUUAAUAGAUUUUUCUUUUCUUUUGAUACAUAUGUUAUAAUCGAAGUUCCUGUUCGAUUCUUAAAUUAGUUCAUUAUAGAUGAUAAUCUUGUGAAAAAAAAGUCCAGCCAUUAAGCCCUAGUGGUGGCAGUUCAGAAGAAACAUGGAGAUACUUGAGUCAACGCCUAAUAUUUUUAAGUGUCUUGUCUGUCUUACUAUUGACUAUUGAUGCUACAUUGAUGCUACAUAUCUAAGUUGAAAAUUUCCUAAACAAAACCUAUGGCCAAAAAAUUUUCCUUCUCCAUUCAAAUGUCAAAUAGUUGUUUUGGUUCUCCUACUAUCAAUAUCAAAAGUACUGCUUGUAGUUGUAGGCCUAUGCAUAUAGCUUUAUAUGUAGGAAUUCCAUUAAAUAAAAAAUGUUCUUUUUUCUCCCCAUAUUAUGAAAUAAAUAUAUAUAAAAAUCCAAAGUUUAGGUAGAUGAUUCAUACACUCAUCUUUAAAAUUUGAAGUUUAAAUUCCAACAUUUAUAAUUUCUUUCUUUAUCUCUAAAUUAGGAUAUCCUUUGUAAAAACAAACUGAAUAUAAGAAGAAUAACAAUCCAAUAAUAACAACUUUCCCAUAGCAUUACUCACUGAAAAAUCUUGCCCCGGCCCUGUUACAAAGUUUUUUUUUUUUUUGUACUAUUUAUAUUUAAAAGAAAAUUGAAGUCUAAUUCGAAUUAAUAUUAUCUAAUCUUUAACAAUGAAUAAGCAUAUUAAGAAAUCGGAUUAAACAUGUCUAAUAUUUGAGACCAAUAUCUUUAAAAAACUCAAUAAUGGCCCAAACACAAUAGGACCAAAAGGUAUCACAUGAUGCUAAUGCCAUGGAGGUACUUACCCUAUAUGGAGAUAAAUGAGAAAAGGAAUAUGCCACUGCCAUGAUCUGGUGCAUGGUUCAUUGCAAGUGCCUAAACUUAUGUCUUUUCAAGAGAUGAUAUAUAACAUAAAUUCAUGACAAAUGCUCCUACGCAUCAAAAUUAAUGUGGGGGUCAUCAUCAAAGUUCAUUGAUCAGAAAAAAAAAAGUCAAAAAUGUCUUUAAAUUGUAACUAUGAAGAGUGCAAAUAUAAUUUUCUAUCAUGUUUGGUGAACUUGCACUUGCCAAUCCCCCUUUUCCUCAACCAAAUUUCAGGUUUUUUUUUUUUUUUUUGUGCCUUCAUGCAAAUAAAUUUUGGAUAUGGUAACUUAACAAACCCCACCCCCCCACCCCAAAAAAAAAAAUCUUGUUGAUUUUUAGAAAUCAACUUGAAUUAAUUUGAUGGCAUGUCACAUAGGCUAGAAUAUUAUGUUCCAAGCUUCAACUGUUGUUAAUAUGGGUUCGGCCUAUAUAACUUUAGAUCCACACUUGGCUUGAAUUUGGGUUAGGGGUAAAAUUCUAGGCCCAACUAUUGGCCUGUUUUUAUCGGAUUAGCAGCCCAAAUAACUUGAAAGAUGCCUAUUUCUCCACCAAUCUAAAAAUUGAAUGGCCUCAUGGGCCAUGGCUCUCAAAGAAAAAGUAGAAGAAAAAUAACUUCUUGUUGCUCAGUAUCCAGUGGUUUUAGGCUUCCAGCUUUGUUUCUCAUCGUUUCGUCCUUCUCUCAACAGCUCUGUAGAACUGUGUAUGUCAUUUCCUUCAAAAUAAGGAAUACCCAUGUCGUUUCUUGAAGCGUUUUCCCCUGUUAAGGAGCUUUAUUUCGUUGUUCCAACGGUUUUAAUAGUUAUUUUCUUUAUCUUUUUGGUGAACAUGAGAGUAUUGAGACAUCUUUGAUAUUCUUUUCUUGGGUAGUUUUUUUUUUUUUUUUAGUUUCUUUGAAUUUUCAUUCGUAAAAAUUAUGUGUUGUUGUAUCUUUAAAUGGGACUUUAGCAUACAAGCUGCAAGAAUUCUAAUUGUCUACUUGUGAAAAAAUUUUAGUGCUUUCCAGGAGAGUGAAGAGAAAAAAGGGAUUUUGAGUUUCCAUUAUUCCUCAUAGUGACACAUUACAUUAGCUUAUGUUUGAUACGAAAUCAUCUAUGUAUUGAAGCUAUGAUAAAACUAAACUGCACCCUUCUUAUUCCAACCUCAUUUGAGACAAAACCAACAAUUAUUAAUCACAUAAGGGGAAAAAAAAUACAUUUUUCCCAUUUAUCUGAUUGUGAAAGCCCUAUGUCUUGUAGCAAGGUAGUGAACAAUGGGAUAUGAUUUGUUGAGGUAUUGAAGAUAGUGCUGAAUGUCUUUCUAGAUAUUUGAUGUCUGGUAAUAAGCUAUUGGCAUAUUUAUGAUCUACUGGUUGGUGCCCUCGCAUCAGAAUGCAAGUAAGUUUUGAGUUAGUUUUUGGGUAAGUGCGGGUAUAUUCUUGUCCAAAGUUCCAAAUCUUGCUUUAUCUUUGGCAAUACGUACUUUUGAUAAUCGACAGGUAUCAGCUAUGAUCAAUUGUCAAUUCAUCUUUUAGUGGGACUUCUGAUGCCUAGGCCAUCCUUAUUAUGGUAAGUAAGUUACAGUUGGUAUCUAAAUCUAAUUUUGUUAAACUAAUCAAAUUCUGUAAAAGCAAUUUAACUUCCAAUCUUAAAUAAAUAUCUUCAAAAUCUGCUUUGCCCAUUUUGCUUUAUUGUUUAUAUAGUUUUACCUUUAGUUCCUUCCAAACCCCUCAUCUUGUUGUGCAUUUUCUUCAUUGUUUUCCUAUUAUUUGUAGCUGAUCCAGAUUAGUUGUGGCUGCUGGUUACAGGGGUUCCAAUGCUAGAUAAUUAUUGGAUGUUCUAGGGCUAGGGACACAUGUUCGUACCCUGUGGCAAAUGCGGAGAAUUUUGUGAAAAUUUUAAAUUGAAAGCGCUGCAAAUUUUACAUUGUAGGGUCAAUUGGAUGGGGAGAGGAGAAAAAAGCUGAUCUGAUGGUGGAUUGCAUUAAAUAUGAUAUCAACAACCAUUUAAAUGAGACAGACUAUAGAGUUAUAGUUAUUGAAGGACUGUUGAUAGCUAACAGAGGGGUGGGGGUCAAUGAAUUAAUGUCUAGUGGUUUACAAUUAGGAUUCCUCUCCUUCAGGCAUGUCUGACUAGCUUCUUGGAGAAACAACACCCUUUUAACCAGAUGUUGCCUCACCUUAUAGUGAUUUGCACAGCAAGAUGUCUUCCAAAUACAAAUAAAGCAUAGGUUACUUAUUAUAACUUCUGUUUGAAUUUUGAAGUAGUUUAAUUAUGUAUAGUCCACUAUGGAUUAUAAUAUCUCUGAUGCAAUUAAUACCCAACAGAAAUACAUAUUUACUCUUUUGAGUAAAACAUCCUUUACACUCUUUCAAUUUAUUUGUCACAUUUAUAGAUGUCUCUAAGUGGUUACUUCACAAACCGAGAAAACUUUUUAAUGUUCAAGUGAAUAUUCUUGUUUGCUUCCUGGCAUUUAUAUGUUGCUAUUAUACCCCAUGAUUCAUUCAAUUUUAGCAUCCAUUUGAGAAAGAGAUAUGUCAAUCUUGAUACAAGAAUAUCAAAUAAACAUAAAAUUUACCUAUGAAAGAAGCAGAUAGAUUCCUUGUUUUAGGCUUGACUGGUGUUAACUGAAAUCUUGUUAAAAAAGUUUGCACCUGGGAUGUUCUCCAGUACAACUCUGGACCUCUGAGGUAAGAUAAUGUGUAUUAAGAAGAAUAGCAGAUUCUGCAUUUGUUGCAGAACAAGGACCUUCAUAAACUGGAAAAUUUUUUUACAAAAAUUAUAAGAAUCUUAUUUAGGCAAUCUUGACCUUAAGGAGUUGAUUGUUGUGCUUGUCAUAUGGCUUCUCUUGGAUGCAUUCUCAUGGAGUGGUUGCUGUUCGCUUUCUUCAGGAAAAGCAAUUUACUUUAAGGAAAGAGUGUAAAAAUGGAAAGAAGAAAUUCAAAUCUAUUAAGUUUUAUGUGCUAGUGCACUCUUGGCCUCUCUCUCUUGAAUGGCUCACGAUCUAGAGGAAUCAUUGCAGCACCUGGGAACAAUCAUUUAAUAAUAAUAGAUAUAGCUUUGCCUUAUGUAUUUACUGGAUUUUAUGAUUUAAAUCCAUUAAGAGUUCAAUGUUUGUGACAUUUCUUUGCUAUUCUCUGCCCAAUACAUGCACCUUUUUGAGACUUAAAUUGAUCAUCAAAUCACUAGUCUAAAUUUUGCGCAUUCUAGAGUGGACAAUAUUGAAGCAGUUGGGUAUGGUUAGAUCAUCAAUAUGUAGCAAUCAUGACCUAUGCUUUGCUUUCCUGUAAUUUAGUAAUGCCGGAUACAUCGAAUACCUUGAAUGACAUUGGCUGUUUAGUAGGACAUUCUAAAUAUCAAGAAAAAUUUAAGAAAAACUGAACAUGAGCAUGUAUCUGACACUGAUAUUAAGUCUGGGCAACAUAGAUAUGACAUUGAGAGCAGACCUUGGAUGCACCUGCUUUCCUUUUAUGUUUUACUCCAUGUUCCAAAAUUACCCUUUAACUGACACUCAAAAAUUACGUGCAAGAUUGUUUCAUAACUUUGUGAUAGUUGUUGUCCUUUCUACGUGCUCUUGACAUUUGUUUUGCAAGAUUUGAUACUUUGCAUGGCCAUUUAUGACUAUUCUAAAUGUGGGUUAUUGUGGACGAGGCCGCUUUAAAGCUGUUUCAGCAUGGAUCUUUCCUAUGACUACCUUUUUUUUCCCAUUUAUACUUUCUCUGGAUUCUUUUCUUAAAUGGCUUUUAUUAUAGUUGUCGAUUACCUUAAUUGGGGUUAGCCACUAUGACCUAUUUCUUUGCCGUGAAAGGGCUAUAAAUUGGGGUUAGAAACAGCGCAUUCCUCCACAUCACGAGGUUUCCUUUAGCUUUCUAGUUUCUAUCUCUUCUUGAAAGGAGCUGAAUUGUGCUUUCGUUUACUAGUUUCUACCAUGAAUUUCCUUUUGGCUAGAGAAGAUGCCGAGAAGCAUGCAGGUAUUAGAUCAUGCUUCUAUUGCAACAAAGUAUUCAACAACUAUCGAGCUCUAGGUGGCCACCUUAGGAUUCAUCAGGAGGAUAAGACAUUGAGGACGUUGAAUUAUCCUGGUCGUUCCUGUAAUUCCAUGGAUAUUACUAGGAACCCUCAUGCACCCCUACCAAACAGCCCACAGAACUCCUUGGUAGGUGGAAACAACCUAACUCCAUUCACUAGAGUAUCUCCUGCAUUGGACUUCUCUUGGAUGUUCUGCUCAAAUGAAACAAACCAGGCAAGUAGGAGCAAAUUCACUGGCAACAAUCCUGGAUUGGCCCAAACUCAGAUUAUCAUGUAUCCAGACUUCUCAUAUGGCUGUGGUAAUGGUGCAACUUAUCACCAUAACAUUUUGGCUUCAAAAGCCUUUGCUCCAGUUGGUGUGAACGCAGCCAUGUCUUCUGCUGCAUUUCCUUCAUCUGGUAGUCUUGUUGCCGCUGGCUUUCCUAUAGAUUCUUCAUUAUAUUUGGGCUCAAAUGGAGUUUGUCAGUUUAAUACUGAUGAAUUUCAAAUUAGCAAGGAUGGUUUGCCACCAUCCUCUGGAGAUGCCUUGCAGAGCAUUCUUGGUAAGUUUCCAAAUCCUAUCUUUGCUAUAACUAACCCUGACCUUGGUUUUGGGUUAUAUCAGUUUUUGGUUAUAUCUAUUGCUGUUUGUGCCUUUUCUCCAGGUCCUCCCCGAUGCUCAAGCCUGGAUAAAGUUCGUCAAUAUGACAGGAGAAGUUUGUUGAUUUGCGAAGAAGGUAAAAGGUCUUUCUUAGUUGAUGAAUCAGGGAAUGCUGACAUAAUGAAUGCAUCAAAAAAGCCUAAGAUUGCCCCCAAUGCACAUGUGGAACCGGAGGAUCCUCAGAAAAAAGAGCUGUCACUUUUUAUGGAUGUUGCUGAUUCAGUUUCUGCAUCAGAAACUUGUUUUGGCGCUGAAGAGGAAGGUCCCAUAGAUGUAGAUUUGUCUCUGCAUCUGUAGGCUUGUGUCUUUCUCUCUAUACUAAAUAAAUAAUAGUAGUAAAAUAAUAAAGGAAUGGUCACUCUUGCCCUCCCCAUCCCCCAGGAAAAAAAAAAAAAGGCAGCGAAGAUGUAAUAUUGCUAUGCACUGUUGAACUAUUUACAAAUUUCAUAUUCAGUUUGGUUAACUUUUAUGAAGUCAGUUAUUAUGAAAUUUCUUGUGGAUUGUGGAGUUUGAUUAAUCAUUUCCUUGCCUUACUAGAUUUUGAACUUGAAAACUUCUACUAUGAUCUUAUGAUUGGUUUUAUAGAAUCAUGGGAAACAAUUGGAACUGGAAAAGCAAGGUUUGUUGGACUUAGUUCUGAAUGUAGAUGUUAGGAAACUAGUUUUAUGCUGAAUUUUAAUAUUUAGCAUUAUGAAACAAGGCUUACAUUGAAGGCUUAUAUAUUGGAAUCUUUCUGUGUUCUUGGGCGAAUGCUUCUGUACAGAGUGAUUAGGUCAAGGUAAUGGAAAAGAUUAGAUAGAGAUGCUGUAAGUCUCUAUGAAAAUUUUCUUUGUAUGCCUUGUUUGAUGCUACUAAGCUUGUCUCCCCAAAUCAGAGGCGAAUCCAAAGAGGGCAGGCAUCGGCCAUGGCCCCUCCAAAAUUUUUUUACCAAAAUUUGUUUUACAUAUCGUGGUAUAUUAACUCAGCCUAUUUAGCAUCAGUAUCAGCCUUCUCUUUUCCAUUAAUGUCACUGUUUGGCCCACUCUUUGCCUUAUGUCUAGUUUUGUCCCUGCCCCAAAUGUACCGCAAAAUGUCAUAUGGAGCCAUCUAGUGAAAGUUUGCUGCAGCAUCUCGGUAGUAAAGUUUCAAAUGUCAUAUGGUGCCAUCUAAUGAAGGUGUGCUGCAGCAUAUCAGUAGUAAAGUUUCAACCUGAACUGAACUUUUAAUUGUAGUGCCUGUGAGUCUAUUAAAGUAGCCUACAAUCCCACUUGCAAUUUAAUGCUGAAACCAGGUUCUCGUAAUCGUUUCUUUCAGUAGAGAUUAGCCCAUUUGGUGCUUCAAUGCUGCACCGUAGGUGGGAUUUAACAAAACUUUUGACUGAUUUGGCUUUAUGAUUUUUGAAUGAUAAGUUUAAUGGAACCUGGUUUUGUUCUCAAAAUUUUCCAUUGGUUUGCCUAUUUACUUCCUACCUGCAAGCGCUGUUGCCAUUGAUUUGGCUUAAUGAUUUGAAUGACAAGUUUAAUGUUAAAAUUUUAUUAUUUACACUUUAUAUCAUCAUUUUCGUUUUCGGAUCAUUUAAUAUGUUUGUUAAGAUAAUAUUAAUAUAUGCAAAACCAACCAAUUAGGUUGAAAAGGAUGGUUUGGCAGGCGGGUUGGCCGGUAGGAUAUAAUUAAAGUUUAUUGAUCGAAUUAAAUUGAAUUUGAAUCGAAUUUAUAUUUGAUAUUAAUAAUUUAUAUAUUAAUUUAAAUUUAAUUUGAUUUAAAAUUUUAUGUUUUAAUUUUUUUUUAAAUUCAGUUUAACUUAGAAAAAUUAAAUUUUAAGUUUACUCAUUAAAUUUAAUUUAUAUGAUAACAAAUUUUAAAAAAUUGUAAUUAAAUUAAAUUAAAAAUAAAAAUUAUACAUGUAAAAAUUAAAUUUAGUAAAAUAUAUAUAAUUUUUAUUUUUAAUUUAUAUAUAUAUGAAUUAAUUUAUAUAUAAUUCACAUAUAUAUAAAAAUAAAAUUUUAUAUAUAUGUGAAUUUCGAUAAGAUUAUAUUGAAUUUAUGUUUUAAAUUUUUUAUUUAAUAUUCGAUUUAAAAUUUGAAUGAAUUUAAAAAUUGUAUCUAAAUCUGUUUAAUUGAUUUUAAUUUUUUAUUCUAAUUUUCCAAAAAUAUGAACGGAUAAUCCGACUAUUAAAUAACUAUAAUCAUAGGUGUUUAAACUUUGAACCACAUCCUUAGGAUUUUUGUCACUAUAUGAAAUGGAAAUGCCUUUCUUUAUCACAUUCUAAUCUAAAACCCCUUUUAUCCUUAUCUCCAUGCAAUGCUAGUCUUUCCCUUUAUUCCCCAAAAUGGAUGCUGAAAAUCCCAGCGCUAGGAACCUCUGUCUUUUUUGUUAAUGGAACUCCUUUUAUAGCUGAAAGAAAAAUAAAAAUAAAAUAAAAUAAAAUAAAAUAAUAUUCUUAUUAAAAGUUUUGACCCCAGUUUUUUUUUUUUUAAAUUAAUUUUUCCUUUAGAACAAAAAAUGAUGCAUCAAUAUUACAUCAAAUGUUUCUAUUUUAAAGUAUUUUCGUUAAUGAUUAAAAAAAAAAUGAACAUUGGAAUAUUUAUAUGUAGCCCCACAACUUGUAACUUGCAAACAAAAUGAAAUACUUGUAAUAAUUGGGGUUGGAUUUUUGCAUAAUUACUAGAAAAAGAGGUCAUUGGUUAUUUUCAGAUGCUAGAUUAUCAACAUAUUUUGCUUCUUCAAUAAAAUAAAUGGCUUAAUAAAAUAAAAGAAAUCUAAAGCUUUUUUUUUUAAAUUUCUUUAUCAAAAGCAAAAAUCGAGUACUAGCAUGAUAUGAACUACUUGCAAGGAUGAUUAUAAUACAAAAAAAAAAAAAAAAACAUUUUCCCUUGAAAGAAAAUUAUAAUUAUACCUAUAAAGGUUAAUUCAAUGAUCAUUAUAAAAAACAUUCUGAUAAUAAAAAUUUAAAUAUACAAAAAAAUUGUAAAAAAUGGACAAAAAAAAGGCUCAGAUAAAAUAUAAUGACAAUUUGUUUUAUGCUUUUGAUUUCAUUUUCUUUAUUCAUAUUUUUUAUGUCCCAAAAUUUUGUUUUUGUAACAUUUAAAAUUUCUAUUUUUUAUGAUUUUUUAAUUUUUGAUAUUAAAAAUUAUGUAAUUUUAUAAAAAAAAAUAAUUUAAUAUUAAAUUUAUUAAAAUCAAGUUUUUCUUAAAUUUCAUAAAAAUCAAUACUACCUAAAUAAUUUGAGAGGAAAGGGAUAUAUCAUAUCAAAAAUUUAAUAAUGAUUAUCAUGACAUGACCAAUAUCAAACUUUCCCAGAAAAAAAAAAAAGAAAAGAAAUAGACAAUUCAUAUAAAAAAUAUCAUGCAACCCUAAGGAGAAUUAUUUAACACUGUGGAGUUGUAUUUAAAAUCUAAAGAUUUCUUUUUCUUCAAAAAAUUUUUUCCUUUUAAAGAAUCAAACUUGUUAAACAGAUUGUCAUUGCUCUGCGAUGGUCUGUUUCUUUGAUUGCAUUGUCAAGUUAUUAAUUCUACAUGUUGCUUUUCUUUUUUCGGCCAUUAAUAUAUUAUUGCUUUAACAUAUUCUGAUUUUUUGCUCUUAGUUUUAUUUUUUUAUUUUAAAAAAAUCCAAACCAACGCUUUAAACAGUAACUAAUCACAUACAUUUGUCAAUGAGUUUGGCAGUUCACCAGUUCGGGUUUGGCAGUUCGGAUUUGAACUGUGAACUAUUAUAUUAUCUAUGAUCUUCCUUUCUUUUUUUUAAUGAUCGUCCUUUCUAACCUAGGAUGCUGGACGAACAAUUUAGUUCUAAAUUCCAACACCCGCAGUUAAAAGCGCGUGUCCAGCAGGUUGCAAAUCUUUUACCUAUCUUGACCCAUGCUGGAAUUAUUUAUUUAGCGCGUGGAUUUAAUGGGCCUAGACAAAAUCAUCAUCAUUCAUCAACCUUUUUCUUUUUUAAAAUAAUAAUCGAAUACCUUUGAUGUUAAGGAAAAUCAAAAUGCUGGAAUUGUCCUUGGAAGGGACCUUUUUCAUGCUAAAACCAGCUUUAAAUCUCAUAAAAAAGUCACCAUCUUUCAUAGCAAUUGUUCAAGAAAAAUCCUUCUAUGUAAGUCUUAGAUGUCAGUUUUUCAUCUCUUUUCUUCUUCUUUAUGCUAUCUGGGUUCGUUUUGAAGUUAUUUGGGAUAACAUAUUUUCUGGGUUUUGCCUGUUCUCUGAAUUAUCAAUCUCUGCGGGCCAUAAAUACUUCAUUUCUAUGAAAUAUGUUACUGGGUUUUUAUGGGUUUUUAGUUUUCUUAUUGUAUAGUAGAAAAAGUUUAGAUUUUUUGGGGCUUUAUUCAAGAUACUGCCAUAUAGACUAUUAAUUUUUGUUUUCACUUUUGUUUUUUCUGCAUAUGAAGUGUUAUUUUCUUUGUCUCUGCCUUGGCAUGAUAUUUGAUAGCUUUAGAUUCCUCUGGUUGGUAUCUUGAUAGGCACAGUGGUAUAUAUCAAGAGAAAGAGUUGAAGUUGUUCUCUUUGACGCAUAGGAAUUUGAGUGUGGAUCAUUCAGGAAGGGAUUUAUCGGUGAACUAUAAUAAAGUCUUGUAAGGAUUUUGUGUAAAGGGGAAAACAUGUUUUUCUUUUAGGAUGACUGUAAAUUUCGGUGAAAAGAAUUCUUCGUUUGCUCUGUGAGUGUGAAAGAACAAGCACCAACUUGGAAUAGCUUCUGUGAAGUUCUUAUUGAGAUUUGGAUGUUUUGAGUUGUUCAAUUCAUAAGUAAAUCCACUUGAUGACAAAGAACAGCAGGGAAUUUCAAGCUUAAACAAGGUCCUUUGGGUGGUCUUCAAGGAUAUUAGAUUGUUAUGUUUUGAGAGAAAGAUGCAAAGGGUUCGAUUUUCAUCCCAACAGGCACCCGUGCAUAAGCUAGGGGAUUCGCAGAUGACAUUAUCCCCAAAAUUUAGAUUAUCUGUGAUGCAAUCUUCAUUGUUGAAUCCUUCAUCAGAGUUUGAGUUGCCUCUUCAAGGAGAACCUCUUAUUCCAGGCCUUCCUGAUGAUGUGGCACUUAAUUGUCUCCUUCGGCUUCCAGUUGAGAGCCAUGCAGCUUGCAAAGCUGUAUGCAAGGGAUGGCAUCUUCUGCUUGGUAGCAAAGAGUGGUUUUUCACUCGAAGGAAGGAACUAGGUUUCAAAGACCCUUGGCUCUUUGUGUUUGCCUUCCACAAAUGCACCGGGAAAAUUCAAUGGCAUGUUCUUGACGUUACCCUUUUCUCAUGGCAUACCAUCCCAGCGAUGCCAUGCAAAGACAAAGUUUGUCCCCAUGGUUUUAGGUGUGUUUCACUUCCUCGUGAGGGUGCUCUCUUUGUUUGUGGGGGUAUGGUUUCUGAUGUGGAUUGCCCCCUUGACUUGGUGUUGAAGUAUGAGAUUCAGAAAAACCGUUGGACUGUGAUGAAUAAGAUGAAUACUGCUAGGUCAUUUUUUGCUAGUGUAGUGAUUAAUGGUAUGAUAUAUGUUGCUGGGGGAAACAGUGGAGAUCUUUUUGAGCUUGACUCAGCAGAGGUUUUCGAUCCUGCAAAGGGGAGUUGGCACUCAAUUGCAAGCAUGGGGACAAAUAUGGCAUCUUACGAUUCUGCAGUUCUCAAUGGAAAGCUUCUUGUGACAGAAGGCUGGUUGUGGCCAUUCUUUGUCUCUCCUAGGGGUCAGGUUUAUGACCCAAGUACCAAUAAUUGGGAGAUUAUGGCUGUGGGAUUGAGGGAAGGCUGGACUGGCUCAAGUGUGGUAGUCUAUGGGCACUUAUUUGUGGUUUCCGAGCUCGAAAGAAUGAAGCUUAAGGUUUAUGAUCCAGACAGUGAUUCCUGGGAAACAAUAGAAGGUCCCCCAUUACCAGAGCAGAUAUGCAAACCUUUUGCUGUCAAUGCAUACGAUAACAGAAUAUAUGUUGUGGGUCGGAACCUUCAUGUGGCUGUGGGCUAUAUCUCAACCCUGAAUCAAACAGGCAACUCUGAGAAGAAGUGGAGCUUCGGUGUUCGGUGGCAUGUUAUUGAUGCCCCAGAACAUUUAUCUGACUUGACACCCUCAAGUUGUCAGGUUCUGUUCGGUUAGCUUCUGAAACAUCAUAUUUUGUGCCUUGUAUGUUGUUUAAUAAAUUGUAAUUAUACAAAAUUACGAAGGCUGUAGGGUUGGAAUGACUUUGUUAUUGUAACAAAUGUAUUAUCCAUACUUUUGUUGUUCUUCUGUUAUUUCUCAGUAAUUGCUCAAUCCAUAUGUUUUACUAGCUCGAUCUCACUCAAAUUUCCUGUUGUCCCUGUAUGAAAUAUUGUCUAUAACAUAGUGGAUCUCGUAGGAAUUUUUUAGUAGUAUAUCCCGACUACCUCUUUUAACACUUCUUGAAAUGAAAAUCAUUACCAUUUUUGGACAGGAUUUACCUGAAGGAAUCUUGUUAGUAAUAGUAAGUGAAAAACGUAGUUUGAAAGUGUAUGAAUUACUCUUCUUUCCCCUUCGUAUUGGCCAGCUCACCAUAUUUCCUUUUCAAGAGGCUGAUGCUAUGGACCGUUGUUAUAUUUGCUGAUAUUUGGGUAAUUGCCUAAUUGGAUUUGGGUGAGCCAUUGAAAUAUUAAUGGGCUUCUGAUGAUGACAGCAGUUGAAACUAACGAAAAAGAUGACAUAGUUAAUUUUCAGCUUGAUUGCUUCACUAAGAAUCAAACCAAAAAAUUAAUAGAGUUUUGGGUUUUAAGAAAUCACAAAUAAUAAAAUUAUGGUAGCAAAGAUUGGGCCUGAAAAGACUGAAACACGAUUGGUAAAGAAAAGUCAACUUCUCUGAGUUGCGACUUGCGACAGAGAAUGGCAGCCAUAACAAGUGCACUGAUAGCAAUGGCGGGAGUGGUAUUAGGAUGGAUAGCAGUCGAGAUCGCCUGCAAGCCUUGCCUGGAUAAAGGCCGCGAAGCCAUAGACAGAUCUCCUAACCCUGAUUACGACCCCGACGACGAUAACAACAACGACAUCCGAGCCCCUUUCAACCCAAGCCCAGGUCUCGAAUCUCAGCCUGAUAAUGGUACUUCUUCAUCCACUUCAAUCGAAGCCGUUUGUUGAUCGGUACAAGAAGUUUUCUUAUUCAUUGUUUCCUUUUCUGAAAAAGAGUGGGGUGUGUUGUUAACUUGUUUAUUCUUGUUGAUGUCUUAAGAUUGUUUUCGCUUGAAUGGAUUCGGUUUGGUUUUGGUUUUGAUUGACAGAUACAAGUUCAACCAUCACUUCGAGAGUGAAGUUUGGUUUUGGUUAAAAUUUAUUUAUAGUACUGUCAGAACAAUGUCGGUUGUCAGUCGGCAUCAUGGAAACGGAGAGUGGUUUGGUUAGUUUUGAUCCAAUCAAAUAAAAGAAAAACGUCUCGGGUUUAUUCCAAUCGAUACAAGAAUUCACUUAAUUUUACCGAUGGAUCUUUCAAAAAGAUAAAAAGGACUGCUUCUAUUGUUUAUGGAGAUUGGUUUUAAGUGUUCAUGGGUCAUAUUGAAUCGAAUAAGUUUAUAUUUAAAUUCAUAUUUAAUGUCAAUAUUAAUAAUUUAUAUAUUUAUUUAAUUCAAUUCAAUUCAGAAUUUAAAAUCUCAAUAUUUUUUGAAAUUCGAUUUAAAUUAAAAAAUAAAUUUUAAAUUCAUUCAUUAAACUUAAUUUAUAUAAUAAAAAUUAAAAAAUAUAAUUAAAUUUAAUUUAAUAAAAUUAUAUAUAAAUUAUAUAUAUAAUUAUAUAAUUUAAUGAAAUUAUAUUUAAUUCAUAUAUAUAAAAAAUAAAAAUAAUAAUUAUAUAAAAUAAUAAUUAAUUUAAAUAAAAUAUAUAAAAUUUUUAUUUUUAAUUUAUAUAUAUUUAUCUUUAUAUAUAUAAAUAAAUAAUUUAUAUAUACAUAUUUAUAUAUAUAAAUUUCGAUCGAAUCAAAUUUAAAUUUCAAAAUUUAAAUGAACCUAAAAUUUAUAUUCAAAUCUAUUUAACAAAUUUAAAUUUUUUAUUCAAAUCCUCUUAAAAUUUCUCAAAUUUUAGAUGAGCCUUCGAACUUGAGUAGAUAAUCUGAAUCUUAAACAAGUUUAUUUUUAUCGAACAAGAAACCCCUGAGCUUGGAGAAAAUGUGAAGCUCAUCCACACCCAACCCCAGCUUGUUGGGGGGUGAUCUAAUGCCCAUGCCGCCUCACACUUGACAAAGAAAAUAAAACAGAAUUCUCAAAAAGGGGAAACACACGCAUACAACCCAAGAAAAAAAAUGCAGCUUAGCCUUAUUUCAAGUAACUCGAAUGUCAAGUCCGUAACAAUAAGUAUCAAAACAGAGGCUAAAUAUGCUUUUACAAUUACAAUCUCGAUUGCAACAAAAUAAAUACAAGUUACUGUACACGGAUCUGACAGGGGAUUUCAGCUCCCGCCUCUUGGAGAAGACCAAAGUUUCCCGUGUCACUUGCAAGGAGAUAUCUAUCAAAGGAAAGAAAAAAAAAGUGAACUAUGCCAAGUAAUUGUAUAUUUGUGGGUUGUUCUUGUCACGCUCCAGGUACUCCCUGUCGAUGAGAGACUCAAUUCUUUUCUUCAAAUCAGCCGGUUUUAUGGGAAACUUAAGCUGUUCAAAGAAAGAAACUUACUUUCAACAUGAGUUUGUUGAAAUGCUACUGUAAAACAUAUUAUCCCUUUGAUCCCGAUCUAAAGAAGGUCAAUUGCAGUGAUUUAAUCAUUGUAUACAAAGAGGAGUUUCACCCUUCUUCAAAAAUAUCAGAAGUAUUCGGCAUGACAACUCUUACUUGAUCAGAAUACAGCAGCAGCAACUUUCACUUUAUUUAUUUAUUUAUUAUUUUUGGUUAUGAUUGUGAACAUAUGUUGUUGGGAACUCUUUAGACAUCCGUUUUAUGCAAACAAUCAGACUCUGCCUACCUGUUGGAAGAGUUCAGUUAUCAGAAGAGUGUGACUCAGAACUUUCCUCGUCUUCAUUAUCCGAACAAUAGCAGCAUCAACCUAGAGUAAAUCAAGCAAUAAAGCAUAUAUUUGAUUAAACUCCUUCAUGUGAGAUAGCUUUCUGUUUUUUUUUUUUUUUAGUGGAUAGAUAGAAAGAGAGAGAAUGUGAGAGUGAAGCAAAGCUAAACCUGAUAUUGACGGUCUUGAAAUACUCUUUCAGUAGUGCUUGUGUUCUCCUCCACUGUCUCUUUCAUCUGGAUAGCAUUUACCUGCAUUGUGAAAGGAGAAGUCAGCUGGAUGCCUUAUCAUGUGAGUGGGAAUAACUCAGAAGCAGAUUCAUGAUAAAACGGCUCUAUGGGAAUUCGGUGCAAUAGAAUAGAGAUAAGCAUGACAGGGAUUUAGUUUAAGCUUACAAAAAAAUAUCUACCCACCAUAGCUUGAAAUUCCAAAUAGAUUUACCUUUAUACGAUAGAGAGGAGCAGUAAAUCCUUCAUUGAAAAUGAAUGAAUCAUCAUCCUCCACGUCCCUCCCUUUCGGCAACUGCAGCACACAAAUUCAAAGAUAGAAAGGAAUAAAGAAAAUGGAAGGAAUAAAAUGAUAAUGUCACCAACUUUACCAGCAUAUAUAAGAUAUUAAAAUAUAAUGCAAUGGGCAUACCUUUUGCAGGACUCGUACUUUCCCACAUGCAAGGGACUGCAGGGUCCUUCUCAAUUCUUUAUCCUCUAUGCCAGUGGAGUCCUUAAUGUCUUGAAAGCUGAGCUUUUGGGCAUCGUUGAACAACAUCAGAACUACAGUCUAGAGGGUAAAAGACAACAAACACAGAAAACUGUUAGACAUUGUCUGCUUGUAGAGAAAAUUUAAAAAGAGAAGAAAUCUUUCGAAAGGAGAAAAAAGUCAUUGGUCCAAGAGACAAACCUGAAAUAGGGAAACUGCCAGCUCCUUUUUACCUUUGGGAAAAUCUGCUUUCAGCACACAAUGACCUAAUGAAUUUUGCCACAUUAGGCGCCUUCCACUGUACUUACUUAAGUAGAAUUCCUUAAAGAUGUCCUGUUAAAUCAAGUAGACAAAAGAUGUUUAGAUAACUUUUAGAUAAAAACUUCCUGGUUUCUAUAACAGUGAUCAUUUCAUCCCAAAGCCUUGCAACAAACCUGAUAGACAUUCAAUUCAUGAGGAAGCCUAACAUCCAUGGGUGGAUAUGUAGGCCAGUACCUGCGCAGCUCAACAACCAGAAUAGAAUUAAAUACCUUGACAAUAAACUAACUAAUUAUGCAGUUAUGAUUUAAUUGAAAUAAUGGUGAAAUAUGAUUUACCCGGUUGUUAAGACAUGGACACUCAUCUCAAUUCCCGAUGGAAGUUUUGUCCUGGCCUGCGAUGACUGCUUGAAUGAUUCAUUUAUCUCCUUUGACAAUUCGAUAUCCUGGAUAAAAUCACAAGAAUUCACAUUCGAUAUAAUUAAGAUCAUAUUGAAAUUGGUCACACAUCAACCAACAUGCAUGGAUUAGUAUGAUCCAUUUUUAAAAUUGAAAUAAUCUUCCAAGUCGAUCCUGGGAAAGAACAAGGAUUCUUUGCCAUAAAACCACAUGCAGUAAGACCAAUCAUAGAUCAUGAGUUUUGCACUGUAAACAUAUUCCAGGCAUAAGAAUCCAGUCACAUAGACUAAGUUUCAGUAUCACACAAACUCCAUAAAUUUUGUAGAUUGUUGGAUCCUCCAUUGACCAAUACACAAGUAGGUAAUCCAAGAAAUAAGAGAUGAAUUUAACUUCUAGAAUCCCUUUCUCUUCUCUUCUCACUCGAUUCUAUUGCAUUAAUGUUUAUUAGUAUGAUCCACCCUCAAGGUGCUAUAAAUCUGAUACAUAAUCAUUAGUCCAUUACAUACUGUUUGCAAGGAUUAAUCAUAAUUAAUCCAACUCAAACAUUAGGAAUGACACUUCUGGAGCCAAUACCACCACCCAUGGGGUAACAUAUUCUUAGUGGUUGUACGAGUUAUUGAAUUGCUCAUCUUUACAGCACCCAAAAAGCACCAGUUCAACAGAUUGAUGAUUAUAUAUUGAAUGCAUUUCUUGGACAAAUUUAUAUAAAAAUGUUAUAGAGGCAGACCUUAAACAUUCCUUCAAGUUUGUUUGUAAACUGGCUACCACACUCGGUCUUCAGCUGCAGCAUCAUAACAAUAUUACAAUUUAAUACAAAAUCUUUAGAACAAACCUCAUUUGAUGCAAAAGAAGAAGGUACUUACCUUAGAAAUCAUGGAUUUCUCUGCGUCAAUAGAAGCACUCUUUCCUAACAGCAGCCUUUUUGCAAGAUCCUUCUUAUAGAAUGCUUCAAAGACAUCCUUACCCUUAAUUAUCAAUAAAAUAUCAUUCACAGCCCUAGGAUUAAUUUGUGGGACAAAAAAAGCAAGAAAUGCACAAAAAGAGAAUAGUUAUUCAAGCCAAAAGUAAAUUUAAUGAUUUUUAUUGCGAAAACAUGAACUUACCUGGAUGAACCUGAAUAAAACCAAAACUUUAUCAAGUGUACCCUCUAAUUCCUCUUCUGAAGUACCCUUAUUACCAGCACGAAGCUUUUCAUCCAGAAACUUUGCGAUCAGCUCAGCAGGUCGGUUCUAUUAAACACAGCACAGAGUUGAACCAUCAGUCAAGUGUGAAAAUAUGCUAAUCUAAAUUAGGAAUAGUACUUCACUGAUGUACAACUUAACAGUGAGAACGCAGUUUAAAAAUAAAAAUAGUCUCCCAGUACAGAUGAUAAAACAUGCUCACUUGACGUAGGUUAAUUAGAUGUUCAAAUGCAUCCUUAAUGGUGUUGCAAAAUGCUUCAUUCUUGGAAAAGCUUUCUUCCCAUAUUGAAUCAAGCAAAGCCUUGAAUUCUAACAAGGAAGGCACCAUGUCCUUAUCUUUCUCUUCAUCCAUCACAAUGCCCUGCCCAGUUCUCCGAAUAUAUGAGCUUAGGGCCUGCCUAAGUGAUUCAAGAGCAUUGACCCUUGAAAACAGUGAGUACAUCCUCUGAAUGUCCUCAAUACGAUGUCCAUCCAUCAGCAUCACAAAUCCCUGCAGAAAUCAGCAAAACUAUAAAUAUUAAAAAGAUGCAAAUCCAAGCAAGCAUACAAAGUGCAAAGACUAAUGGAAGAUUCAUAUUCACACCUUAUCAAGAAUGGCAGGUAUAUGACGUUCAAGCAGCUGCCUCUCUGCUGUUACAAUAAGUGGCUUUCUCGUAAGAGCAUCCAGGUAGAGUAAGCAUCUUUCAUGUUCUUCAUGUAACCUCAUCUGCAAGAAUACACCCAAAAUCUUACAAAGAUGAACCCACACAAAAAUCUUAAGAGGUAUAAUCAUGUAUAUUCCAUAUAAAAAUGGAAUAACAUGAUAGAUUGACAUUCUUAUGAGAUGGAUAAAACAUGUAGAAUUCAAAAUAUAGAGCACCAGUCACUGCUAAUUGAGAACAAAAAAUAUACAAAGCACCUCUACGUGCUUCAGGUAAUCUGGAACAUCAGAUUGCUGCAUGUAUUUCAUUCCCUCAGCUGCAUAAAACUCGGAUGUGCACUCCAGGAAUGGCUUCUCAAAGCUUUCUGAGUAAAUACCUAAAGCGGUAAACAUCUUCAAAAGAUGGUUAAGGAGUGUCCUGUCAACUGCUUCACCUAACCUGCAUGAUCAUAAACAGAAUGCUGUGGAUUCCAAGAUGCAAAUAUUAAAAACAAUCAAAAGAUGGGUAUUGAUCAUCUAACAUCAUUCAUGAACCUAGGUGGUGAAAUUUACGUGAUGCCAACUAUAAGUAAUGGGGAAAAAUGUGUGAGAAUUACAAGCAAUAAAGCAACACAAUAAUGGAUUCCCUAACAAUUGCUGGAUUAUUUCCAAAAUGUUUGGAAGUAUAGAUAAUUAAAAUGAGCUAGAAAGAAUAAGAUUGACAAGUAGGUUACAGUUACAUUGAUCAAACAUCCUAAUCGGCCCUUCAAGAAACUUCUUUCCACUAUGGAAAAUAUUUCACCACAUCUGCCCUCUAGCCUUUGCCAGGCAGCAAGAAUCUUAUGCCAUUUAGACUGCUAAAAUCAUAGAAAGAGUAGUGAACUAGACAAUUGAAUAAGGACAUUAAAACAACAAUGUACGAGUAUUCAAGUUCACCCAUACCCAACAUGUUGCAGGUUGACUUUUUCAAUUUUUAAAUCUCCACUUAUACUUGCACAGAAAAUUCAGUGUGACAUCAAGUUGGUUUGAAGGCAUCUAAAAGAAGUUACUCCCUAGUGUUGGUUUAUAUCUACUAUACUGUUUCAUCCAAUCACAUUAUGAUUUAUGUACUAAUGGCAAAGCCAAUACAUAACAACAAGGCAGCUUUCUUCAAUAUUUAUAUCUUUUCUGCCUUUGUUCAUCGCUAGUAUCAUUUUACUCCUUAAUGGUAGAGAGACCCUGCAAACAUGACAUGGACCAAUGGUGCAACAAAUUCUCCACAAAAUCAAGAGGAGGAUAGUUCAUCCAUAAGUUUUGCAACACUUAUGAUAUGAAACAAAAUCUAUUACAACAUCCAUCUAAACAAUUAUGCAUCUUUUGCAUAGGUUAAUACAUUGGAACAUACAAAAAAGACUAGAAUACAAAAAAUGUAAAUUUCAAAUUAAAAUCAUUAGAAUUACCUCUCACUCUCAAUCAUUCUUAAAAGACCAGUGACAGUUUUGUGCUCAACUUCAGGAGCCAGAGAAAGAUGCUUACGGAAGAGCUGCAAACCCAUGUCCCACAAUGAACGUACAUUUGGGGUUUGUUUAACAUAUGUUCUGUCUAGAUACAAGGCUAUACCACGAAUCAUCAACAUUUGAUCACAAAGAUCUUGCCAACAUUUCUCAACAAGCGAUAAGAAAACCACCAGAUCUGGGCUUUGCCCAACCAAAGAUCUUAGUGCUGCAGAUAUGUGUUCUUCACACUCUUUUUCAAUUCGUUGAUAAAGGCUUCCUCCCAUCUUGUGAAGGCAAAGAUUAUUAACAGCCUGAAGGGAGCACACUUGAUUAUCAAGAGGCAAUAUUGCUCACAUUGCAAAACGCUAUCAUAAUCAAAAUAGAUUGAAAGAAGAAAUAUGUGGGGCUUACCUGAUAAAGCUUCUCCAAGUCACAAGAAUCUGGUUGCUUCAAAAAUAUAGCAUUAAUGGCUGACUUCAGCUUUGCCCAUGUGUCCUCCUCAAAAUUUGUGGGCAAUGUUGGUUUCGCUAUAAUGAAACAAGAAGUUAAAGUUGCAUCAGAAACUUUUAUGAAUAUAUGUUCUAAAUAUUUUUCAUGUUAGCAAGUUCUUUAGUUUCCUACCAUUAGUUCACAUAAACAAAAUAGUUUUGGAGAUAUAAUCUGAUUUGCAAAUAGAAAAAAAAAUGAUUUCAACUCUUAUUACUAUUCUUUGCAAGUAAACUUACUAAUAACGGGUCCAAUCACCUGCUAACAAAAGGCCUAUUUAGUUUUUAAGGGAGAUGGAUAACUGAUAUACAAUGUGAGCAAGCAUCAUAGAUGCUUAUACAAAAAUGGUCUACAAGAGGGUAGAAAUGAACUUCUCAAAAAACCCGAGGGAGUUUAGGAGUAUGCCUCCAACAAAGUAUUCACAGAAAAUGCCAAACCGAAAAACCAUCCAAAAUGAAGGAAUGAAUGUUCAGAGCUUUUCUUGUAAAGUUGCAUAACUAGUAGUCCUACAUCUAAAAUGCAAGAAAAUGUAGAAUGCACCAAAACCAUGUAAGCCGAACAAGUAAACUAGGACCCUAAAUUUGUUUAGCAUCAAUAGAUUGCCACCCUAAAACCAAUACCAAUUUCAAAUUAUCAUAUGAUAAAAAGUCCAAAUUUAAUAAAUGGUUGAGGUAAUGACCACAUUAGGCUGACAAAAGUAACACUUGUUAAUAUCAGUUAAUAGACCUCUAUAAAACCUUAGUUAAAAGUUACAAAGGAAGUGAUCGAAAGUACAUGGUUACUAAUAGAUCUCCAAACUGAAACAGCUUUUGGCCUAAAUGGCACAACCCAAAUAAAAUUAAAUAACCAAAUGUCCACUAAUUAGUGUUAGCUCAGUAAAACAGUAAAAACAAUCAAACAAAUUAACCAGCGCCAAGAUCCUAAAAUCGAACAAAAAUCCAAGUUUCUAAAUUUCACCUCUUCUAAUCCCUAAUUUUUUUAUUCCAAAAACGACCCAACAACGAAAGCCACUCAAUUUCUAAGAUCAAACUCUCAAAUUAACUAAAAGAGGCAACUUUAUGAAUGGCCCAGAAAAUGAAUUUCAAAAAGGCAAAAAAGAAAUAAAAUGAGACCAAGAACCCAACCUUUAACGAGUUUGAUGACAAGCUUUUUGGUGGGUUGAGGUGGGGUUGCCUUUUUGCGAGACAAAUUAGCGGCGGCGGGAGCACGAGCAUCAUCGGACUUGGAAUCAUCGUCGAGGGCCAUAGUUAAAGGGUCGAAAACGACGUCGUUAUCGUUUUGGUUGUGGUGGUGGUGGUGUAGACCGUUUUUGUUUGGGUCGAGAGAGCAAGCCACCGCUUGGGACUUGUCUUUCUUCAUUGGUGGUUGGAAGUGAGGAGGAGAAGAAGAAGAAGAAGAAGAAGCAGUGGCGUUAGAAUUAGUGUUGCAGAGAGAUCGUUUGGUUGGGGGGAGAGACAUGAAAGUCAUCAAAAGAGCAUUGUAAAAUUUUCAGCUUCUUUUAAUUAUUAAAUUUUCUCCUGAUCUCGGUUCUCUUGUUACAGUUGUUGCCUUCCUUAGAGAGAAAGGAGAAGAUUUUACGAAGGCAGUAAAAGAUAAAAAUUUGCGAGCGAGAGAAACAGAGGGCUUGGUUCGUGCCUGCCUCGACGGUGAACUGGACUGGUUAUAACCGAUUGGACUAUGAGUUUCGGAUUUGAUUUUUGGGUUACAUAACCAUUACAAAAUCCAAUAUUGGAUCAAAAUCUUAAAUGGUAAAGCCUGUAAUGGAGACAAAACUGGAGUGAUGUAACCCAUUACUAAUUUGGGCUAGACCAGAAAUCCAUUAGCCACAAUUACUUAAAUAUUUUGUUUCUUAACCGACAUCAGUUAGUUUCUUAGAGUCGUUGAAUUUUUAAUUUUUAUUAUUAUGAUUUAAAUUUUGAUAUUUUUAAAUCCUAAAAGAGUAUUGCACGUAAACGACACACUCACACAAGAACAAUUACUUAAAACUUUUUGUCCUUUUCUAUUUGAAAAUUUGUAUACGGAUGGUGUGAAAUUACGACUUUUCGGCUCAAGGUAGCCUAGCUGAUUGAACCUUGAUGAAAUUUCCCGGAUGUUAUCACUAGAGCAGUAGCAUCAACAAACGAAAGGAAUGACGUAUAGCUCGCCGUAGAGUAUAUGACAAAAGAUUUGAAAGUUAUCAGAAGGGAAGUUUCCUGUACUUGGAAACCACUUCUCCUAUCUUUUCGUACCGUGCGUACACUUGUAGUCGUGGAACUUGAAACCCAAGGCAGUUGUGCCAGCGGCAUGAAUUUCUACUUCUCACUGAUUUUUUUAUUCCUUUACACACAUGAAGGUUCGAUCGAUCCUUUUAAUUCCAUGAUCUGUGGCUCGAGUUUUUGAAUCUGACUACAAUAGGGAACAUGCCAAGCACCUUCCUUUUUAGUUAUUUUAUACACUUGGGGGAAUGAAUUUUAGUUUGACACAUUAAAGGAUAAAGACAUACUAUCUUUUAACGGUGGAUAUAUGACAGGCUGAAAUGUGAACUGAGAGCUUAAAAAUCAGGAGAAGAUUCUAGUGGUUGUUUUGAAUGCAUGUAUAUUCCCCCAAGGCCACUUGGUUUCUAUCUUUCAGUGUCAAGGACUAAUUAAGAGUUUGCGUGCCCGAUACCUCUUAUUUUAUGCCGGGCUUUUUAUCUUUCUUUGAUAGAGAAAAGUUUUUAUGAAAUCUUUUGUGAGAAAUUUGUGAAAUUGUUUAAUAUAAAUGAUUUAAUUAAAAUUUUAAUAAAAAUUUAAAUUGAUAAAUUGAUAGAAUUUAAUGAGAAAAUCAAUAAUAUAUAAAAAAAUUAUUGAAAAUUUUGUUUAUAAUUUAAAUUUGAUUAGUACUUAUUCAAUUUCAAAAAUAUUUUUUAAAAUUUACACAUUUGAUCUAUUUAAUAAAAUUUUUUAAUUUAUUAGUUUUGAUUUUUGAGUUUAAUUUUUAUUUAAUCAUUUUUAGUGAAAAAAUUUAUAAAUUUUACCUAAAAAAUUUCAUUUAAUUUUUUUUCUUUUUGAAAAGCAUAUAACAUCUUGUCCUUAUCAUUAUAUACAUUAUCUACGAGAAAAAAAAGUGUUCUGCAAAUAAAGCUUAACUCAAUUCUUGCAUUUCUUCCGAAUUAAUUCUAACUGCAGCCAUUUAGGAUAAAAAGUUAAGAUUUUUCCUGUUUUGAUAAGCAAAACAUGGGUUUCCACCCUAUUAACAAAUGGAUCAUGUUAUCGUUUGCCUACAAAUGUUUCAAUAACUAUAUAGUAGUAUACUAUUGACAUGAAAUGUUUUUCCCUAGCAGCAACUAGCAAAUCAUUGGCGGAAUUAACCUAUCCCUGGUUUCAAGAAACUUGGUGCUGCGGCGUGCUUGUCCAGAAUCAGUGACAAGGGUACUUCAGUUUAGACGACAUAAGAAUCAUCACUUUAACAAAAAAAAGAUUAAGAAGCAACUCAUUCAAGGACCAUGGUCUGAUUCGCUAAACAUGUCAAUACAUAUACAGCUCGAUGGAUCUUAUAACUUUUUUUUUUCUCAGUCAAAAUAGGAAUUUUAUGAAUCAAAUCAGUCCAAAAGUACACUAAAAAUCCCAAAAAUAAGAUUUGAAGGAGACAAAAUGCCCAUAAAGAUUACAAAAGGAAAUCAUCUCCGUCAUAAGAGUAUAUACAGGAGAAUUAGUUAAAAAAAAUUGAACUACUCUAUUUCACUAAUUCACUCUCUUAGUCAAAUUUUCAAUCAUUGACUACUAUAUAUAUAUAGCCGAUUGUUAUUUUGUAUGAAAACUAUACACACACAUAUAUAUAUAUAUAUAUAUUUUGCAAAAUGAGUUUCAUAUGCAAAUUUGCUCCCGUGGUCUAACAUAAUACAUACAGUUGUCAAAUAGAUUUUUCCUGAUCUUAGAUGUGAUUGAUUUAAGUUAAAUAUAAGGAAAUUUAUGGAAGAGGGAAAGACUUUGGAUAAUUCGUGAUAUACGUGCUUUGACGAAGACUUCUUUUGUUUGUUUCUUCGAUCCCUGCUUUACAAACCGAAGGUCAUAGGGUUUUGCUUCGACAGAGACUUGGGUCCGUCCAGACUGCACAUGCCCUUUUUUGAACAGUCAACUUCCUUCCAUUUCUCCAUUAACUGUUCACAACCGCCAAACGCCACCUCGUUGGUAUCUCGGUCCCCUCGGUCUAUUUUCCCUAUAUAAACCCUCCAACCCAGAUUGCAACUUGCAUUACAUAUCUAAAGCAAUACCAAGUUUUCAAGCAAAGAAUUAUAUGUGUUAACUACUCAUCCAAUUCCCUAUAUUUUCUCUUUAUUCGUGUUGUUUUCAAUGGCGGCUACUGCUAAAUCUCAUGGAGAUGUUAAGGUAGUGCUAAUUGACACUCAAUACGUUGAAACUGAUCCCCUCAGCUUCAAAUCAGUAGUUCAAAAGCUUACAGGAAAGGAUUGUUGCGUUGAAUGGAUAGAUGAGAGAUCGUUUUGCUGUAGGAAAACCGAAACAAAGGUAGCUGGAAAGGUUGCAGCUGAAAGGUCAUAUGGCACGAUCGGCGGUGGCUAUGGUGGUGGUAGUGGCCUUGGUACUUCCAUGUUAACUAAAGGUUUAUCUUUUAAAGACUUGGAUAGAAUGAUCUUGGAGGCGCCGCCAGUGGACGAGUUGAAGUGGUGGUGGGCUGACUAGCUAGCUAGCUAGCUAGAAUUUGUUAAAACUUUUCAGGCUAUUAUUAAUUGAUAAUUUUAUAAUUGUUAGAAUUUUUUAGAAUUUUUCUAGCUAGAAUUUGCACUAUUUUUUCAGAUUUGAUUAUAUAUAUAUAUAUAUAUAUAUAUGAUAUAUCCAAUGAACUAAUUUUUUUAUAUCAUUUCUGCUGUAUGUAUGGUUUAAUUUUGCUUUUCUCAACCAAUAAUUAAGUUGUUUGUUUGUUCUUCUUUUUACUGAUUGUUUUCUUUUUUUUUUUUCAUUUUUUCCUAGAGGGAAUUAAAGAUUAAUUUACCAUCUUCGAUUCUAAAUAAACACAGUACUUAGCAAUACAAAAAAUAGCUAGCGGCAUACGGGAGCUUUUAAUUUGGAGUUUAAUUGGUUAGAUCAGCUAGGGUCGUAGAAUGAGUGGCGGUUCAAGAGUCCGCGCCACCACGGCAUGCAAAAGCCAAUAUUUGGUUGUUUUUUGUCUGUCUGCGGGCAUCAUUUGCCGUAAGGGUGAGGAAAAAAAAUUGAAAAUUGUUUUGAAAUUAUAAUGUUUGAUUAAGUAUGAAUUGAUUUUUUUUUAUUUAAUUCGGAUAAAAUUUAGAUAUUAAAUAUAUAUAUAUUAAAUUUAAAUUAAAUUUUAAAUCGAAAUGUAAAAAUAUUAAAAAAAAUAAAACGAAUAAUAUAUUUUUAUUAAUUUUUACAUAUUUUUUAAUUUUUUAUAAAAUAAAAAUAAUUAUUUUAUAUAUAAAUUUAUUUAAAUAUAAUAAAAAUUUUAUUAAAAUAAUAUAUAAAUAAUAAAAAAAUUUUAAAGACUGAUAAACUAAACCAAACUAGACUGAUAGAAUUUAAUUUGGAUUGAAUAAUUUAAAAAAAAAGAUCAAUUUGAAUUUAUAUCAGAUUUUAAAAAUUCAUAAUAUUAUAUAUUAUCCAAAAAAAUCAAAUUUAAUUCAAUUCAAUCUGAAUCGUUAUCACUCUUAAUUUUUCGUUCAAAGGAAAUAUAAAUAAAUAUAUUUAGAGAAAUUACUUCAUAUAUUGUCAGUAAAAGCUUUUACCUUUACAAACGAGAUUAACAAAAUCAUACAUAUUUUAUUCUUUUAAAUUAAUUUUUUAUUUUUUUAAAUAUAUAUUAAAAAAUAUAUGUCAUCCUAUCAAUCUUACUUAUAAAGUUAAAAAAUUUCAAUAUUAAUAUAUUUGAUAAUUUCCCGUACAUUUAUAUAUAAAGAGAGUAGAAUGAAUGAUUGGAACAGUAUAAAUACAAAAAAAAUUAUUACUAAAAUUAAUGCGCAUGCCGAUAGAUAUAUAAAAAAUAAAAAAUAUAUAUUAUACACGCUUAUCAAAUACACAUAUAAUUAAAAAAAAUUAAAAGACUCAUUUAACCAUUAAAAAAAAUAAUAUAAUCCCAUUCCAAGUAAAUACAUUGAUCAAUUAGUACUAUGAUCUAAUUAUUAGUGGUUAGUUAUAAUAGAUUUUUUUAUUAGUUUAAGAAAAUCUAUUAAAAACGAAGAAACACAUUAAUAAAAUAUAAAGAUGUUCUUAAGAAAAACAAACAAAGAUAAAAAAAAAAAAAAUCAACCAACAUAAAUGAAUAAAAAGACUAAAAUAGAUAACAUAAACAUAGUCAAAUUGAGUUGUGGUCGAGUGAGUUUUGUAAUUAACUUUUGGUUUUAUUUACCAAUUGACAUGAUUUGGGUGAUGUAUCAAGUUCGUCUUGAUUCUCCUUUUUCUUGAUGGCUGAUUCUUUGGUAAAAUCUGGAAUUGUAAAGGUUUACGUGUUUUAAUGUUUGGUGAUUAUGAGUGGUUUGGAUAUUUACUAUAGAUAUGUUUUUAUGAUUUUAGCUAAUUUUGUUCAAAUUUUUUAUAUAUAGCAUCUUUGCUGCUUUUAUUUGAAUCUUUCAAACUAUUUACCUUCUUUUAUAAAAUAAUAAUGGCUUAGAAAAAAUUUUAAAAAAAAAAGAAAUAAAAGAAAGUAGAAUCGAUUAAUUGGAGUUAGGUGAGAAAAAAAUUUUAAAAAUAAAAAAUUAAUUUAAAAUUAUAAUAUUCGGUUUGAUUAGAAUAAGUUUUAUUUAUUUGAUUCGGAUCAAAUUCAGAUAUUAAAUAUAUAUAAUAGGUUUAUAUUAAAUUUUGGAUCAAAAAAAUAAAAAAAAAUUGAACCAAAUUAUAUAUUUUUUAAUUUAUAUAUAUAUUUUUAAAUUUUUAUAAAAUAAAAUAAAUAUUUUUAUAUUAAAAUUUACUUAAAUAUAUUAAAAUAAUAUAUGAAAAUUAAAAAAAAUUAAAAAUCAAUAAUUUGAAUCAAACUAAAUCAAUAAAAUUUUUUUUAAUUCAAAUUUAAAUAAAAUUUUAUAAUAUUAUAUAAUAUUAAAAAAAAUUAAAUCAAAUCAAAUUCGAUUCAAUCUAAUCCUAAUCAAAACUACGUUACAUAAAAAACAAUCGCUUUUUGAUUUAUAAUUAUUUAAAAUAAUUAAGAAUGUAUUUGAACACAUGGGCUCUCCACGGACAUGGAUGCUUUCAACACCAAAAUUGAGAUGGAUAAGCCCAACUAAAAUAUUUCUUAAAUGGAUAAGCCCAAAACCAAGGCAUUAAUUUCUUCGUUUUUCCAUGUAAUUGUAAACAAUGUAAUGCCAAAGUUGUUAUUGCUCAUUUACUCACAUUACAUUCCAUUCGUUAAUUCAAUUUUUGAUGAAAUAAAAAUUUAAUUUCAUCUCCUUGAAACAUGGAUAAAAUUUUGGAAUUUUCCUUUUAAAUUUCUGAAGAAUAAUAAUAUCAGCACAAACCACUUCAAUAGUUACAUUUUUUUAUUGAAUAGUUAAAAAGAUUACUAUGUAUAUUAUUCUUUUUUUCAUUUUUUUCCCAAUUGUAACAAGAACAAUUUGGGAUAACUGUCCUUAAUGUUCCUUAAUGUUCUCACAAUUUUGACUAAUGCUUGUUGUCCAUCAAAUAUAUAUUUACUUUGUAUUAAAAUUAAUUAAUGGAGCCAGAAAUUCUAGAUCAUUAGGCUUUUGGGAUAACUGUCCCACCAAGAAUCACCAUGACUACAAAUAAUAAGGCAAGAUCCUUUUUAGGGGAAGAAAUUUCAUAUACAAUAUAUAUAACCAUACUUGCUUUUCAUUCCUUCAAUCUGCUUUAACCAUUCUCUUAUCAUGAUAACCUUUGUUGCAAACCAUGCAUAAUGCACCCCAAAAAAACAAAAAAAGCAAUUGUCUGGCUUCUUUUUCAAAGUAAAAUCCACUCAACAGUUCCCUCUUGGAAAAUUGAGGAAUGAUUCAUACAUUUUAAAACCAAAAUAUACCUAAUUAAUGUUGGUAUCCACCUGAGAAGAAGAAUGUCUUUGAGCAAACAUAUUCAUGUGAAAAAAAAAAUACAAUUGACCAAACUCUUUCAUGCAUUGAACCCUCAAUCCCCCCUCUUUUCUUUUUUUUUUUUUCUUCCAUGAAUCUAUGCUUCCUUCUUUAUAAUACCAAAAUGUCUUUAACAAAAGUAUGUUUCUUUAGUAAGAAUCUUCUUUAUGAUAUAUUUCUCUCUCACCCUCAUAGACAUACAUAUAUAGACAAAAUCCAAUUUGGAUUUGCAAACCAAAAAAGGAGAAAGAAAGUGAAAAGAUGAAAUUGACCAUAUACUUGUGAUCUCUAAAUUUUGAGUUACAUAUUAUUUUUAUCUCUAACAUUUAAAAUGCGACUUGUUGAUCAGUAAAUUCAUAAAUAUAUAACAUUUUGAUCAUUUCGUCAACUUAAUUGUUAAUUUUAACAUUAAAUAUUAACUUUAAAUUUUCAUUAAUUCUUCGGUAAUCAAGCUUGGCCAUAUAUAUUUAAGAAUAUUAGCUUAUAUCUUGGUUUUUCGAGUGAAAUGAUCAGUGCUUCUAAAUUUUACUUGGACUGCCAAAUUGAUUCGAUCCUUAGGAAAUAAGCCACCUAGAUUGAUCAAUUCAUGACUUUAUGAGAAAAAAAAAAAAGGAUCAAAUCAAGUUCCAGCUUUGCUCAAUUGGAGAGGUUUAACUUGAAAACUACAUGGAGGGACAUCUAAUGUCGAAAUCAAAUAAAAAAAAAAGCCAACUUCUCCUCUAUUUAUACGUGAACUAAUUAAAACUUGUAAAAAGGAAGGGCGGGCAAAGGUUUCGUAUCCCAUACACAUUACCAAUUUCAAUCGUAAGAUAUAUACCUUUCAACCUGGAAAACGACUCUUUAGAUUCAGCCACCAUCGCCCAAUUCCAAAAUUUAAUGCUAAGAUGACAAGAACUGACGGGGCAAUGUUGAAGAGUCUCUCGCAGUGGCAGCCAAAAAUGGCUAGUAAUUUGGACAUGUGCAGUAAUAGAAAGUGACAUUUUUUUACUGUUAACAGGUUUGCCUGCGUGUACAUGAAAUGAAACCGGACCUGUUUUUUGAUGUUCUGCUGCGCCUGCCCUGGAAAAUGUAAAAAGGUUUUACUGUCAGGGUCAUUCUUUUUUUUGGGUGCAUCAUCUUUACUUUAACAAAAAGGAUUUGAAAAGAAUACUUAUCCAUGGAAAUUUCUUCGUAUACCAUUUCUUAUCCACUCGCCAAACCUUACUUUUCAAUUGGGUUUCUGUACUAAAUAAUAAAAAAUUGUAAGAUAAAUUUUUAUACAAUAUAUAUAUAUAUAUAUAUAUACACACACAUGAAUAAAAUCAUAUAUAUGUCUUAACAUUUAGGUUGGAAACCUACCUAUUAGACUCAUUGCUUUCAGUGUAACAGUAGAGACCGAAUUUCUAAUUUUUUAUUUAUUGAUUUCAUGGGUAUUUGUUAAUCUUUAAAUUUGAUAAGAUUUUUUCAAUUUUCUCUUUCUAACAUUAUUUAAUUUUGAUAUAUUAAGACUAUAUACUUCUUAUUUUACCUAGAGAAAACUUUAUAUUCUCAUUAUUUCAAUAGUGAAAAUUAUUGGUUGCUGCCCAUAGUUUUUAUUUUUCAUUUUUGGGAGACAAUCGAUAUUUUUUAUUUAGGUAUGAUUGAUCACCUAUGUGAAUCUAUUUUUUUCUAAGAUUAUCCUAAAUAUAAACUAUGAGUCCUUAAGAAGAAUAAGUUCUGAUCUACAUCAUCAAAACUAAAGUUUAAAAGCCGAUUAAGUGUAAAGAAGGUAUUAGCACCCCUUUAUACCCAAAAUUGGUACCAAGUUAAUUAUGUGUUAACUUACCUAAGUCUUAUCAAAGAUGAUUUUAUCAUGCAAAUAAAUCAAUUACAUUCUUUUUAUUUAUUUACAAAACAUGGUGAUAAAAAAAUUCUAUCAAAAUGUUAAGCAAUCAUGCAAUAAAUAUUAAAUCAUACUAUGCAACAAAAUCAUGCAAUAAUAACAAAUUAUAUCUAGUAAUAAAUCCUGCAAUAAAUAUAAAAUCAUACAAUGCAAAAAUUAUCAUGUAGUAAUAUAAUACCAUAAAAAUAUUCAUGCAAAUAUAUAUAAUCAUGCAAUCAAAUAUAAUCACAUAAAUAAAUAUAUUAAUAAUCAUGCAAUUAUGCACAUAGUAAAUAUAAAAAUAUGCAAUUAGAUACCAUUCAAAAUUAAUAUAAUAUCAUUUCAUGCAAUAAAUGUAAAAUCAUGGAAUAAUAACAAUAAAUAAAUAACCAUGAAAAUAGAUAUAUUAUUAAUUAUACAAUCACACAAAUAAAUAAAUUAUAAUCAUGCAAAUAUAUAUGUAAUUAAAUAUAUAAUCACGCAAUUAACAAUGUAAAAUAUGCAAUUAAAUAUCUAAUUAAAUAUAUAAUUAUGCAAAUAAAAAUAUAUAAACCAUACAAAUAAACAUACAAUUAAAUACAUAAUCAUGCAAAUAAAUAUAUAAUCAUGCAAUUAACAUAUAAAUCAUGUAAUUAAAUAUAUAAUCAUGCAAUUAACAAUAUAAAUCAUACAAAUAAAAAUAUAAUCAUACAAUCAACAAUAUAAACCAUACAAAUAAAUAUGCAAUUAAAUAUAUAAUCAUGCAAAUAAAAAUAUAUAAACCAUGCAAUUAAAUAUGCAAUUAAAUAUAUAAUGAUACAAAUAGUAUUAUAUUAAUCAUGAAAAAUAAACAUGCAAAAAUAAAUAUCAUGCAAUAAAUAUAAAAAAAAGAGUAAGCAAUUAAAUAUUAUAAAAGUUAUGCAAAAAUCACAAAAAAAUGAAAACAAACAUUACCUCAAUGAGUUCCAACAAUUUUUCACCUUUCAAAAACUUAUACUUCUUACUAUAAAUCUUAGCUUUCUUUCAAAAAAUUUAACUAGAUCUUCUUGCAAUUUUUUUUACUCAAUUGCUUCUUUGUUGUUGAUUCAAAACUUUGCCCAAAAUUUUUUUUUUUCAAUGACCUCUAUUUGAUCUUAAUGUCAGUUGCUAUCAGGCCCCCCUUUGAUCACAGAUUUAAGGUCUUUAUAUAGGGAUUGAAUCCAUUUUGAUUUGGAAGAAAUUAAUUCAAUUAAAUUUAUGAUUUUUUCCCUAAUUUUAUUCUUUUAGUAAUCUUUCCUUUUUUCAAUAGAUUGAACCUCAAGUCUCUCUAAAAUUAUUUAACCAUUAAAGUUAAAAUCUAAAAUAGAAUUUAAAAGUUGAAUUGAAUCCAAGAUUUUUCAUGCAAAAUCUCACAUUUUUUAUUUUUUAUCUUCUUUUUACCAAUUGAUUUUGACUCUUUUGACUAAAAAAACGAAAAUUAAACUAAAAAAAUAAAAUACAAAUAAAAGUUAGGCCCUAAUCUUUGGACCCAAAUUUAAUUUUUUCAAUUAAAGCCUAAUUAUACAAUCCAAAUUAAAAUUCAAAACCCAAUGAAUUUUGAAAAAUCUCUAGAUAAAAUAAGUUGUCUACAGUUGCCCCUCUUUGUGUAUUUUCUAUGAAACAGAAAUUAUACAAAGACAAAAGAUAUCCAUUUUGUCAAGGUCAAGAAAAAUAAAAAUAAAAAAUUACAAAGGCUCAUCCUCAGAGGUUUGAAACUUUUUUUUUUUUUGAAAAAUGCUCCCACAUAACUGAAACUUUGAAACUUUUGAAAAAUAAAAUGCUCCCCUAACAACUGAGGCUUUGGUACUUUUGAAAAUAAAAUGUUCCCCUAAAACUGAGGCUUUGAAACUUUGAAAAAUAAAAUGGUCCCCACAAUUGAGGCUUUAGAACUUUUAAAAUUAAAAUACUACCCCAUAACUGAGAUUUUGAAACUUUGAAAAAUAAAAUACUCUCCCAUAAUUGAGGCUUUGAAAGUUUUAAAAAAUAAAAUGAGAUUACUCUUACUUUCGAAAAAGCUUCUCCCUGAUAGAGGCAUUGAAACUUUAUUUAAAUUGAGUUUCUACAUCUCAUAUGAAUCAUCAUUAAUUGUUUUCUAAUGUCUUUUUUAAAAAUUAUUUUCUCAUUUAGUUUUUCCUUUAUGCUUUCCUAACAUAUGCAAUGAAUGCAUACAAUGAAUGAAAAGAUUCUACACAAUGCUCAAAUUCAAUUUCAAGAUUUAAAUUUUAAUUUUUCUUCCUCUCAAACAUACAUGAUGCAUGGGAUGAAUAUGAUAAACACAAUAUAUGCAUACAAUGAAUGCAUGAGCCAAAGAUUUUUUUAAAAUUCUAUCAUAAUUUCAUAACUUAAACUUUGAUCUUUCUUUUCUAAAUAUGAAAUGCAUGAGUGCAAUAAAUGUGAUGAUAAAUGCAACAUGUAAUGAAUGCAGUGAAUACAACGCAUGAAUGCAAAAUUCCUACUCAAUUUCAAACUUUAAACUUUCUUUUCUUUUUCAAAUAUGUAUGAUGAAUGUCAUGAAUGAGUGCAAUAUGCUCAGUAUGAUGCAUGCAUAUAAUGCAUAUGGUGAAUGCAAUGUAUGCUAUGCAAUUUAUUUUAUCUUUUCAAUUGUGCAAAAUUAGAGGGUUCUAAAAAGUCUUGAUUUAUCUUCUUGCUCCUUUUGACUCAUUAACACUUGUGGUUUUCAACAUGAGCUAUCAUGCAUCAUCAACUAGUCUCAUCCAUUAUAUCAUCCAAAUCCAAAGUUUGUUUCUUUCAAUGGGAUCUCAAGACUCUUCUUCAUGUCUUUUUUUUUAGCUUUUCAUCAUAUUUUUUUAAUUUUUUUGGAACUGGCUAGCAAAUGUAUCAACUGAUUUGUGACCUAAAAUUCCUUUUCAUUAGCUUCAUCAUUUGAUUUCAACAUUUGGAAUGUUUCUUUUCAUUUGUAAGCCACAAGGAUCAACAUAAUUUUAAACUUAUUUUAUCUUUCACAUUUCAUUUUCAUUAUGCCCUAGUCACUUUGAAAUAAUGCAAGGAUCUUUCAUAACAAUCAUUUAUUCAUUCAUCAUCAUUUCAAUUCAAUGCCAAAUGUAAUCCAUCACAUUUUUUUAGAUCAUCAUGGGAAGAAAUAAAUGGUGAAGAACAAUUAAAGAAAGGGUAUUCAUUAUAAGAAUAAGUCUGGUAAAGAAUAAAUAAGUAAAAAAAUUAUUUCAAGAUAAAUCAUCAAAACAAAUGUUGGAAAAGGUAUACAACAUUUAAGAUAAUGAAUAUUCAAAAAUUUUAGACAAAUUAAUUUUGAAUUCUUUUUCAAAAAUUCAUUCCAUUGAUAUUUUUUAUCUUUCAUCAAUUUAAGCAUUAUCUCUAUUUUUUGGAGAUCCUUAUUAAGGCUAUUUUUUUAGGUUCCCUUUUUGUUACUUAAACCACCUUUUCGGAUUUUCAGUUUAAUUUUUUUUUACACACCUCAUUCACAUCUUUUUUAUCUUAUUUUUUUCUCUUAAUCUAUCCGUUAGCCUUGAAUUGAUCCUUAUUUUGAAAUGACAAAACAUUAAAGCUAAAUAAACUUGAUCAAGAUUUUGAAAAAGAUUUAUUUAGUACAUGUUCUUAAGUUUCAUAUUUUGGUACUAAAUAAAUAAUAUGAUUUUCAAAGCUUAAACAAACCUUUCUUUAUUUUCAUAUUUCUCAAACCAAAUCUACUUUUAAAGAUUAUUUAUUUGAGCUUAAAUGAAAGUCCAAUUGUUGUUUUUAAAGUGAACUUAUUCAUUUUGGACUUAAUACAAUUUUGAUAAUAUUGGUUUUGGGAAAUAGAUUAACUUAGGAAAGUUGUUUUACAAUAACAAAGUUUUCCAACAUUUAUUUUAUUUUUCUGUAUAAAUUCACAAGGUUUUAAUAUUUGAAUUUUAUAUGGUUGGAAAGCUCUUUAAGUCUACUUUCUGAUGGAUUAAACAAAAUCAAAAUCAAAAUUUUUUAAGAAAAGAUUUUGAAUUUUUACUAGACACUUUGCAGUUGUAAGAAAAACUACACAAGGCAUAAUUUUGAAAAUUCACUAUAAUUCGUACACAAUGAAUUAGGUGAUGAACUAUCUACUUUUAAAGAUUAUUUAUUUGAGCUUAAAUGAAAGUCCAAUUGUUGUUUUUAAAGUGAACUUAUUCAUUUUGGACUUAAUACAAUUUUGAUAAUAUUGGUUUUGGGAAAUAGAUUAACUUAGGAAAGUUGUUUUACAAUAACAAAGUUUUCCAACAUUUAUUUUAUUUUUCUGUAUAAAUUCACAAGGUUUUAAUAUUUGAAUUUUAUAUGGUUGGAAAGCUCUUUAAGUCUACUUUCUGAUGGAUUAAACAAAAUCAAAAUCAAAAUUUUUUAAGAAAAGAUUUUGAAUUUUUACUAGACACUUUGCAGUUGUAAGAAAAACUACACAAGGCAUAAUUUUGAAAAUUCACUAUAAUUCGUACACAAUGAAUUAGGUGAUGAACUUGAUCUGGUUGAAAGCCCUUUAAGUCUAGUUUCUAAAUCUUCAAACGAUUUAUGAUUUGGAUUUUUAUAACUCAAGUUAUGAUCAAAUUAGUAAGUAGAGUGCAAAACGUAAAACUACCACCCUGCCACUGACAAGAUCGAUCCCCUUAUGGAAGGGAUUGAUCGGGUCAUGAUUUUCAAGUGAAAAAUAUUCAAAACAUGAACCAAUCGAUCCCAUCAAACAAGGGAUCGAUCGAUUUUGGGCAAAAACAUUCCAACGACUACUUUUUGAUGCUUUCAAUGGCUAUUUUCUUCUCUCAAACACUUAUAACAGUUACCUCUUCAAUUUCUCUAUAAAUUGGACACUUCCAACACACCAAAAAGAUUGAUAAAUCAAGAAAGCAAGAGCCAAUAAGCCACAUUUUCAUUCUCUCAAAGAAUAAAGAGUUUUUAGAGCUUCAAAGUCCAUAUCUUUGUAUUUAUUGUAUUCAAUUGUUAUUUGUUGUUCAUUCAUCAUUUUCUUGUACUUAAACUUAGCAAACACUUAGCCUUAGAGAGGUUGUUCUAUUAUUUGCAAAAUUAUCUUUGAUAUACUAGAGUGGAAGAGAACAAGAGGUGAGGUAUCAUCUUGAGAGCUUUAUAGUGAGAUUAGGUAAAAUACUAUAAAGAGUAAAGGUUUUUAUCUUAAGCCUUAGAAAAAAAAAGAUAGGUUGUAUUUUCAAUUCAAGAAUAGUGAAUUAAAGCAUUGGUGUGGACAACCAAGAAGAGAGGAUGUAGGUGCCUUGUGGAGAAGGAUCGGACCUCUAUAAAUCAUUGUGUUUAAUUUUUCUAUCCCUAUCUUCUUACAAUUUAUUGUUGUUUAUAUUUGAUUUUAGAUUCAUUAAUUGUUAUUGUUUGCAUUAUAUUUUCAUCAAAAGUGCUUAUUGUUUUAAUUUUCAUUCAACUAUAUUGAAAUCAUUUGUUUGGGAAGAAUUUGAAGAAAUUCAAUUCACCCUCUUCUUGGAUCACCAUUUAACCUAUAAAGCUAACACUAUCAGUAACAUUUUGAUCAAAAUUUCUAAUAUUCUCAUUACAAGUUUGUCUUAGUUCAAUUUAUGAUUCUCCUCUUCGAUCAUUCACAUUCGAUCAAAAUAGACUUUUAAGGGACAUAAUGUAGGCUAAGGUGAAAGGUUAUGAAAGAAAUUGAUAAAGUAGGUCCAAAAUUAAUUCAAAGGGUUAUAAACCAAAAUAUCAUUAUUAUCAUAUAGAGCAUCUUGGUUUUUUGCCCUAUUCUUCAUUAAUUGCCUUUUUUUUUCUUUUCUUUACAUUUUUUUUAUUUACACUUUUUAUCCUUUUUUAGGAUAAAUCUUAGCACCAAAAUGGGUUUUUUUUUUUACCUUUGAAGUUAUUAUGGACCUUUACUUUCUUUUUUCUUUAUUUUUCUCUUUAUGAUCAAGCCAUUUUCAAACUUUGUCCCAAUGUAAAGGGUGAUUCUUGGUUAGGGCUUCUUUCAAAAAAAAUUCAAUAAGCUCAAAUGGGAUAGUAAAUAGAUAAUUUUACUCAUUAUGUGAAAGGUAAAAGAAAAUGGCCAAAUUUUAUUUCAAAUAUGAAUACUCUCAAUGAAAAAUAUUUAUUGACUACGAGCAAACUUGUGAGCAAACCAUCAUAAAAAACCACACACACAUCACUUUCAUCUAUAAAUUAGCAAAAUCUCAUGCUAGUUUCAUUUCAUGAAACCUAUCCUCAUUUACUUUAAUGAUCCCAACAGAUUAAGAGUAUCAACUUAUCAAUUCUAUUAAUAUGAAUGAUAUUUUUAAAAUCAAAAUUUGAAUUAUUGUAAUGAUUAUUUGAACAUUCAUUAUUUAGCAUAUGGGAUUGGGUGAAAUAUGAAAGGCAUGUAUAAAAAAAUAAUAGAACAAAUGGGGAAAUGUAAUGAAAAUGCAUUUGUUACUUUAUUGAAAAGAUGAAAGAUAAAUAAAAGAUUGACAUAAAAGACUAUCGAAUGUUCAAAACUUGUAGUAUUUCUUAAAGUUUUUAACAUAACAGACAUUUAUAAAAACUCUUUCAAAAUUAUGCCCCAAUGUGGUUAAGUAAAGGGUUCUUGAUGACACGUCCUUACUUCUUAAUCAAAAUUCACCAAUCCAUUUUUUACUAAACUUUACACUUUAUACGUCAAUACUAUAUAAUUUUUUGUAGAAUGAUCAGUAAUCCCAAGAUGAUAGUCAUAAGUAGCAUUAAUAUCAUAUCACUUGAGGCAGGAAAGCUUCAUAGGUUCUGAAUAAAUUGGUGCGACUAAAUAGUUCUUAAUGAGUUAAGGGAGUAACAUAGUGUAUGUCAUAUGAAUUGGAUCUAUAGGAGCUCUUUCUCUUUUUACUCGAUUCUUAGGUUGAACAACUAGUCGACAGUUAGAGUUGGAUGAUUGUAUGAUUGGUUGAUGCACAUAAGGACUUGAAAAGACAUUGUUGAUGGUUAGAUAGUAAGCUUGGUACAUCGAGUAAAGAUAAUAUGGGGUAAAGCCUCCAACCUUUUAUCCUUCAUGAAUUAGAGCUUAAGAUCUUUAUUUUUCUUUUUUAGCACAUCAUUUUUCUUUACAUCACCAUCUUCAAGCUUUUCAUUCUUGAUGACAUUUUCAAUUAUUUCUCCAGAAAUAAACAUAUCAUUGAAAUUUUUAAUGGCAUUUUUAAUCAUCAUUUUAUAGUAAGAAGCCUUAAGAGUAUUGACAAACAUGAUUGUGAUUUUUUUCAGUAAACUAUGGUUAAACUUGGACAGUAAUAUCCCUCAAUCUCUGGAUAUAUUCUUUAAAACUUUCAGUAUCUUUCUUUUGUAAGCUUUGUAAAGACAUACGAUCUUAUGCCAAAUCUGUAAUGUGUUUAUAUUAUGUAAUGAAAGUCCUUGUAAGUUAUCUUUAUGCAUGAAUGCGAGAUCUAUUCAAUUGCAUAUAUCACUUAGCAAUUAAACUAAUAAAACUGUCUUGAAAAACAUGAAUGAACAACUUUUUAUUAUGAGCGUAUGCAACCAUUUUAUGAUAAUAUAUCAUAAUAUAUAUGAUAAAAGCAUUUGGUCUUGUCAUAACGUCUAGAUCCGGGGAUCUAUCGCUAGUCAUUGACUUAAGGGAGUCGUCACCAAUCUUUUUUAUCUAGGUGCGAUUGGCCACCUAAGGAAUCUGUCCUUUCAGGGAACACCUAAGUUUAAGGGUCCCUAAAAGAAUAGGUUCAGGUCUGCUAACCAGAACGGGGUUCGGGAGUUCGAUUACGUGUGAGGAAGGUUAUAGCACCCUCACAACGCCCAUCAAAAAAUGGUACCAGCUUAAAUUUGUGCUAUCCAAUGAGCCUUAAAAUUUUACCGAGUAAUUAAUUAUUGAAAAUUAUUCUCAAUUGACUCUAAUACUUUUAGCAAAAAAUUGAGAAAAUUCCCUCACCUCAAGAGUAUGCAAGAAAAACUACUAUUUCACUUGUAGAGGCUCCGUCGUCGGAUUAAUUAAAGAAAAAUCAAAAUAGAAAGGAAUGAAAGAAUGAUUUUUUUUGUGUAGGGAAAAUUGAUACUUUCAACUUUUCCCCAAAAAUAUUUUUUUUGAAAAUUUAUUUAUUUUUUUUAAGGAAAAUUGAUACUUUCAACUUUUCCCUAAAAAUAUUUUUUUGGAAAUUUUGAUCUUUAAGGAAAAUUGAUACUUUCAACUUUUCCUCAAAAACCCUUUUUGAAAUUUAUUUUUAAGGAAAAUUGAUACUUUCAACUUUUCCCUAAAAAUAUUUUUUUUGGAAUUUUUGAUUUUUAUAAUAAAAAAAUAAAUAAAAAUAAAUAAAGAAAAGUAAAACAAAAAUAAAAAUAAAAUAAAGAUAAAAAGAAUAUUAAAUAAACCUAAUCUAAUAAAUAAAUAAAUAAAUAAAUAAAUUUAAAAAAAAAGAAACCUGGAGCGGCUCGGCUAGCGGCUCAGCUCGGCUCGGCUCAAGGCAGGGAAAAGGCUCGGGGGGAGCGGCUUGGCAGCUUGGCUCGGCUCGGAGGGGGGCUGGCACGCUCGGGUCGGGUCGGGUUUUCGACAAAACGCGCGGAUCCUCUAAUUAACUUAAAGCCAAAAUGACGUCGUUUUGGGAGGGUAUAAAAGGCAGUCCCCUUCGUUUUUCGACAGAACACCCCUCCCCUCUCUCUUUCUUCUUCCCUUUUUCUCUUCCUUCUCUCUAAGGGCUGAAGAACUCCGAUGGAGAUUUUCACCGGAUUCUGGAAAUUAUCGCCGAAAUCUGGAAAAUUUCAUCGAAAGUUCACCGGAAGUUGCCGAAAGAUCACCGGUUUCUGGGAUUCUUCACCGAAAACUGGGUAGGUCACCGAAAACUUCAAAUUUGGCCAGAAUCCUUGUCGAAAAAUUCAAUCCUUGCCGGAAAAUUCGUCGGAAUCUGGAAAUUUCUCAGAAAUUUCCAGAAAAUUUUUUCGCCAAAAACUUCUAAAAAUUUUUUCUCACUCCCAGAACACUCCUAAACUUUUCUUAGCUUCCUAUACGCCUCUUUUUCUCUCGAAUCAGUAGCUUUGCUUACUGUUUUUCCUCUGUCCUUCAUCUGUUCCAAAGGGUCCCUUUUAUAGGGAUUGAUCAGGAGUUCCUGAUCAAUCCCAAUUUCUCUUUGAACGGGAAUGAAAUCUUUAAAUCCAACUGGACUCUUCUGAUUGAAUUUCCAUUCCCAGUGAGAUUCUUCAACUUCAAUCUCAGCCUUCCAAAAAAAAAAAAAAACUAGAUAAUUAGAAAAGAUAAAUAAAAAAUUAUUAUAAGAUAAAUAAAAAAAUAAUAUCAGAUAUAUAAUUAGAUAAAUAAAAAUACAAAAAUAAAUAAAUAAAAUAAAAGAUAAAAAUAAUAAAAAUAUAUAUAUUAGUAAUAAUACAUAAAUAAUAAAAUACAUAGGAUAUACAUAAAAUAUAAAAUAAAAUAAAAAUAAAAAUGACAAAGAUAAAAUUGAACCUACCCAUUUGGACCAAGCCCAAUUGAUCUGGGUCUGGACCAAAUUGGGUGUCUACAGCUGUCCCUCUUUACACAUUUUCUGUGAAACAGAAAUUGCGCAAAGACGUAGACACCCAAUCAAGACUCAACUCAACAUUGUCUUUUUUUUUUGUUUUUUAAUUUUUUUGCUUUUUUUUGUGUUGUUUUUUUUUUGUUUUUGUUUUUUGUUUUUGUUUUUUGUUUUUUUGUUUUGUUUUUUUUUUUUUUUUUUACCAAAGCUCCUCUACGCAGAGGCUCAAUAACUUUGAGAAACAUAAAUUGCUCCUCUAAACAGAGGCACCACGACUUUGAAAAGUAAAUUGCUCCUCUAAACAGAGGCACCACGACUUUGAAAAAGUAAAUUGCUCCUCUAAAAUUGCUCCUCUAAACAGAGGCACCAUGACUUUGAAAAAGUAAAUUGCUCCUCUAAACAGAGGCACCACGACUUUGGAAAGUAAAUUGCUCCUCUAAACAGAGGCACCACGACUUUGAAAAAGUAAAUUGCUCCUCUAAACAGAGGUACCACAACUUUGGAAAAGUAAAUUGCUCCUCUAAACAGAGGCACCACAACUUUGGAAAAGUAAAUUGCUCCUCUAAACAGAGGUACCACGACUUUGGAAAAAUAAAUUACUCCCUGACAAUCAUGUCCAAAGGAGUUGAAAGUUGUGUUUGAAGGAAUUUCAGGAGAUUAUGCCCAAAGGUCUUAUAAAUCGAUCCUGAUACCAAAAGACAUCCUAUUUCAAGGAUUAGGAACUUACCUGACAAGUUUCUUCUCAAACUUGUAAAAUAUCUUUAUAUUUGUCUUCUCCAUGUGAGAUGUUGGAACACCCUUGCUUCUUGGAUUUAUACACUAUACUUUCCUGAAAGUAGUGUAUGCUAUGCAAAUGCAUAUGAAUUUUAAUGCAUGCUAUGCAAAUGUUGGCCAAUUAAUUCCUGUUCAAUGUAUGGUACUCAAGUUUCUCAAGCUUUUUUCUUCUUGGGCAUCAAGCCUUUCUAUUCUUCAGAGAUCCAAUUACACUGCUCUUCUAAGAUUGAACCAGUGUAGCUCUCAAUUGUCUUUUUCACUCAUAUUCUUCCUUAUCUAGUUCCUCAAUACUUUAGAAUAAGCUUCAUCAAUCGAUCAUCACUUGACCAUCAUUCAAUGAAUUUUUCAGCACUAACAAAUUUCAAAACAAGUUUCAUCCAUCAUCACUGGAUCAUUACUCAUAGAUGUCCCAGCAUUAACCAUUCCAAAACAAACUCUGUCUACUGAUUGUCUUCAUCAUUCAAUCAUAACUUGCAAGUCAUAUCGAUCAAUUCAUCACUUUUCAAUAUUUGCCCCAUUAUAUCAUAUACCUUUUCAAAUAAUCUCUUUCAGGUUCCUACCGUUUUUUCAUCAUGUUACCACCAUCAUCUUAGAUUUCUUUUCAAAUGAAUGUAAGAUUCACUUAAACACAUAUUCAUUCAUUCAUUAUCAUUUCAAAUCUUGACAAAUACAAUGCAAUCAAGCAUUUUCUCAAUUCACUUAGGGGUGAAAUAACAAGAGAACAUAAGGUGAAUUAUCACUGAAGAUCUAUUUUGGUAUAAAACAAAUGAGAAAGGACAUAAAUUGGAUAUAUGUCAUUGGAAUGGAUGGUAUGUCCAAAUGAUGAAUAUUCAGACAAUUCUCAACAUUAAUCUAUGAUUCUUUUUCAGAAACUCAUUCCAUUUACUGUUGAAGUCAUCUUGAGCUUGGCGAACUUUGUCCCAGUCUUUGAGGGAUUUUCAGAUGUCUUUGAUCUUCCAUUCAUGUAAGCCAUUUGACCUGGAUCUUUUUUUUUCUACCAAAAUCUCUUUUUUUUCAUUUUUUCAUUUUUUUUCUUUUUUUCAUCAUCUUUUUUCUUUUUGCUCAUUUUUCAUCCAUUGUUGAUAUCUUUCAUGUAGCAUGAUUCCAUUGCUUCAUCAUGAGCAUGUCUUUUGCUCAACAUAUGAUCAUUCAAGUUGAGUAUUCACAUUUGAUCCAAAUGGACUUUUCAAGGUUGUAAUGUAGGCCAAGGUGAAGGGUCAUAAAAAAAUGGAUAUAAUAGGCUCAAAACACGUAUUAAAAAGGUUCAAAACCAAAGGAUCAUUUGAUAAAACUUGGCAUUUUUUCCUACAUCAUUUCAUUACUUUUUUCUUUCCUCAAAAGAUUCUCAUUACUUUGCCCCAAGUCAUGUGUGGCAUUUUUUUUUCUUUUUUUUUUUAGAUCUUUUUGUGAUUUUUUUAAAAAUUGCCCCCUAGUGUAGAGGGUGAUCCUUGGUUAGGGUUCUUUUGAAAAAGAAAUCAUAACAGGCUCAAAGGGGUAGCAAUAAAUGGCUUUUCGAAUGGUAAAAGAAAGAUGGCUAUUUUUCAUCUCAAUUGUGAAUACCUUUCUUGAACAUCAUCUAUUGAACCAAGCUCAUGAAUAUGUAUAAAAGAUUACACAUCUUCAAGACAUAUCUAUUUCACCUUCAGUAACAGCUUACUUUUUGCUCAAAUCAUCUUUUCAUAUUAACAUGGAUGAGUUCUCAAAAUUAAAUCCCAGAAUUAUUGUUAUCAUUGUCUAAAUAUUUAUCAUCUAAAAUUUAAGAAUGGGAAUGUAAAGUUAUGAAAGGUAACAAAGCAUGGAGUAAUGGUCAAGUGAAAGAGAAAAAUGUAAUGAAAUGCAUUGACUUACCUUUAUUAAAAUGAUAACAAGUGAAGUCACAUUGCAAAAAGAAAUCCAACAAUCACUCGAAAAGAAAUCUUAACAUGACAAAAGAAACCUUCAACCAGCCUUAUCUCCAUUUCAAAAUUGUCCCCCUAUGCGAUCAGGUGAGGAAUCUCUAUUGACAUCUUGCCCCUCAAUUCAUUGUGAAUCUUCGGAUCCUUUCUGUUCUUGACUUUCGCUCAAUACACUAACAUUAGGUGCUGUUGCUUUUCCCUGAUCAAAACUUACCAUUCCAUCAUUGAUCAACCGUUGCACCUUAUGCUUUAAAGCAGUACAAUUUUCAGUAGAAUGGCCAGUAAUUCCAUAAUGAUAGUCACAACGGGCUGUAGGAUCAUACCACUUUGGAUAGGGUGGUUUAAGUGGUUCCACAUGGAUGGGGGCAAUCAAGUGGUUAUUAUAGAGUUUUUGAUAUAACUCUGUAUAAGUCAUAGGGAUUGGAUUAAAUACAAGUUUUUCUCGAGUAGUCUGUUGUUCUCGUGAGCCACUUGCUGGGUUAGUAGGGCGAAUUUGGGUUCUUACAAGAGCUUGAAUGUUAAGGCGGUAAGUGGAUGAAUAAGAUGGUUGUGGAGCUAGCUAGUAUGGGUAAGAUGAGGCAUUAUUCACAGCAGGAUAGUAUGGAGAGUAACCUUGGGAUGGAUAGGAUUGAUAACCCUUGAAUUGUUGUCUAUCAAAGCUCACAGCUUGAGCUUCAGUUUCUUUCUUUUCUGAUGCCUUCUUGGUUUCUCCUCUUUUUAACUUACCAUUUUUUAUGGCACUUUCAAUAAUUUCUCCAGAGAUUACCAUGUCAGCGAAAUUUUUUAUUACAUUCCCUAUCAUCUUUUCAUAAUAGGGAGGCUUCAAAAUGCUGACAAAUAACACUGUAGUUUUUUUCUCAGUCAAAAGAGGUUGUACUUGAGAAGCAAUAUCCCUCCACCUCUGGGUAUACUCUUUAAAAGACUCAUUUGAUUUUUUCUCUAGAUUCUGUAAAGAUAAACGAUUAGGGGCCAAAUUGAUGAUGUGUCGAUAUUGACUGAUGAAGUCAUGAGCCAUAUCGCUCCAAGAGUGAAUGUGGGUCCUAUCCAACUGAACAUACCACAUGGCAGCAGAACCAGUAAGGCUAUCCUAGAAGACAUGCAUCAAGAGUUUUUUAUCAUGUGCAUGAGCUGUCAUCUUUCUGUAAUACAUGGUGAUGUGGGUUUUGGGGCACUUUGUACCGUCAUAUUUUUUAAAUUUCGAUACUUUGAACUUAUGGGGGAUAACCACAUCAGGAACUAGGCAGAGCCCAGCAGCAUCAACUAACCCAUAAAAGCUAAAUCUUUUCACAGCCCGUAGCCUCUGCUCUAGCAUGCUAAUUUUAGAGCUUUCCUCAGCUUCCACCCUUAUCUUUUCCUUCUCCUUCUCUUCUAGGUCAGGAAUUGGUUCUGCUACCUUUUCAGUGAAGACAUGAUUUAUAUAGCUGUUAUACUGCCCUGGGUUGAAAGCUGAUGGCAUUCCAAGACAUGUUGGAUAUGCAAAAUGUUGUGGUGGGACCUCUUGGGCAGACUGGACUUGAGGUGGGCCAAAACUUAGAGGGUACAAAGAGUCAGCCACUUCUUGCUGGCUUGUACUUCUUUCAACUUUUUUUCCUUUAUUCAUGUUAUUAAGGGCCUCUAAAAUCUUGCUUAGUUCACUUUCAAUCUUCUCUUGAGCUUUUUCUAGCUUUUCAAAUCUAUGAGAACUUUCUUCUUCCAUUUGCCUUGCUCUGGAUCUUGUGUUGUAUGGAUGAGCAGGGUUUUCGCUAGAUUGAGCUAUCCUCGGACCUUGAGUACCAUACUUAUGAUUAGAAAUGUUAUGCUGUGCCUUAUGUAUGAUGCUUUAAUACACAAAUGAAAUGUACAUUUUUUUGAAAAAAAUUUAGUAUGAAAUGAAUGUAAAUGAUUGUGUUAAAAUAUGAUCAUGAAGAUAAUGCAGAUGCAUACAAUCAGACAAACAACAUAGUUAGUUCCAUGGAUGAAAUAAAAGUGAUGCUGGUGCAUAAUGUUACAUAUGAUAAAAAUAAUACACAAAGUUAAACAGUCAAAAUGAUAAGACAAACACCAUUUUUGUGUCCUAAUUUCAGGGUAUAUCUAUCAUUGGGUAGAAAGGGCUCUAUCUUAGGUGUAGGCACUCUUAAGGUUCACUACAUGCGGUUUUAAGGUCAGAGUCUAAAGGUCUUCAAAUUAUUCCUUACAUCUUUGUCCAUCACAGACUAGUAAGGCACCCUAAUUCUCACCCAUUAUAGGCUACAAGCGAAAAAGGUUCAAUUUGAGUGGGAGUAUUUUGCUAGCCACUGCGGAGGCAUUAGACCUCACGAAAGCAAUAGGUACUUUACUCCCUCCUAGAGGGACGGAGCUCGGGUGUAGAGCUCAUGUUAUACACAUGCACAUGAAUGACAUAAUUAACAAAGUAAAUAAACAUGAAUGACUAAUAACACAUAUAUACAACAAGGUUUAAUUUUAUUAGGCUUUUGGAUAACACAAAUUAUUUGCUGGCCUAACUCUCAAAGUCCCCAGCGGAGUCGCCAAGCUGUCAUAACGUCUAGAUCCGGGGAUCUAUCGCUAGUCAUUGACUUAAGAGAGUCGCCACCAAUCUUUUUUAUCUAGGUGCGAUUGGCCACCUAAGAAAUCUGUCCUUUCAGGAAACACCUAAGUUUAAGGGUCCCUAAAAGAAUAGGUUCAGGUCUGCUAACCAGAACGGGGUUCGGGAGUUCGGUUACGUGUGAGAAAGGUUAUAGCACCCUCACAACGCCCAUCAAAAGAUGGUACCAGCUUAAAUUUGUGUUAUCCAAUAAGCCUUAAAAUUUUACCGAGUAAUUAAUUAUUGGAAAUUAUUCUCAAUUGACUCUAAUACUUUUAGCAGAAAAUUGAAAAAAUUCCCUCACCUCAAGAGUAUGCAAGAAAAAUUACUAUUUCACUUGCAGAGGCUCCGUCGUCGGAUUAAUUAAAAAAUCAAAUUAAAAAAAUCAAAAUAGAAAGGAAUGAAAGAAUGAUUUUUUUUGUGUAGGGAAAAUUGAUACUUUCAACUUUUUCCCAAAAAUAUUUUUUGGAAAUUUCGAUUUUUAAGGAAAAUUGAUACUUUCAACUUUUCCUCAAAAAUCCUUUUUUUUGAAAAUUUAUUUCUAAGGAAAAUUGAUACUUUCAACUUUUCCCCAAAAAUAUUUUUUUUGAAAAUUUAUUUAUUUUUUUUUAAGGAAAAUUGAUAUUUUCAACUUUUCCCUAAAAAUAUUUUUUUGGAAAUUUUGAUCUUUAAGAAAAAUUGAUACUUUCAACUUUUCCCUAAAAAUAUUUUUUUUGGAAUUUUUUAUUUUUAUAAUAAAAAAUAAAAUAAAUAAAGAAAAGUAAAACAAAAAUAAAAAUAAAAUAAAGAUAAAAAGAAUAUUAAAUAAACCUAAUCUAAUAAAUAAAUAAAUAAAUAAAUUUAAAAAAAAAAGAAACCUGGAGCGGCUCGGCUAGCGGCUCAGCUCGGCUCGACUCAAGGCAGGGAAACGGCUCGGGGGGAACGGCCUGGCAGCUUAGCUCGGCUCGGCUCGACUCGGAGGGGGGCUGGCACGUGCGGGUUAAGAAGCGAGUCAACGCUCGGGUCGGGUCGGGUUUUCGGUAAAACGCGCGAAUCUUCUGAUUAACUUAAAGCCAAAACGACGUCAUUUUGGGAGGGUAUAAAAGGCAGUCCCCUUCAUUUUUCGGCAGAACACCCCUCUUCUCUCUCUCUCUUCUUCCCUUUUUCUCUCCCUUCUCUCUAAAGGCUGAAAAACUCCGGUGGAGAUUUUCAUCGGAUUCUGGAAAUUAUCGCCGAAAUCUGGAAAAUUUCGCCGGAAGUUCACUGAAAGUUGCCGAAAGAUCACCGGUUUCUGGGAUUCUUCGCUGGAAACUUGGCAGGUCGUCGAAACUUCAAAUUUGGCCGAAAUUCUUGCCGAAAAAUUCAAUCCUUGCCGAAAAAUUCGUCGGAAUCUGGAAAUUUCUCAAAAAUUUCUAGAAAAUUUUUUCGCCAAAAACUUCUAAAAAUUUUUUCUCACUCCCAGAACACUUCUAAACUUUUCUUAGCUUCCUAUACGCCUCUUUUUCUCUCGAAUCAGUAGCUUUGCUUACUGUUUCCCUCUGUCCUUCAUCUGUUCCAAAGGGUCCCUUUUAUAGGGAUUGAUCAGGAGUUCCUGAUCAAUCCCAAUUCCUCUUUGAACGGGAAUGAAAUCUUUGAAUCCAACUGGACUCUUCUGAUUGAAUUCACAUUCCCAGUGGGAUUUUUCAACUUCAAUCUCAGCCUUCCAAAAAUAAAAAAAAAAACUAGAUAAUUAGAAAAGAUAAAUAAAAAAUUAUUAUAGGAUAAAUAAAAAAAUAAUAUCAGAUAUAUAAUUAGAUAAAUAAAAAUACAAAAUAAAUAAAUAAAAUAAAAGAUAAAAAAUAAAAAAUAUAUAUAUAUUAGUAAUAAUACAUAAAUAAUAAAAUACAUAGGAUAUACAUAAAAUAUAAAAUAAAAAUAAAAAUAAAAAUGACAAAGAUAAAAUUGAACCUACCCAUUUGGACCAAGCCCAAUUGAUCUGGGCCUGGACCAAAUUGGGUGUCUACAGGUCUCAUCAUACUUUUUGAACAUAGGCAUUUUAAACUUUGGUGAAAUCAUGACAUCAAGAAUCAGGCAUAAUCCAGUAGCAUCCAUUGACCCAUAAAAGUUUAUUCUAUCAAUGGCUCUAAGCUUUUCUUCUAUAAAAUCUAUCUUUUAAGAGUCAGAGCUUUCUUUAGUUUCAACAGGGCCUGUCUUUAGCUUUUCAUAUUCUUUGAAAUCAUCAAAAUUUAAAACUUGUGUAUGAUCAAAUAUCUUGAUGUCAAGAAUAGGGAAAAUGAGAGCAUGAAUAGCAAUUGUUGGCAUGCCAGUCUGUACAUAAGGAUAAGUUAUAGUGAAUGACAUUUGAUGCUUGGCCCUUUGAGAUGCAAGUGCUAAAUAUAGGUCAAAUCUAAGAAAGUAUAGUGGAUUAGUCUCAUUUUGUAUCACUACUUUUUUCACUAUUUUUCCCUUUAUUUAUAUUUUUUAACAAUUCGAUAAUAGUUUUCAAUAGCCCCUUCAAUUUUUUUUGUGCUUUUUUAGCUUUUGAAGGUGAAUAGUAUUUUUUUCUUCGAUGAUCCUUGCUUGAUAUCUAGUGUUAUAGUUACUUAGAUUAUUUGAAGAUUGAGUUAUCCUUGAACCUUAAUUUUUUAUAAUUUUUAAAAAUUAGAAUGACUUAUUAUCAUGCAUUUUUUAGAGAUGUUUAUGUAUGAAUGCAUGAAUGCAAUAAAAAGGAUCUACCAUAUAACAAUUGUUAACAAAAAAAAUCUUUGUUGAAUUGAAAGUUAUUUCUAACCAAAUCUAAUAUUAUAUCCAUAAAAUCUAAAGUUUUUUGUGGAAAGAAUCCUUGAUUUGUUGAUAUUAGCUUUACACUUCAUAAAGAAAAACUAUCAGCUCUUGGCUAUGUGUUCCCAAUAGUGGUACCUUUAUCUUCCAUUCUUCAAUUUCUUUUCUAUAUCCUUGGCUUUAUAAGUACCCAUAGUGAUUUGGUCAAGCAAGCAUUCUAAUUGGUUAUACUUUUUCACAUAUGUUUUCUUGGCUUGUUCACAUUUUUCAUUCAUAACACCCAUUUAUAUUCCAAUUUCAACCACUACCCCAUUAAGCAUUUGGAUGUACUUUUGUACUUCGGUGAGUGCUUCGUCUCUUUCUUGCAUAUUUGCUUAUAAUUGUCUAUUUUUUUCAAAAGUUGGGCUAACUCACGAUUGGUGAAUGAUUGUGUGAUGUUGAGAUUAAAAAAAGAUUAUUUCAUUCAUCCUUUUUUUUUUUUGAGUGCUUAAACCUUUUUAUCCAUUCUUCCCUCCAACUUCAUUUUUAGCCUUUUGUUUUCAAGCUUCAAUUCAUCUUUUUCAACUUAGAGCUUUCUUUUAACGAUUUUUAUUACCAAUAGGGGAUCAAGAGGUGGUGAUUUUAUUAAGCCAUUUGGAGUUGCUUCUUCAGGGAUUUUAAUAUCUUUACCUCAUCUAAUGUGUCACACAAAGUAUUCAAGGGCAACCUCAUUUAAUCGUCUCAUCUUAUCUUCCCUUUGGGGUAAAUUCCAAGCUUGCAUGAUUUUGGCUAUCUUUAUGGAGGCAUCAAUUUCAACAUAUGAAAACUUUAUUUUACUAAGUUCGGAAGUGAUUGGGAUAAACUAUUCAUACCAACAUUAUCUUUGCACCAUGAUGAGAGAAUAACUUAUUGCACCCAAAAAGCCUAAGAGAAGAACCAAAGUUUAUCUUCACAAUCAUACAACACUAAUCCAUAAUGCAUCCAAAAAGCUUUAUAUAUCACAUCUUGGCUAGUCAGCUUGCGUAGAAAUAAGAUCCACACUUUUUUAUUUUUGUGUAGGUUAUUCAUUCUUACAUAAUUAUUUAAUGGGAGUGUUUGUAGUGAAAUAUAGCUUGCAAAAUUUAUCACCAUUAUUUUCGAUAUGACUUUUAUCCAAAUGGUUAACAAUUGAGUACAUCUAGUAAAACAAUCAUCUCUAUUUCAGUGACAAUGAUUUAAAGAUCUAAUAGUCUCAGCCAAAAUUGUAAGAAUAGGGUUGAUUUGGUAACCAAGUUAAUAAAAGAAAUCCACCACUGCAAUAUCAAUAUAAUCAAAUACUUUUAGAAAUACCAUCAUCCCAUGUAAAGCCAAUGCCAUCAAAUCCAUUCCUCUUUUAUUGCCAAAAUAUUUGUAUAUAAAGUCACAAACAAUAGACCAAGGAAUACCAACAUUUUCACCUUUUCUUUUUACCUAAAUUAUCAAUAGUUUGGAUAUCUACCAUUAUCAUUUGAGCAAGCUUUUUUCAGUAAGCAGUCUUUUUAUUUUUUCAAUAUACUUUAUCAAGAUUAGAAAGAUCCAAGCAAAUGAGAGUUGAAUAUUCUUUAAUAGUUGACACCAACUCAAUCUUAUUGAACACAAAGUAGUGAUAUGAAGGGUUCUAAAACUGAACCAUGGCCCUAAUAACCUGAUCAUCAACAAGAAUUGAAAUAAGUAAUGCAAGGUCCCCAAACUUUUUUUAGAAAGUCUCAUUAGCAAUAACACUCUAUUGGUUCCAAAUAUGAACCAAAUAGCUAAGAUUAUUUCAUUUGAAAUUGAGAUGGAUUUUGGCAAGCACAGUAGUUAUAUAAUUGGCUAGCAAACGAUUCCCCUCCUUUAAGUUGAACUUCUUUAAACUUCAUUUUUAGACAUGUAAGAAACUUUAAUAGGCUCUUUAUAGAUGUAAUUAAGAUUUAUUUUGUUAAGAUUGUUUUGUGGUAAUCACUCUUUAUGUAAAUCUAAUGAUGCAUACAUACAUAAUAAAGUAAAUAGAAAAAGGUUAACGUAAUAUAAUAUAUAUAAGGAAUAAAAAAAUAUAAAAGGUUAGUAUGCAAAUAUAUAUACAAGGGAUAACACAAAUUUACUAGAAUAAUGAAUGUCCCAUCAUGCGUCAUGUUUAGGUUUUUUCCUAAUUAAAGGAAGGGUAGGGCUCUAGCUUAAGUUUGGAUCAUGAGGAUUCAUGUACAUGCUGAGUUCAAAGGUUUGACAAUCUAAAGGCUUCCAAACUGUUUUCUACAUCAUUGUCCAUUAUAUGCUAAUAGGGCACCCCAAUCCUUACCCACUAUUAUAGGCUCAAAUGGAAAUGAUUCAAUUUGAGUAGGAGCUUUUGCUAGCUCACACAGAGAUCAUCACCUUACGAGAAUUUAAGUACUUGUUCCCUCCUAAUAAAAGAUAAGGUCCGAGUAUAGAGCUUAUGAAUGAAUGCAAGUAUGGCAUGUGUAAAGAGAUAUGUCCAAUAAUUAAAUAAAUAGGCAUGAAUAAAAAAUAAUAAUUGCAAAACAAACAAAUAAAAAAUCACAAACAAAUAGGUUAAUCCACAUGAAAAUCAUAAAUAAUUACAUAAUAAAAAUUGUUAAAGUAAGGCUUAAGAUAACAUAUAACUAACUAAUGACUUUACUCUCUAAAAUUUCCAGUAGAAUCGUUAAAUUGUCAUAACAUUUAGGUUGGGAACCUACCCAUUAGAGACAAAAAUAUAGAGUUGCCACCAAUCUUUUUUAUCUAAGUGUGAUUGGUCAUCUAUGUGAAUCUAUCAUUUUCUAAAGUUGCCCUAAGUGUAAACUAAGGGUCCCUAAAAAGAAUAGGCUCUAGUUGACAUAAUUAAAACUAAGGUUCGAGAGUUAGUUAUGUGCAGGGAAGGCAUUAGUACCUUUAUACGCUCAAAAUUAGUACCAAGUUAAUUAUGUGUUAUCUUACUUAAGUUUUAUCAUAGAUGGUUUUAUCAUGUAAAUAAAUCAAUUUCAAUCCUUUUAUUUAUUUACAAAACAUGGUGAUACAAAAAUUCUAUCAAAAUGUCAAGCAAUCAUGCAAUAUAUAUUAAAUCAUAUCAUGCAAUAAAUCAUGCAAUAAAUAUAAAAUCAUACCAUGCAAAAAUUAUCAUGCAAUAAUAUAAUACCAUAAAUAUAUUCAUGCAAAUAUAUAUAAUCAUGCAAUCAAAUAUAAUCACAUAAAUAAAUAUAUUAAUAAUCAUGCAAUUAUGCACACAAUUAAUAUAAAAAACGCAAUUAGAUACCAUCCAAAAUUAAUAUAAUAUCAUAUCAUGCAAUAAAUAUAAAAUCAUGCAAUAAUAAUAAUGAACAAAUAACCAUGCAAAUAAAUAUAUUAUUAAUAAUCAUACAAUCACACAAAUAAAUAAAUUAAUAAUCAUGCAAAUAGACAUUCAAUUAAAUAUAUAAUCACGAAUUAACAAAGUAAAACAUGCAAUUAAAUAUCUAAUUAAAUAUAUAAUCGUAUAAACAAAAAUAUAUAAACCAUGCAAAUAAAUAUGCAAUUAAAUAUAAUCAUGCAAAUAAAUAUAUAAUCAUGUAAUUAACAAUAUAAAUUAUGCAAAUAAAUAUGCAAUUAAAUAUAUAAUCAUGCUAAUAGUAUUAUAUUAAUCAUGCAAAUAAACAUGCAAAAUAAAUAUCAUGCAAUAAAUAUAAAAAUAAGAGUAAGCAGUUAAAUAGUAUAAAAGUUAUGCAAAAAUCACAAAAAAAUGAAAGCAAACAUUACCUUAAUGAGUUUCAAUAAUUUUUUACCUUUCAAAAACUGAUACUUCCUAUCAUAAAUCUUAGCUUUCUUUCUAAAAACUUCAACUAGAUCUUCUUGAAAGUUUUUUUGCUUGAUUGCUUUUUUCUUGUUGAUUCAAAACUUUGCCCAAUUUUUUUUUAAUGACCUUUGUUUCAUCUUAAAGUCAAUUGCUGUCAGGCUCUCCAUUGAUCACAAAUUCAAAGUCCUUAUAUAAGGAUUAAAUCCCUUUAGAUUUGGAAGGAGUUAAUUCAACCGAAUAUAAUAUUUCUCUCCUAAUUUUAUUUUCUUAUUAAUCUUCCUUUUUUCAAUAGAUUAAACUCAAAGUCUUUUCAAAAUUAUUCAACCAUUAAAGUUAAAAUCUGAAAAAAAAAAUCUAAAAGUUGAAUUAAAUCCAAGAUUUUUUAUGCAAAAUCCUACUUUUUUUUUAUCUUUUAUCCUUUUUUUUUUUACCAAUUAACUUUGACAUUUUUUACUAAAAAAACAAAAAUUAAACCAAAAAAUAAAAUACAAAUAAAAUUAAUUGCUUAAUCUUUAAGUUUAAAAUUCACUUUUUCAAUUAUGGCACAAUUACACAAUCAAAAUUAGAAUUCAAAAUCUAAUGAAUUUAAAAAAAAUUUUAAACAAAAUAAUGUAUCUACAAUAUACUUAUUUGUUAAGUAGAAGCAAAGGCAAAAAAUUCUAACUUGAAUUACAAGUCGUUGCAUCCCAAAACAAAAAUUGUUCACUUUUGCAUUAUAAGUCCUCGACACCAAAUACAAGAAUUUUUCAUUGAAAGUUAUUCUACCCGUCCAAUUUCUCCUUCUCUUUUCUUUCUUUUCUAAUUUUUUUUUUCUAAUUAAAAUAGCCGAAUGCCAUUCUCAUUAAAAAAAUUUUUUGACGAUAUUUUAUUUGUUGGUUUUUAAACUGCCGAAGGCAGUUUCAUGUUUACGGGAUGUAACCACCCAUUAUAAAUGAUUAUCCCAACAAAAAUAAUUUAAAAAAUUAAAAUAUAUGAUAAUUUUUUAAUUCGUUUUUAAAAUUAAAAGAUUUUACUGUUAACGCGUUCUUUUGUCUUAAUCCAAUUACAUGGUUUUUUUAUCUUUUGAAAAAAAAAAUUGUAAAAAAUUUCAUUUCACACCUUGCUUGUCACCUUCUCAAAAAGCAGUAUUAGAACUUUAUUCGACUUGACCACAACCGGUCUUCUAUUUCCUAGCUUUUUCUUUCUUCUAAGUUAUAAAUUUCAUAUAUAAGUUGUAAACCAAAUUUAUAAACAGUUGAAUUGGAUUUGAACGCUUUUUUUCUUUGAAGGAGAACCACAACUGUCGAUUGAUUUAUCAUUAAAGUGAGUCAUGCUGCAGUAUUGUAUUUAAAAUCUCCAAACAAAUCGAAUGUAAUAAAAAAUAUGCAUUAAUGGGUCAAUCAAAAGAUCAAUUAUACCUUUAAUUGGUUAAUCACCGAUCUAUUUUAAGAAUUGGAUUCCAGCAAAUAUGGUCACUUACAAUUUUUUUUUUUAAUUUUUCUUUGAUUUUGAUCUUUUAUGUUAAAAAAAAUUGUCCUAUAUAAAAUAAGAGAGAAUGAUUCUUUUAUUAGUUGCAAUUUCUUUAGGCUUCAAUUGGAUGGAUUGUAUGAUUGAAAAUAAUAAUAAAAAUUAUUAUAACUACAAUUAAAAGAAAUUAUUGUAAUUACGAUUGAAAAAAAUUUAAUAAAAAUUUAUAUUAAAUGAAUUUUAUUAAAAUUAAUAUUUAAAUUUAACUGAUAAUAUAAUAAACUUAAUUGUAUCACAUCAAAAAUACGAUGGAAUUCAUACCAAAUCUUAAUUUGUAAAAAAAAACAUAUACAUAUAUUAUAUGUAUACAUAAAUAAUUUUUUCACACAAAUUUUGUAAUCUAUUUAAAAAUUAUUUAUUUUUAUUUUUAAAAUAUCAUCACAAAAUAAUUAUAUAUACAUAUAUAAUUUUCUUAUGUGUAUUUAGUAUUGAUAUAUUUAAUUUAACAAUUUCCCUUUCCUUUUGUUCGAAGAAAGUGGGCGGGGUAAUUGGGUCAUAACUCAUAACCCCAUAAGAAAUUGGGAGAGAUUGGCGUGUUUUGGAAAGAGACCAGCACGUCCAAAAAGACAUGGAGUCGAAGAAAAUGGAAAACAAAGUUGUUUUAAAACCAGUUAAUUAGAGGUAAUAAGAAACAAAGACAACAUGGUCGAGGCAAGCUAAAACCUCUGAGAAACCUGCAAAAUUAAGCUCAAACAAACAAAGAAAAGAGUUCACUUCCUCUUUCUUCUUCUCCAUUUCCCUCUCUUUCUCAUUCUGAAAUUCUUAAACUCUCUUUCUCUUUUCAUGGUAAAGUUUUUUACAAGAAUUGUGAUGAUGAUCCAUGUUUUCCUUCUAUUUUCUUUCUGUUUUUCAGGUACUCUCUCUCUCUCUCUCUCUCUCUUUCUUUUUUUGGAUUUCUUUGCUGUAGAAGCCAUUUUAGUUCUCUUUUUUUUUUUUCUUAAUGUUGUAUCUAAUUAAUGUAUUUCGUUGCAUUACAGAUUUUGGUUUUCUACAAGGAGUUACUUCGCUAGGCAUCAACUACGGUCAACUAGGCGACAAUUUGCCUCCACCCGACACGGUUCUUGAUCUCUUAAGCUCCCUUAAGCUAACAAAAGCAAGAAUCUAUGACACCAAUCCUCAAAUUUUAACAACAUUUGCCAACUCCAACAUUGAGCUUAUUGUCACAGUUGAAAACCAAAUGCUACCUGUCUUAACGGAUCCCCGACAAGCACUUCAAUGGGUUAGUACCCACAUCAAGCCUUAUUUUCCGGCCACCAAGAUCACCGGGAUCGCAGUAGGAAAUGAAAUCUUCACCGAUGACGACAAAACACUGAUAGGAUAUCUUGUCCCUGCCAUAGUCAACAUCCAUGGUGCUUUGGUUCAAUUAGGCCUAGAUAAGUACGUUCAGGUUUCGACACCCAAUUCAUUAGCAGUUCUUCAGCAAUCUUACCCUCCUUCAGCUGGUAGUUUCAAGAGUGAGGUCUCGGAAGUCAUGUCUCAAUUUUUGCAGUUUUUGUCAAGCACUGGCUCUCCAUUUUGGAUCAAUGCCUACCCUUAUUUUGCUUACAAGGAUGACCCAAACAAGAUUUCCCUGGACUAUGUUCUUUUUAACAGAAAUCCAGGGAUGGUCGAUACUUACACGAAACUACACUACGACAACAUGUUAUACGCACAGGUAGAUGCUGUUGUUUAUGCCAUGUUUAGGUUGGGUUAUGGUGGGAUUGAGGUGAGGGUGUCUGAGACGGGGUGGCCAUCCAAAGGGGAUCCGAAUGAAAUCGGAGCAACCGUCGAGAAUGCAGCUGUUUACAACAGGAAUUUGUUGAGAAGGCAGAUGAGAAAUGAGGGAACACCUCUGAGACCAAAUAUGAGAUUAGAAGUGUAUCUGUUUGCUUUGUUCAAUGAGGAUAUCAAGCCAGGACCGACUUCAGAAAGGAACUACGGUCUUUUUCAACCAGAUGGAACCAUGGCUUACAAUGUGGGGCUCUCUGCCUUGGCCACAACUUCAUCAUCAGCUUCCAUUUCUCUUAAGUCCUCCGCGACUAAGGUAAAACCAUAGGUUUUGUUUUCUUCUAAGUUCUAACCCCAUUUACAUUAAAGAAAAUUUAUCAACAAAAAUGGGAAAUUGACAAAUUGUAUAGUAGAGAAUAGAAGGAAAAAAAGUGAAAUCAGAAUUUAACAGUUUAUGUAAUCAUCCUUAAAUCUUCCUUAAAAUGUGAUAUUCAAUAGAUUUUGAGAUUCGAAUAUUUAACAACUGUAAUAAUUUUUUCUAUUUCAAGUUACUGUCUCGUUUAUACAAAAAAGAAUAAUAACAAAAAGGUGUACACAUUAAUGUAUGUAUCGGAUGAGCAAAUAUUCUAUUCAUGUUUAAAAUUUUUUACUAUUGUAAAUAUUACUUGUAGGAGAAAAUUAUAUUAUUGUCUCCUCAACAAAAUGUUCGUUUAGCAAUUGUCUAAUUAUUUUCUUUCAUUCCCUUUGUUUUGUCACCCUCUUUAAAUGGCAUUGAUUGUGAAACAGGCCGCAAAGAUGGAGUGUCAAAGCUUGGUGUAUUGGAUUUUUAUGUAUUUGCUGACUUUCCAAGUUUUUAUGAGAAGACAUCAUUAAGCAAAAUGGUGACUGCAUGUAAAUAUUACAUUUUGGUAAGGAAAAAAUUUGGGGUUUCCCUUUUUAGGUGUUUUUGUCCUUCCUUAAGAAAAAAAAAAUUAUGAAAAAAAGACCACUUGACAAGACAAAAGGUACCCCAAAUUUUUGCACAAGUUAACCCACCAAAUUGAACUUUCCCAAAGCCGAUGAUUGUUUGAAUGAGCAACCUUUCAACAUACAAGUUCAACAAAGGAUCAAAUGGGUACAAUACCCUUUUGUGAAUUGUGUUGAUUAUUGUUGAUCAAAUGGAGCUUUGUUAUUUGUUUCCUAGAUUAAACAAAGCCAUUGUUUUUCUUUUUUAUUGGAGCCGAGCAAGAUGUUGUGGAAGAAUUAUUCUCAUUUCAUGUAAAAAAAAAGUAUUAUUAUUGUUAGAAAAUUUGAUAAUUUGUUUCCAUUUGGUUGCAAAGGAAGCCUUUUUCACUUUUGGACGUGGAAUCCAUAACUGUUAUUUUAUAUAAAUAUAUAUCAUAUCAAAAAUUUAUAAAAGAAUACAGCUUUGGUUUGGGUUCUUAUUUUUAUCAUGAAACCUGAAAUUGGGCGGCCUAGCUUUAUUCCCUUUGGCCAAAUAACCGUCAGCAUAGGUCAUAUGCCAUCCUUUUUGGCAAAGGAGCUUUUGUUUGGCUUUCUUUUUCUGCUAUCUUUUUUUCUCUAUUAAUAUAGGGAGACAAUGUAAGCUCAGCCUUAGUUAAUCUCUGAUGGGGAUGGUCUUCUCAUCCUACAUCAGCCAACGUGGUGCACAUGCACCCCCCAACAAUUUUUAGAGAUCCCCAUUAUGAAAAUUUCUUUUCUUUUCUUUUCGUUUUCUUUGAACCUUUCUCGACAGAACAAGUAUAUUGUAUUAAAGUGAAUUCAAGGUGUCUUGUUUUGUUUUCGUUUGGUUGGGCUUUUGCUUAAUGACAUGUUUUUUCAGUAGUGGUGUAUUUAGGGUUUUUUUUCUUUUAAUAUUAACUUAUAAUAUAUAUAUAUAUAUAUAUAUAUAUAUAUAAUUGUCAACGGAUUUAUUAAUUUUAUUCAAGAGAAAAGUUGAGGAUAUCCAAUUUUUUUUAAUUUUUAAUUUUUUAAUAUUUGAGAGUGACCAUGAACAUCCUAUUAUUAUAUAUCGAUCCACCUCUUUUUUUUGGAUACUAGUGGAAAUAAUGCAUCAUUUUUUUCGAUCUCCCAUGUUCAUUUAAUUUAGCAUGUGCCUUUGCUUCUAAGAGAGGAGAGAAUGUUGGUAUAUCAUUAAUUCUAUGUCGACAAAACUUCACCAUCACCAUCAAUUUAUAAAGAGCUUCAUGAAACCCUUAAGGUGGAUGCUGCUCUGUUUUGAUCGAAUGUGUCGGUUGAUUCUUAUCUUCUAUAUCUUCAUCUUUAACCUUUGGGCAAGCUAAUGUACUUAAUUAUCUUCUAUUAAUAUUAUUAUAUAUUAUAUUACCUUUAAAAAUGAAAAGAAAAGCUUCUUGAAACAUUGAAGCUAAACCCAUUAUUCAUUUUACUCACUUUCAUUAAAAAAACCUUCAAAAACACUAAAUUUCGUGAAUAUAAACCUAACUAGAUCUAAUUCAUCAGGUUCAUUGCUCUAGAGACACAGAACUCGAUCCAUAUGUUCUCUUUUUACUUCAAAUUAAGCACCAAGUACUUUGAGUUAAUUAAGGUAUUAAAUUAAAUCAUGUUUAUAUUAUAAUCUAGUUUUUGUCAUCAGAAUGAAUAUUAGUAGUUUAUUUUUUUACAAGAUCGUAGUUUUAGAAUUGAAAAUAGAUUGCAUGUAUUAAAAUUUGAACCCUAUACUUAUUAAAUAUCAUUUUUUAAACGUAAUUGUAUGAAACAAUUAUAUUAAAUUUUUAAUUCAAUAUUAUUAGUAUAUUCAUUAAUACAAAAAAAAAAAACCAAAAAUAGGAUACAUAUGGAAACUAUAUUAUAUAUUUAUUUGUUUAUUUACACACACUAAUCUUGGUAAAUCAUUUCUUCAAAAUACACUAUUAAGGAAAAAGCUCUCAAUCACUGAUCAAACCUUUUAGAUGUUGACAGGAUAAUUAGUUGGCUACAUUAAGUUAAUUACUGCUAACAUUAAGCCAAAGUCAAAAAGGGCAAAAGUAAAAAUCCUAUUGUACAUCACUUGUGCUUAUAUUAUGUUUGUGUGUGGGCGUACUGUAAAAAAAGAAUCAAUAGCUCCUUUCUUAAUUUUGUAUGUUAUCCUAAGCUAAAACUAUAUUGGUUUGGGAAUAAUUGGAUUAAUCAUAAUUUGCCACAUUGGUUUUGUACUUAGAACAAAAAGGAAUGAUUUUAAUCAUAACAAUUAAGAAUAAUUUUUUUCAUCUUCCAAAUGAUGGUAAUUAGGUUUUGAAUU